UUUUUUUUUUUUUUUUUUGUCAACCCUCCUUUGUAAAGUGACUAUGAAACCAAAGUACCAUUCAAAGCUAAACACUCUCUUCCUAUAUAUCAUUUAUAUAUAUACAUAUUUCUGUAUAUAUAGCUCAAAGAACAUGAAAUCAGCUAUGUAAUGAAACCCUGAAAGUAUUACAAAAACCAAACACUUUUGAGGCCCUUUGUUUUUCACUUUCCUUUGUUCCUUAAAUUGUUGUUUCACCAUGUCGGAACAUGAAUUUAGAGACUUUUAUUACCAUGCAAGUACGAUGUUCCACAACGAUCAUGUUGACGACAUGUUUAGGGUUUCAUCAUCAGUGUCAGUUGAUCAUCAUCCUUCUUCGUAUAUGAGCUUCACGGAUUGUUUACACAGUUCGGUUGGCGAGUACGGUUCACUCGAAAAAGCCUUCGGUUUGUCCCCGUCAUCUUCGGAAGUGUUUUCUUCUCCAAUCGAAGGCUUGAAUCAGACAACAAAUCAACAAAGUAGUGAAGUUAUGGCCAUUACCCCUAAUUCUUCUAUUUCUUCUUCCUCAAGUGAGGCUGCUUAUUGUGAAGAAGAUUCAGAGAAAAAUAACAAAGAUAAGCAGCCAAAAGGGUCUGAUGAUGGAAGCAAAGAAAGCCCUAAGAAAGGGUAACUAACUAACCCUUUCUCCAUUUAUUUUUAAAAUUUACAGACAGCAUCAAUGGAGUUUAACUGAUGUUGUGUUUAUUUAUUGUGUCUGAAAGGAUGAAAGGGGCUAAAAAGAAAGCCGAGAGAAAGCAAAAAGAACCACGAUUUGCUUUCGUGACAAAAAGUGAAGUUGAUCAUCUAGAAGAUGGGUAUAGAUGGAGAAAAUAUGGACAAAAAGCUGUGAAGAACAGUCCAUAUCCAAGGUUUGGUUUCUUUCUCUUUUCUUUAAUUUCACAACCAAAAACAAACAUUGAAACAAAUCUUAGCAAGUCACGUCUGAAAGUGAAACCUGUUUGAAGUCUUUGGUCUGUAAUUGCAUUAUCUUUUCGCCCCCUUCUUUGACUAUAUACCAAGAUGCAGUCAACAUAUAUGAAACUUUAGCUGUAAGUCAUUAGUAACUUGAUGGAUUUGAAUUAUUGAAUUAAUUCCCUGUAUAUGUGACUUGCAGGAGCUACUAUCGGUGCACUACACAGAAGUGUACGGUCAAGAAAAGGGUUGAGAGAUCAUUCCAGGAUCCAUCAACGGUGAUCACAACAUAUGAGGGUCAACACAACCACCCACUCCCCACAGCACUGAGAGGAAACGCAGCAGCACUGUUCCCGCCUUCCAUGUUUGCGCCGGCGACGGCGCGGCCGAGCUUCCCGCAUGAAUUGUUUAUGCAGAUGGCGGCGCCUCAUGAAAUGAAUAACCAGCAAGCUAAUGGUGUAGCAGCAGCUUCGAUGUUUGGAGAAAACUUUAGUCCUUAUCAUCACCAGUACCACCACCACCACCACCGUCAGGUUUCUGACUAUGGGCUACUCCAAGACAUGGUUCCUUCCAGGUUCCUUAAACAUGAACCAUGAAUAUCCCAUUCUUUCUGCUUCUUUUUUUUACUCCUUGUGAGUGUACAUAUUUAUAUAUAUUUGACUGCUUUUAUCGUUAUCGUUUUCAUCUAACUUAUCUAGAGCCCAAGAAUUAUUCCUCAGUUAUUGGUUUUGAAAAGGGCUAACAUCGAGGACUAGAUAUGGGAGUGGGAUUAAUGUUCUUCCUUUGUACUUGAAACUGGUGGUUCCAUGUGUUCAGUGGAAAUGUUCCUAUGCUUCUAUGAUAGGAAAAGAGGAUCGAAGACUUGAAAUAUUAAUGGAUCAUAUUAGUUACAUUUAUGUUUGUUUAUUCAUAUCAUCAUCCUUGAUGUUAUCAUUAAUGAAGAAUGCGGGAAUAGUUUCCUUUAGUUUUAUUGACAAAUUUUGUACAACAAUGAUAUUAAUGUUUUAAAGAAUAUUCUUUUAAAACAAUUAUUAGCUACUUAAAAAUCAAUAGUAGAAUAUAUCAAAUAUAUUCUAUAAUCAUCACAAUAAAUUUUGGGUAGUAUCUAGUUUUAGUGACAUAAAGGAGGAGGAUACAAAGGUUGAUAAACAUUAAGGAAAAGUAUAAAGCGUAGCUACUGCAGCAAAGGAAAUUCAUAGCCUGUAAUAUGAACAAUGUGAAAUGGUGAAUGGAGAAUCAAAUAACACGUUUAAAACGAAGAUUAGGAUUAACAUAGUUUUUACGUGGAUGGGUUAGAAUUAUAAUACCAGAGCCACUAAAGUAGCAGUCAGGGUCGACAUGACGAUCAUAGACUUGGUAGUACGAAUUCAUGACUGUUGAUCUUCUCUUCUGUACUCCUUAUUUGGAGCAAUCCUUCCAUAUUUAUAAGGCACGGUAGGGAGCAAUCCUUCCAUAUUAAGGCACGGUUUUUGAUGUGAUAUGAUAAGAGAUAAUUAAGUGCCAUGCAUAACGACACAUUAUUCCUUUAGACUCGACAAACAUACUUAGAGUUAUCAAAAUUCUAAGAACUAACAAAGUGGACGGCUAGCAUUAUGAAUUUCAAGUUUGUGAAGUAUUAUAUAACAAUUUGUCCCCUACUUUAUUAAAAAAAGAAAAGAAAAGAGAGGGUUAUAAAGUGACUAUCCGGAGAUAGAUUUACACACCUUAAUAGUGUAAUUGAGGGCUUAUGUGAAAAUAUGGUGAAGUGUAUCUCAAAAAAUUAGGCGAACUGCACAGCAAAAAUUCAACGAGUUGAACCGCAAAAAUACUUCACAAACCCGAAAUCUGGAAUGCUAGCUCGCCACACGCUAGCUCACCACCUCUGCUAGCUCGCGGGAUCUUAUUAGAAAUAACUCUAAAGAUACAUUUCGAGCUUAAGGGGGUAACGUGUUGCUAUGCACGGUACCUAGUUAUUGCCUAGCACAUCACAUCAAAAAAUCGUACCUUAUAAAUAUGGAAGGAUUGCUCCCAAGGAAGGGACAGACGAGAGCAUAAUAAUGACAUGUGAUUCAUGGUUGAUGAGAGUAUCAUGCUUCAUAUAAUAGAUGGUUGCAGUUGAAUCCCAAGGUUCUAACGCGAUCACAGGCAUAGUUGAUGGUGGAGGCCAGUAAUGUAGUAGGGGGAGCCUCACAUCUCAUCUAUAUAAACUUCCACUUAUAUCACCAAGAAUACUCCAAGACCCUAUUUUAUACACCGAUACUAUUCCAAACCUUCUUUUUCUCUUCUAAACUUCCUCAUUUUUCCAGAAACACAUCAUGUAAACCGUUUCCAAUUUUCAACCUCACAUGUUGGUAAGCUUUCUUUUUUCCUUUUUUAUCUAUUUGAUACAGGUAAUCUUAAACGUGAUUGUGAUAAAUUUUGAUACAUUUUGAGAUAAUUUUGAUGAUAUUUACUAGUUUUGAUAACUUUUAAAAUAAUUUUUAAUGUUGUUUGUAAUAAUUAAUUCAACUCAAACUAAUUAAAUUGCUCAUACAUAAUUUAUGUAGGUGAGACUUGAACAUAUGUGCUUAAAGUUUCAAGACCUCGAAUCUUAGCAUUAGGCCUAUUUAUUAAAGGUGUUCACCCUAUUCUCUAAACGUAAGACAAAUCCGUGAGCAUAACUUUUACAAUAAUUUAAUAAUAUGCGUGUGAAAAUGUGAAUUAUAUUAUCUUUUUUUCAAGUACCCAACUUUAUCAUCUCGAUCAAAACUUCCAUUAGUAAUUUUAUCUCUUAAUGGAAAUUUUGACAAUUUUUCUUAAUAAAUUUAAAUAAUAUUGUACACUAUUUUAAUAAUUUUGUAUAUAAUUUGACAACAUUGUUGCAUCAAAACACCAAACUAGAUAAAACAUGUUUCAGUUUUUUAUGAUUUAAAUAAUUUUUUUUCUCAAUCCGCAAACAAGCACUAUAAAGCAAAAAUUAGUAAAAAUUAUAUUUUAUUCUAUCAUAUAAAUAUCAUAUAUGAUAAAAACAUAACUGUAAAUAUUCAUCAUAUAUAAGCACACAAAGCACCUACUACAGAAAUCAAUCUCCUAAAUUUAAAUAAAAUGUUGACACAUUUAUUACACACUAAACCCAGAAACCUUCACACAUGCAGAACUUCUCUUCCAUUUUAGACCCUUCAUGGAUACUGGCAGUUUCCAUAGCCUGAAAAAGAAAAAAAAAACAAUUACAAACAAUAUCAAAUGAUAAAUGGAGUAUCAAAACAAAAUUAGGUUCAAGAAAAGUUUUUUACUUGGAUCGGAUAUAGUGAUGAGACCAGAACCCUGGAAGUUACAGUUAUGUUCUUGACGACCAUUGGCCUGGUAAUAAGAAUUCAUGACAGACGAUGCAUGGUUGAUGUAAGUGUUGGGAUCAUAGCAUGCUCCACCUGGUUGUAUCUGGCUGCAGUUGAAUCCAAGGAUUCCAAGUUGUUCACAGGCAUAGUUUAUGUUGGAAACCAGUGCUUUAUCAUCAGUGGAAGGCUUUGCAACACACCAUUUUUUGACCUGUUACAUAACAAUUUCAUUACAACUGUGCGUAUUUUUUUUAUUGAAAAAAGAAUUGAUUAAUUUACCUGUCCAUUGGCCAACUUCAGCAAGAUCCCUGCAUGAAAAUGGUUGUAAAUUAUGAUUAAUGGGGAAGCCAUUAGAAACAGUGAGAAAAUGGGGAAAAAGAUACAUACCAGAGUUAAAUGACAAAAGGAGGAGAAAAUAGAGAAGGGGAAGUGAGACAGGUGAUUUAGCCAUUGCUGUUUGUGUUGGAAGUAAAAAUAGAUUAAAAAGAUAACUUGGACAAAAAGAAACGAAGAUGAAUGUUCAAAUAUAUAAGGGUGGAUAAUGCUAAUUCCGGACUAUAAUUUGCUGCUUCCACGAUGUGAAAGGCUAAAACAUUCCUAGCACUAGCAAAGGUUUGUAAAUGUCUUAAAUGGGACAGUUUAACAGAGAAGUUGUAAGGCCAAAAGAUGAAACAGCAUGGGUUUUUUAGUAAAUGACUGUGAAUUUGUCAUAAAAAGGUUGUUUUUAAGUAAUGAUUAUUGAAAAUGCAAGUUUCAAACCCCAAAAUUAAUGAUAUAUUAAUCACAAAAUGUAAGUUUCAAACCCCAAAAUUAAUUUCAGAGGUAUGAUAUAUUAAUCAUCUUUAAUCCAGAAACAUAAAAACCCAGGAGCUGAACAGGUUUAGGACAUGGUGAAAUGAUAAGGGAGUAAAAUGUCUGAAUCAAAUAUUGUCUCUGCCAUAUUCCAUCUAAUUGAACACGUUAAAUAUUUAGACUAAAGGAUAAAAUUUAGAACAAAAUCAGAAUUAAGUAAAAUUUGUGGAUUAGUGUUUUAAUACCAAAGACUAGAGUAGUUUUUCGGAGGAACAAAAACUGUGACAUGUCAAUGUUUUUCACUUGGUUGUCUUUAAAUCAACAAUAUGAUCAUGGUUAAGUUGAAAUAUUCAAGUUUUGGAAACUUUUUUUGUUUGAUUAUGCUAUAACUGCCAGACAGGACUUUGCUCCUUUUUCUUUUUUUUUUUAUUAAUGGUUAAGGAAAAGGUUUUUUUGGUCAUAUUUUGUAUAUUUUCCAUUUAAUUUCUUGCUUGAUGAUUAAGGAAGUACCAGAACGGAGUUAUAAUGCAUGAGGACGUCUCUUUGUAAGCGUCGGGUGAGAUUAAAUUUAUAUAUGUAUAUAUAUCUAUAUGUUUCAGUUUGGAUAAAUUCAAAAUAUGAAAUUUAUUUAUGUUUAUCAAUAUUUGUAAAUGAAAUCUAUUUUAAAUUUACUCAUGUUUUUUAGAAAAUAAAUUAUAUUAUUUUUAAUUUAAUAUUUAAUUAUUUUUAUAUAUUUAUAGUGUUUAUACUAUAAUAAUAUAUAUAAUAUUAUAUACAUAAUUUAUAAAAAUAAAACAAUAUAUUUCAAAAGUACAAACUGAGUUUAGGUUGAAUGUUGUCACAAAGUUGACCCAUAUUUUAAAUGUGCACAAUUUUUAGCCCAAUUUCAUUUUUGAGAUCUCGUACUUUUGCCUAAACCUCUUAUAUUUUUAGUAGACUUUUAGAUUUGAAUGAAUAGUCUAGGCGUUGAAUAAGUUGCACAGUGAUCUUAUUUAAAUAUUAUAGACUUCUUUAAUAAUUUAAUUCAAAUGCUACUCGUGAAAGCAAAAAUAAAAAUGUAAAUAUACACGAAAUGUAAUGAUACAAGGGAUGCCCAAAUCUUACUCGUCACAUAUAAAUAAUGAAAACAUGAAUUAUGGAUUUACAAAAUGUUAAGUAACGCUAACAAAUAGGAAUUACAAUAGAACGAGACGAGAUAAAGAUUAUUUGGUCCAACUUUCUUUCAUUUCUUGCAUAUAUGUAAUAUAAAUAUAUAAUAUAUUAAUGUGUCUAUGAUUUUAGAAUAUAUAUUUUAUAUAUAGAUAAAAAAAAUAGUUAUUUUGAAAUUCCAUUAAAGCCCAAAAAAACCCUAUACACCUAUCCAUCCCCACUGUACACAAUAAGAAAGUUUAAAGUGAGGGAUAACAUCCCAGUUGAGAUAAAAGCAGAUGGGAUACAUUGAUAUAGACAGGUUCUGUUGAGAUAUACACCUUGCAACUAUACCAUUACAAGUAAAUUUUAACAUUGCUUUAAGCAUACCAUAUUCCAUCUUCUUUAUUGAAGCAAGCUGUUCUGAACAAGACAUCAACUAUUAUUGGUGGCAUAAAAUACCACCGACCACCAACAAAACUAUGUCCUGCCUUGUAUUUCCACCUGAAAACUUCAUGUUUCUUACUUCACCAGUAAAUGAAGCUUAAUGCUUACUGCUCUAAAAAUAGAGAGAUUUUGUCGAUUGAGUAUUAGUUCAAUUAAUAUGAAUAUUGUUAUUAAUGUAGUAGGCCGUGAGUUUGAGUGCGUUGAAGUGCGUUAUCUUUCUAUUUAUGGGUUAGAGAGAAGCUAUCUGUAGUUCUAGGUAUUGCGUAAAAAAUAACAGAUAUGAUCAAACCUAUAAUGAGAUUAUUCAAAAAAAAUAAUAGAGAGAUUUCAUAAACUUGGUUGAGUUGGAUGUGUGGUUAUUUUGAUUUGAAAAUUUUGUUUAAGGCUAUUCAUAUUUGUAAAUGAUUAAUCCUAAGUUUAUUUAGGUUUUCUCAUAUUUUUAUUUUUAUUUUUAUUCAUUUAAAAUAUAAUUAUUUUUAUUUAAUAUAUAGUAAUUAUUUACUUUUUACUACCAUUAAAUAUUUUCUUUUAUUAAAAUUUUCGACAUAAAUUACUUAACAUAUUUUUAAAUAUUUAGAUUAUUGUAUAGUACAUAGUAUAUUUAAUCUCAUAGGAUAUAAAUUACGUAUUGAAAAUGGGUAGCUCGGGUUUUGAAUAUUGAAAUCCGAUCCCAACUCGUAUUAUAAACAAACUUAAUUUUCUUACACAAACUCUCGCAAAAUUUCAAGGUUGGAGUUGGGUGGAUAGUUCAAUACUUGAACAUAUCUACUCCAAAAUGUGGGUCAUGGUUCUUUUAAAUUAGGUUAAAUUUUGCUACCGAUCUUUAUAUUAUGUGUAAGUUGUAGAUUUAGUCUUUGCACUUUGAUUUUGUUAUUUUUAUAGUCCUUACCGACCAAACCAAAUAGUAGUUGUUAGAUUUAUUAAGUGUAAACAUAUUAUCACAUGUGAAAUGUCAUAGCAGUUUGUUAUUUCUACAUAUUACUCACAAAAAAUCAAUUAAUAAAUUUAAUAAUUAUUAUGUGUCAAAAUUGAAAUUUAAAAAUUUUAAAAACACUGCUAUCGUUUAAUUCAGAACAAACUUUAAGAUUUAAAAAAAUAUAAAAACUAAAAUUCAUUUAGGUUCGGUUAGUUCAUUUUGGCAACAAAUUCAUUUCAGUUUAUUUAAUUCUAGUGACUUAUUUGGUUUAGUAGAUUAUUCAUUAUAUAAAAAUUUAAUCGACUAAACUAAUCGGAUGCACAUCUUUAAUGGUCAUUGAGAUGUUAACAGACGAGGUUCACCAUUACUCUGACAUAAUUAAAAUAUAUUAAAUAUAUUUCAUAUAUAAAAUGAGCUUUAUUUUUAUUAUCCAUAUCAAAGUUCUUUUUAUCAAAUUAUUUUAAGUAAUACUUUUUUUAUUGAUAAUAUUUUUAGAAUUAGACCAAUAGUUAAAUCUGUCAAAUCAUUAAUUUACUGGUUUGAUUAGUUUAAUAAAUAAAUUCAUAAAAAAUUAAAAAUAAAAUACUUAUUUUAAUCAAUUUUUUAGUCGACCAAUCAAUUCAUAAUUCAACUGAUCGAAUAUCAUUCUCUAAAUCAAUACUUUGAUUGAUUCCCAAUUUUAGGAUUCGAGGGUGUCGAACCAUAACUGUGACUGGUCAGAAAUUGCCUGUGACCCUUACCAUGACUCGAUGGGGUCAUUCCAUCAAUUCAAACCUUGAAAUCAUUAUAGUUAUCUGAGGCUAUCUAUAACUGAAUUUCUAUUGGUUCAAAACAUUAUGGAACUUUGAUUUCUAACGUCUACUUGGCACCUGCAACACCACGUAUCAGUGUUGGAUAAUUUUGGGGGUUGAAAGGUGAAUUUUGUAUUAAAAAACAAUCUCCAGUGCUGUUUGCUGAACCAAUGAGAUUGUGCCACUCGUGAAUCACACCGGAUAACCCCUAUCAUAUCUACUUGGAACAGACAACUACCUGUUUCAAAUUCAGGACCACUUUGGCUUUGCAUUUCAUUGCAUGGGUCUGAAAUUCUUGUUACGAGAAAAAGCUGUGUAAUAAAUAAUGUUAAUGGAAAUGAUUAUGUUUAUGUUUAUGUUUCAUCUUGUUUCUUGAUGAAGCCUAAUGAAUCAUAUAGUUUUCGACACUGAUAAUUAGACUACUCGUGGGUCUUUUUAGAAACUAUUAAGUGAAUUACAUAAUUAAAAUUUUGGGUUUUGUAAAAUAAAUUUCAAGUUUUUUUUAUAAGGGUUAAAAGGACGAGACUUGGUAUAAACUAGACCAACACCACCGACUAGUUGACAUCAAUUUAAAGUAGUUUGAUAAUACUGCAAAACAAAUUAAGCUAGAUUUUUCUUCGUAAGAUGUUUUACAUUUAUGUAUUAUCAACCACUCAUCCUGUAAUUUGUAUUUUUAUGCUGCCAUUAUUUCAGCAUCAAUAAACUUCACCAAAAGAAAGGAAAAUCUAUUUCAUAUGGCUCAAAGAAACUUCUUUCUAUGAAAACUCCAUCUAUUUUUCCAUGAAAAUGAAAAGGGAGGGAGAGAGAAAAUCAACAUCAGGGGAGUUGUUUAAUUUAUCAAGUAAUAUUUGUGGCUAUUAAUUAUAAUCACGAAAAUUAUUGAUUGAAUCACAAGUGAAGAAUUUAUAUUUAAUUUAUAAUUGACAACAAUUUUAAGCUUUAUUUUUGAAUUUUUUUCAUACAAAAUAAUCCAUUUACCUGUUGUAGCAGUGCUCCAUUGCUCUAAACAAAGCAAACAAAAAGGUUUCGAAAUUUUUCAACAGUCGAAUUUCCGUCAUUAUGGUGGCCAAGCCUAUGAUCCUUAAAAAAUCUCAGACGUGUAAUAGUGGUAGCCUGUUAAGUGAAAUUUUGUGGAUUAAAGAUUGCCAAGUGGACAUGCAUGGUCAACAUCACAAUCUUGAAGCUCCAAUGAAAUGAAAGAUAGAGAUAUUACGUAGAUAAGGAACCUUACUCUCACCUUCCUAUAUAAUAAACCCACGGAUUGCCCCUCAUUCAAUCACUCACCCAUCACCAACAAAAUCAGUUGCUUCACAAUGGCCUCUACAACCAUGGCUCUUUCUUCCCCAUCAUUCGCCGGUAAGGCAGUGAAGUUCUCCCCUUCCACCCCUGAAAUCCGGGGAACUGGCCGUGUUUCCAUGAGGAAAACCACCAAGCCUGUUCCUUCUGGUAGCCCAUGGUACGGUCCUGACCGAGUUUUGUACUUGGGUCCACUUUCCGGUGAGCCACCAUCUUACUUGACCGGUGAGUUCCCUGGUGACUAUGGUUGGGACACUGCUGGACUCUCAGCUGAUCCCGAGACCUUUGCUAGGAACCGUGAGCUCGAAGUCAUUCACUGCAGAUGGGCCAUGUUGGGAGCUCUUGGGUGUGUUUUCCCUGAGCUGUUGGCUAGGAACGGUGUCAAGUUCGGUGAAGCUGUAUGGUUCAAGGCCGGGUCUCAAAUCUUCAGUGAGGGUGGACUUGACUACUUGGGUAACCCAAGCUUGAUCCAUGCUCAAAGCAUUUUGGCCAUCUGGGCUUGCCAAGUUAUCUUGAUGGGAGCCGUCGAGGGUUACCGUAUUGCCGGUGGACCACUCGGUGAAGUGACUGACCCAUUGUACCCAGGUGGUAGCUUUGACCCAUUGGGUCUUGCUGAUGACCCAGAGGCAUUCGCUGAGCUCAAGGUGAAAGAGAUCAAGAACGGUAGGUUGGCUAUGUUCUCAAUGUUCGGGUUCUUCGUUCAGGCCAUCGUGACCGGAAAGGGACCAUUGGAGAACUUGGCUGACCACCUUGCUGACCCAGUCAACAACAAUGCUUGGGCCUAUGCCACCAACUUUGUCCCCGGAAAGUGAACUUAGAGAGUGAAAAGGGAUUUGUCUUGUUCAUGUUUUUAUUUGUUGGUGUGAAUGUAAAUUUGUUGCACAAUCAAUGAAAGCAGAAUGUGAAUUUUGUGUGCUCAAAGUUUUUGACUGUUCCAAGUCCAUUUGUUUUAAAAUGAAAUGGUAAAAACAGGUGAAGCACAUGAUGCUAUAGACAAAACGAAAAAUAAAACUGUAAAUUUCGACAAAUGAAAUAUAAAUAAAUUCCCGAAUAAACUUCUCAGCCUUCUAUUUAUCAUUUUGAGAACUAGACAAUGUUGCAGAGACCACUUACAUAUAGGUAUUUAAAGUUACUCUGAUGAGACAGAAGACAAUGUGUGUGUAUAUAUAUAUACAUAAAGCUUUAUCAAUGAUAUGAAUGGUGUUACUAAAUGUAACUAUGAACUGGAUAAAGGUGCAAUGAAUACCGAACUCACCAAUGCAGGUUUAAUGUUACUGACCUUCACUUAUAACCAAUGUCGACAAAUCAGGGCUGCUUUCGAUUGUUCUUUUCUACUUGUCCACUUAAAUAUAACUUAAUUGUUACUCGCUUGGGCCCUUGCUCUCGAAAUAGACUUGGCAUAAAGUUCUUCGUAUCGUGAAGCUGAAGAAUCCCAGCUGAAAUCUAUAUUCAUGUUCUUUUGAACGAGUUGUUUCCAACUCUCUUUAUUGUUCUUGUAGAAAUUAAAUGCACGCUCCAAGGCACCGUUUAUUCCCUGUCAGGUUUUUAACGUCAUCCAAGGUUUAAGCAUAUGAUAGAGAACCAAAGCAAUUAAGUUGGAAUGUCGGCAAAUCAUGUUUCAAGAAUUCCUAGAGUUACCUGUUCAUCAGGAGUUGUAAAUGUAAAUCCGUUUCGAAUUUGAUUAGGUAUUGUCUCCUCAUUGACAUCGAAAACGCUAUAGAAGAAAGAUUAGAAAAGAAUUGAGAUUUAUGAUUUUACGGUCAAGUAACUUCAUAUUAGUGGAUUUACUUACAUGCAUAUAAUUCGAGUAAAGUAGUUUACCUGUCAUUUAGACCGCCAGUUUUUCUUGCAAUGGGUACUGAACCAUAUCUCAUUGCUAUCAUCUGGGUGAAAAAAGAAAACACACUGUUAAGCUUUGGCCUACAUUGCAACAGGAGACCAGUAGCUUCUCAGCACAACACCAGCAGCAACACUGCUUGAAGUGCAGAAAUGGAGCUGAACCGAAUGCAGCAAUAUGCUUUGAUCAUUUUGUUCCGAUGUAAUUUUGUCUAAUUCAUUUGUAAUUUGUUCACAAAGUUAGUAAGAUUAGUUCAUGAUUUGAGUUGAUGUAAUAGUUGAUAUGCCAGCUACCUUUUGUGUGUAAUUCAAGCAAAUGUUAGUCUUGUAUUAGUGGGAGCAGUUAAGUCAUUAGGUAAUUGCCCAUUACUCUGUAACUCAUAUAUUAUUCAAAUUUUGAAUGAAAAAUUAAGUGGUGAAUUUUCAGUUAUCAUUUUUGCAAGGUUUUCAUUCUGUUUUUGCUUUGAUUCUCCUAUUUUUGUUUUGCUACUUUGCCUUUUGUUUGCUGCCAAUGUUUCAACAAAUGGUAAUCAGAGCCUGUCAUCUUUGAAGGUCUUUGUUAUUGGUUGUUUUCUGUCAAAACAAAAUUGAGAAGAGAGAAAUCGAAGCUGUUGAGUUUGUUUCAGCAGAAUGAGUUUUACACCACCUCCACCACCUGUGUUUACUGGAGAGAACUACCACAUUUGGGUAGUUAAGAUGAGGACAUACCUUCAGGCACACGAUUUGUGGAAUGUGAUCGAGAAUGAUGUUGAUCCACCUCCAUUGAGGUUCAAUCCCACCAUUGCUCAGAUGAGGCAACACAGUGAAGAGUGCUCCAAGAAGCAUAAAGCAAUGGCUUGCUUGUAGAAUAGAGUAUCAGAUGUGAUCUUCACUAGGAUAAUGGCUUGUGACUCACCUAAGCAGGCAUGGGAGAAACUGAAGGAGGAGUUCAUGAGGUUAGACAAAACCAGGCAGCAACAAGUGAUUAAUCUCAAGAGAGAUUUUGAGAAUUUGAAGAUGAAAGAGUCAGAGACUAUCAAGCAGUACUUAGACAGAAUAAUGGCCACUGUCAACAACAUUAGGCUCCUUGGAGAAGACUUUAGUGAGAGCAGAGUUGUUGAAAAGGUCAUCACCACUCUCCCUGAGAAGUUUGAGUCAAAGAUUUCAUCACUUGAGGACUCGAAAGACUUGUCAGCUAUCUCAUUGUCUGAGCUGAUAAACUCUCUGUAUGCACUUGAGCAAAGGAGGGUCAAUAGGCAGGAAGAGUAUCCUGAAGGAGCUUUCUAGGCAAAGGUCAAAGUAGGCUUAGGUUCAAAUCUGAAAAGGAAGAAGCCUUGGCUCCAUAAAAGGGAAAACAAGGAGAGAUACAGGUAAGAAAGUGAGAACAGAGUUGUUGAAAAGGUUAUCACCACUCUCCCGGAGAAGUUUGAGUCAAAGAUUUCAUCACUUGAGGACUCGAAAAAAUUGUCAGCUAUCUCAUUGUCUGAGCUAAUAAAUUCUCUGUAUGCACUUGAGCAAAGGAGGGUCAAUAGGCAGGAAGAGUAUCCUGAAGGAGCUUUCUAGGCAAAGGUCAAAGUAGGCUCAGGUUCAAAUCUGAAAGGGAAGAAGCCUUGGCUCGAUAAAAGGGAAAACAAGGAGAGAUGCAGGCAAGAAAGUGUUCCCAUCAUGCAUUCACUGCAAGAAGACCACACAUUUGGAGAAGUACUGUUGGUACAGGCCAAACAUUCAGUGCAGAAGCUACAAACAGUUUGGCCGUGUUGAGAAAGUGUGCAGAAGCAAAGGGAAGGAACCAGCUUAGCAGCAAGCACGAGCUGCUAAGGAUUUUCAAGCUCAGGAGGAGCAUGUUUUCACAGCUUCUUGCUUUGCAAACUCAAGCAAAGUCAGAUGUGACUGGUUAGUGGACAGUGGCUGCUCACACCACAUGGUAGCUGAUAAGAAGCUGCUCAAAGACCUUGAUAGAAGUUUUGCUGCAAAAAUUAGAAUUGGUAAUGACAAUUUGAUUGAAGUUCAAGGAAGAGGAGAUGUUGUGAUCAACACUUGUUCAGAUAACAAAAUCAUUUCUGAUGUGUUUUUUGUGCCUGACAUAAAUCAGAAUCUGCUUAGUGUUGGUCAGUUAGUGGAAAAAGGGUAUUCUUUGAUCUUUAAAGAUGGCUCUUGUAUUGUUAAGGACUCACUUGGUCAGGAGUUAGUCACAGUAGCAAUGAUAGAUAGGUGUUUUAUGCUCGAUGUAAAUCAACUCGAGAAGAAGGCUUACAUUAGCCUUGCUGAUAACACUGGUCUUUGACAUAGGAGACUAGGCCAUUUCAAUUUUAGAUCACUUGAUCUGUUGGAUAAGCUGAAUUUGGUAGAAGACAUGUCAAAAGUUGAACCAAGAGACAUUGUUUGUGAAGUCUGCCAGCUUGGAAAGCAGGCUAGAUUGCCUUUUCCAGCUAACAGUGCAUAAAGAGCUCGAGAAAGGCUUGAAUUGGUUCAUUCUGAUGUUUGUGGGCCAAUGAAGACUUCUUCAUUGAAUGACAGUAAGUAUUUUGUUCUAUUUAUAGAUGACUUAACUAGGUUUUGUUGGGUUUAUUUCUUGAGGCAGAAAUCUGAAGUGUUUGAAGCAUUCAGCAAAUUCAAAGCCUUAAUUGAAAACCAGACUGAUUAUAAGAUCAAAACUUUGAGAACUGAUAAUGGCACUGAGUAUCUAUCUAAUAGAUUUCAGAAACUGUGUGAGCAAGCUGGGAUUCAUCAUCAACUAACAACAGUUUAUACUCCUCAACAGAAUGGAGUAUGUGAGAGGAAGAAUAGAACUGUGCUUGAUAUGGCCAGAUGUCUGUUAUUUCAGAGCAAGCUGCCAAGCAAAUUUUGGGCUGAGGUAGUCAAUACCUCAGUUUACCUACUCAAUAAGCUGCCAACUCACAAUGUCAAGGACAAGACUCCUUUUGAAGCUUGGCAUGGACUUAAGUCAAUCGUUUCACACUUGAAAGUGUUUCUGUUUGCCUUGGCCGCUCACAAACAAUGGAAAGUUCACCAGUUAGAUGUUAAGUCAGCAUUUCUGAAUGGUUUUCUUAAGGAGGAGAUUUUUAUUGAGCAACCAGAUGGGUUUAAGGUCCUAGGAGAAGAGGACAAGGUCUAUAAGUAGAAAAAGGCUCUGUAUGGCCUAAAGCAGGCACCAAGAGCCUGGUAUGACAGGGUUGACAUAUACCUGUCUAGGCUUGGGUUUGAGAAAAGUGUUAGUGAAGCUACACUUCAUGUGAAGAGGUCAGAAAAUGAGACAUUGCUGAUUGUUUCUCUCUAUGUGGAUAACUUAGGGUGAGUUUGGAUGGGCGGUGCGUUUACUUGCGGUUAGUGUAAAAACAGCGGUAGCGGUGAGAUUAGAUACUGUAGUGAUACUGUAGCGUGAGACAAAAAGUAAGCUAAACGCACCAUACCGCACCCAAUCGUCCAUCCAAACCCACCCUUACUUGUGACUGGAAGCAAAGAAGAACUGAUUAGCGAAUUUAAAGUGCAAAUGCAAGAGGUGUUUGAAAUGACAGACUUGGGAGUCAUGACAUACUUCCUUGGUAUGGAAGUGAAUCAAUCUUAUCAAGGCAUUUUCAUUAGCCAACAUGCCUUUGCUUUGAAGAUUCUCAAUAAAUUUUGCAUGCUAAAUUGCAAAACAAUCAGCACACCUGUGGCUCAAGAGGAGAAACUGAGUAGCAGUGGGAAUCAAGAGAGGGUUGAUAUUAUGUUUGGUGUUAUCUUUUGUAAAGAUUUAUGCACUGCUGUGAUGUGGUUCAUUUCAAAGCAGCUAGGAGGAUCCUCAAAUAUGUCAAAGGAACCUUAAGCCAUGGAGUUAAGUUUGAGAAGGAAAAUGAGCUUAAGCUAGCAGGAUAUUCUGAUAGUGAUUGGGCUGGCUCUGUCGAUGACAUGAAAAGCACCUCUGGUUAAUUCUUCAUACUUGGAUCAGGAGUUUUCUGCUAAAGCUCAAAAAAGCAACAAACUGUUGCUCAGUCCACAGCUGAGGCAGAAUACAUUGCAGCUGCUGCAGCUGUUAAUUAAACCAUUUGGCUUAGGAAGCUCGUGUAUGAUCUAAAUAAAGAACUGGCUGAACCAACUAAAAUCAAAGUUGAUAACCAGUCAACAAUUGCCAUAACCAAAAAUCCAGUCUUUCAUGGUAAGACUAAACAUUUCAAGAUCAAAUUUCAUUUUGUUCGAGAGGCUGAGCAAUCAAAAGAAGUUAGUCUUGUUCAUUAUAGCUCUGAUAUAUUCAAGAUGAUUACGUAUUUACAAAAUACCGUCUCAAUUCAUCCUAUUUCAUCAGAUCCGGGAUGUGAUAUAGUUCCGAAGGAUAAAUUGGAAAAUUCCAAUAAGAUUUCAUUCUUGAACAAAAAUCCAUUUUUUGAUUUAUUUCAUCUAUUCCAUGACCAGAACAGGAGGGGAUACACGUUACACCACGAUUUUGAAUCAGAACAGAGAUUUUAAGAAAUGGCAGAUCUAUUCACUCUAUCAAUAACCGAGCCAGAACUCAAUUGGCUGAUAUACUGACCAAGCCAUUAGGAGCUACCAGAUUUGAAACUUUGAGAAAGAAAAUUGGUGUUUGUUGCAUACAGUCCAAGGAGGAGUGUUAAGCUUUGGCCUACAUUGCAACAGGAGACCAGUAGCUGCUCAGCACAACACUAGCAGCAACACUGCUUGAAGUGCAGAAAUGGAGCUAAACCGAAUGCAGCAUUAUGUUUUGAUCAUUUUGUUCCUAUGUAACUUUGUCUAAUUCAUUUGUAAUUUGUUCACAAAGUUAGUAAGAUUAGUUCAUGAUUUGAAUUGAUGUAAUAGCUACCUUUUAUGUGUAAUUCAAGCAAAUGUUAGUCUUGUAUUAGUAGGAGCAGUUAAGUCAUUAGGUAACUGCCCAUUACCUUGUAACUCAUAUUAUUCAAAUUUUGAAUGAAAAAUUAAGUGGUGAAUUUUCAGUUAUCAUUUUUGCAAGGUUUUCAUUCUGUUUUUGCUUCGAUUCUCCUGUUUUUGUUUUGCUACUUUGCCUUUUGUUUGCUGCCAAUGUUUCAACACACUCCUAGUAGUUAUUUAUUAUUCAACAAGAUUGCUCUAGCUGAAGUUUGGAGUUUGGAGCAUACCUGUGUAAGGCCACAAGGUUCAAAAAUAGAUGGGAUGAUGAACAUGUCAGAUGCUGCGUAAAUGGCAUGAGAAAGAGACUCGUCAUAUUUUAGUAUUAGCCGAAUGUGUUCGUGGUUUUGGAAUUGGUUUGCUAUACCCUCAAAUUCCCUCUGAAAACAAAUAAAAGAACAAGAAAAUGUAAAGGAAAAUCUCAGUGUACUAAGUAUGGAACAGGAAAAGGAUCAACUUAAAAUAAAACAAAUAACUCCGCAUGGCCCGAUAUGCCUGAAUGGAGUUUUUAUUGUUUUUAUAGCUUUCAUUCAUGCAAGCAGAAAGAAAUCCGUUGUUCACAUAGAGAAAACAGCAGUAGAGAUUCACCUGAAUGUGGAGAACUGGACUUGAACCAAGAAGUACAAACUGACCGCCCAUCUCCAAUGUUCGAUAUAUGGCAUGUUUAAUCAGAUGAACACCUUUCUGUGGCACCAAUCUUGUUAUGCAGCCUACCUAUUCAAUAGUAAAAGACUUCGAGUAAGAAUCUAGGCAGUAUUCAGCUAAGAAAUAAUAAGAACCUCCUAUAAUGCUGUGUUAUUGGAACCUAAAGGUGACCUUAAACUUACAUUGUAACUCAAAAGCUUUCAUAGAGAAUAUAUAAUACAUCUUAGCAAUGUUGAUAUAACAAAUAAAGACUUCAGAAAUAAAAUUACCAAUGGCCGUUGAUCAUCAGCAGAUGAAAGCCCUAGAUUCCUUCUCAUUGCAGCUUUAUUUUCUGCUUUCCCUUGCAUAUCAUUAGCACUAUACUGCACUUUGAGAAAAUUAUCGGUGGCAGGAUUCCAUGCAUCAGUAUCGAUCCCAUUUAAGAUUCCCAUGAACUUUCUUGAGUGAGAAUUCAGUGUUGAAUGGAGGCCUUUUCCUCCCUGUAAAAGUUAGGGACAUGAUUUUGUAGUUCAACCUUAAAAUUAUAAAAGGAAGACCAUGUUCUUGAAAGAAAAACUACAAAAUAUUCUUACCUCAGCAGUUCGGACUUCUUGUGCAUAAGUGGGUGAUACUGUCGUCACUAUGUUAGAGAACACAAUUGCACCCUGAAAAGAAGGAAACUUAGAAAAAAGAACAGAAAGAAACUCUAUUUGUUAUAGGCUUAUAGCCAAACCAGUGAUUACAGCACCUUAACAGGAUUGACACUGUCAUGUGCUGUGUUAUCCUGCAUCCUAUCAGGUCUAUUUAACUCCUGGGCAUCCAGACCACAUGAUGCCAAUUCUGAAGCAGAUGCAGUCCCUUGGUACUCAAAGUUAUGGCAUGUAAAACAUAUUCGAGCUGAAUUUAAACCUUUUGGAGCAUACAAGUCCCAAUAAAGUGGUGCCUGAAAAUGUAGUCAGAAACACACCAGUCAACAGAACAUUAAAUUGAAUACCGAAAGAAACAUGAGGCCAAAAUGUCUUACAACAAAAGCUGUCUGCCAAUCAUGGCAGUGAAUUAUAUCUGGUUUCUUGCCAGCUUGAAGAAGAAACUCGAGUGCCGCGCGACUGAAAAAUGAAAAACGCUUGAAAUCAUCAUGCUCUCCAUAAUAUUGACCUCUCCAGAAGAACUUGUUGGGAUGAUGAGGCUCAAUAAAAUAAACAGGAAGGCCUGUGAAUUUAAUAGCACAUUCAGAAAGCAAAGCUAAUAGAUAACAUGCAACUAGAAAGGAAAGAAGAGAUUCUCACCUUCAACAGUACCAACCCAAAUUUUAUUUUGAAAUAGUUUGCCAUCAAAAUAUGACUCUACAGUCACAUCUAAGGCCUGUCAAAAAAAUAAAAUAAAAUCAUCACAAGCAUAUAUUGGCCUAUGAUCUUAGUGCAUCUCAAAUAUGCUAACAUACCCUUAAGUCAUAAAUGCCGUCAUAUUGCAUACAAUCAUAUUUUGGAAGAAUAAUCUCUACAAGGUGUCCUUUCUUCUGCAGUGUUUUACCAAGACCAGUCACAACAUCUCCCAAACCACCAACCUGAUUAAAAAUUAUUGAAUUAAGAGAACAGAGCAACAGAAAGAAAUCCUCCAAACUAGUAUGUAAGAAUAUGCAAGUGGAAAAAUAUUGUACAAGCUAGCUAGAAGCAAAAGUCAGAAGACAAUUAUUGAACAUUCAUUUCUCAGUAUUAGGAAUUUGGAGAUCAAUUUUAUAAACAGAUAAAAUAACAAUUCUAGCAAAGAAAUUGACAUGUAGAGAUAUAUUUAGUAAUUAUUAAAAGACCCAAAGGGUAGUAGGCUAGUUGCUAACAAAUGGAGAAAAGAAAAUGCAGAAACAAAAUCAUGUCACCAUUGAGACAUUCCUGGUCACAUAAAACAGCCAGCUACCCAGCCAUCCAGGUUCAAACACAAGAUCACAAAUAUACACUUGCAAGCACCCAGGCAGUGAUUUCCAGCGGCACAAAGGUACACAGGCAUUGGUGAUUAUACACUAUCAACUUCUUUCAAGCAGAUUGAAACCAUGCAUAGUCUUUAUGCAUAAUUCCAGUUAAGACUUCCCAAGGAGCUUCGUUCCUUGGAAUUUAAGAGCAAAAAGUGAAAGCUACACUAGGGGUGUUUGAAAUAGAUGAGGAUGAAUUUCCCAGCAAAAUAUGGAAAAUAAAAUGAAAACUUUAAGCUUGUUUGAUCAAGGUAAGCAAUAGGCAAAGGAGAUCCAAGAAAACUGCUAAAAGGUCUGUCCAUUGGUAAGUAAAGUUGUAAAGUUGUACUUCAUAUAAAAAGCAAGUGGAUUAACAAGUAAAAUGAAGAUGUCUAAUUCAAUGAAAUUUUAAAAGGAAGAAUUUGUUUUCGACCUUUAACAAAAGAAUCCAAGCCAUAAAGUACAGCUUUAGAUUAACCUAGACAUCGCUGUACUGCUUAGUAAUUGAACUCCAGAAGGAAAGAACAGUAGACUCUGUACAUCUGUCAGCAUUAGCUAAUAAACACGAAAUAUUUAGUGAAAACAAUGCAGUGUCUUCCAUUAUGAUUUACUGAGAAACAACUCAAAGUGUAACUGGGAAUGCAUAAACAAUCAUAACUGUUGUAGUAUAAUCAUAGGAGAAUCCAUUGGUGAACAUGGAAAACCACAGAGGAUGUGGAAAAGAACAGUUGCAAGCAAGUAUAUUAAGGCCACAAGAUUAAAGAAAAAGUAAAACGCAAUAUGUUAAGAUGCUCCUCUAUCUUACAGCUUUUUAUUAUAAAAAAUGCAAACUAUGCAAGGCAUUGGAACCAGGAAAAUAUCAGCAACACCUAGAAAGAAAUUAACAAUCUAAUAAAUACAUUGUUCAUUUUGACACAGUUAAUCAAAUAAGAGUCAGCAAAUCUAUGAGAAUACAACAUUAGAUAUGGACAUGGGUUAAGGGUUUGAAGGUGAAAAAAGACUAGAAAGGAUAAGACCUCUUACAAUGUAUGUUCAUUAAGAUUAGCCAAGAAAGCAACAAAUAUGAGGGGCUAAGUCUUACCUUAGCAACUGGUGCCAUCUCAGCGGCAAUAUGAACGAUGUACAACCCUGGACUAAAGACAAAAAGAUGGACAAGUUAAAAAAAAGCAGUAAUGCAUUAAAAUUGAUUAGUUAAAGGUAAGCACCUAGCUUGUGAGGAUGCAAGCCGGAGAAAUGUAGAUAUGACUUCACGCUCAUUCUUUUCUUUGCAUGCAAUAUGUGCAUCACGAAUGCAUCGAUCCUUCUUCCACACCAGUUCUCUCAAAAGCUUUGCAUCACUGUUUGAUAUUUUCUUCUCAAGCACCCAACCAUCAAUAGUAAGCAAUAAGCGGCUCCAAAAUUCUCGAGGCAUAUCAUCAACUAGUGCAUCUGAUGUCCUUUUCUUGCUUUCUUCUUUCAAACUAUUAAGAGUAUCCUGAAAUGCCUCCAGAGAUUCUUGAUAUAAUUGGACAAAAGAAUAUAUCUCUUGAUCAGACUUUUGAAGACGCUCCUCUAGUAGUUUUAUCUUUUUCUGUAUGAGUUCAUUUGAUUGUUGCAUUUUGUCAGAUGAUACCUUAAGGACAUUAACCUCUUCAAGAGAUUUUUCCAGUUUAUCAACCUUCUUUCGAAGAUCCUGGUUUUGCUGUAACACUAAAGUGGCUUGAUCAGCCUGUUUAGUUGCCGUAUCGAACAACUGUUGCAAAUUUUCUACCUUUUCCCAUAGCUCCUGGUAUUCAACCUUUAGAGUAGAAAUUUUUGGAGAGUCUUCCUGAGAAACCAAUAGUUUAGACUCCAACUCCUUCACAGAGGACCCUAGAAAAGAGCAUUCAUUUUCCAAUGUUGCCAUGCGUUCAUCAGUGUUCUUGACAUUGCUAAUCAUAGACUUAAGUGCUUGGAUAUCAUUUUUUAGGGCUAGAUUCUCUGUCCUUAAUGAAUCAACCUCCUUGUUAGGAGAAUGAUCAUCAUGUGUUGAAAGCAAUUCCUCAUUCGAAAAUUUCUUUUGAUUCUCAUAUAGUUCAAGCUCACCCCUGUCAGUUAACUCAUUUCGCAACAUCUCUAAUUGACUUUCUAGGAACUCGACAUGUAUCUUUCCUUGAGAAGCAACUUUAAUCCGUGCAUCAGCCUCUGCCAAUCUCAUUUCCAAAAUGUUAAUUUCUCCUUGCAAAGUCUCCUUCUCAUCAAGAACUUUAUGAAUAUCUUCUAGCGCAUGAACCCGUGCUUGAUUGAGAACAAGGAUAUCUACAUAUUUAGAAACAAAUGAAUGUGAUGAUAUGUAUAUAUCUCGAGUUGCAUACACAAAUAAGAUCUACAUAGAUAUAAAUUCAACAGUUUCUUAACAGCAAGUUAUCUUACUUCUCUCUGCAUUUUUUAUCAUGCCUACCAGGUCCUCUAGUUGCAUACUUGAGAGCUGCUCUCCAUUUAUGGCCUGCAAAAAAGAAAAUAGCUAUAAUAUUUUAAGUUUAAACCUUUAAUUUAUAUAGUUCUUCCUAAGAAAACAUAACAUAAUAAGUAUAUGACUAUGUAUCUCUUAUAGUUCCAUAACUAACUGUUUCUCCCGAGACCUAAUAAGUUCGUAACUCUAACCUAAAAAGAAAUCAUUUUUAUCAAAACUCUGCAGUAUAUUGUACCAGAUAAAGCAUCAAUAAAAAAAUCAGAUCACUGCUGAAUGGAAAUCUUAAUUAUUAGGGAGAACUCAUAAUUACUAUAAUUGCUGGACACAACAAUUAAGCAAUGGUAAAGGAGUUCAAUUAUUCUUCCACUUCACCAUCAUUCUGUAAAAGUUAAAAAAGAUAAACAAAUCAAACUAAAAUAUCCAAACAGACAAUAAAAAUGUAGCACCAAGCAACACAACCUUAGUCUAGAUUCACUACAGACUUAUUCUGUAAAUGAAAGUACCAAAGCUUUUGUUACAGAAGGCAGCACGAGGCCGUUUAUAAUCUGUUCACUGGUACGCUCCACGUCUCCGGCAGAGACAGAUAGAGUGCCCGAAUUCUGUUCGGCAAUAUUCUCUACAUCUAUCACAGUGUUAACAUCAUCUUUUCCACUCGUUUCGUGAUUUGCAAAAGGCUCCACAUCUACACCAUUUGGAAAAGAAUUUUCAGGUUCAGAUUCCUCAUCCCUAAUCGGCAGCAACUCUGCACUCGUUGGAAUCCGCUCAGGAGGUUUACUCAUUCGUUGCCUUUUAUGAUUUGAACUACAUAAAUAUCAAUAAGAACAUAAAAAAAAAAGUGGAUUAUAAGUUGUUGAUUAAUAUAUUCUAUGAUUUGGAUUGAUCAUAAUCAGUCAAACUCAUUGACUACCCUAAUCAUUAGGUAUAAUUCGCAUUCAAACAUAGAACCAUAUGUCAUUAGUUACUAAUUCCUGCCAUUAAUCUGCACUAAGAAAUCAAAAUUCUGGCAAAUAAUGUCUAGCAUUUACUAUAUCUAGGCCAAACGAAGUUCUAUUCAGUAAAAAAUUUCUCAAACUCGAUCAAGGAUAAAAACAAAAUCGAUCUUUCAAACAAUACCUGAGAUUACGUUGCCGCAUUUUACAAUAAGCUGGGAGGAAUUGACGCGAAGGCAAAAACAGCACCCUCAUAUAUACAUUCUUAUGCUUAUCAACAGUGUUUUUAUAACUACUGUUACUCAAACAACUAAAGCCAUGACUGAAAAAGCAAGCCGAUAACUUUGCAGACAUUUCUUUAUUAUGAUGAUUCUUUUUUCUUUCAAAUGACUGAGAAAAGCUUGUUUUCCCUUUUUCUAUACCAACGAAUUUAAAAGAUAAAUGGGAGGGUAAGAAUAACCGCUUUCUUUGGCAUAACGUAGCUUCCUGCCUGAGAGGGAAAGCUUAGUAUAAAAAAAAUGAAGAUACUAAUUAAUAAAUAUCUUAAAAUGCUGAUAAUAUCUCAGUGGAGGGAAUGAAACUCCUUUUGAUUGAUGACUCCUUUGUUUUAUUGUUAAGGUAUGACUAUUUUCGGUUACAACCUUAUCUAAAUCCAACAUAAUAUAUUUAAAUAUUUUCCUUUGUUCAGUAGAGGAUUUUGAAAGUAUAUUUUAGAUUAUCUUUGGUGUAAUAUUAGAAUUAAUUUUUUAGAAUUUUAAAAAAUUUAAAAUAUCAUAUUUUUUAAAUAAAAAUAUAAUUGAUAUAAGUAUAUUUUUAUUAUAUAAUUAAAUUUGUGAUGAUAAUUUAAGAUAAUUUUAAAUUGAUUUAAUCCGUUUUAAAAAUACAAUAACACCAAUAAAAUAUUAGAUAUUAAUAUUUAAUGUCCAAUAUACUAAAAAAGCUUUUAAACUAUUAUAUUUUGUUUAAAUAAAUCCUAGUUAAAUAAACUCUUAAGUCAUGUUUACUCAUUAAAAAUCCUUAAUUUUAAUAUUAAGGGUAUGUUUGAUUGCCAGUAAAAUAUUUUCCGUAAAAUAAUUUCUGGAAAAUGUUUUACUUUUCUGUAAAAUGAUUUACUGGAAAAUAUUUUCUGGUGUUUGAUUGAAUCUGUGUAAAAUAUUUUCGGCUGUUUGGCAGAUUUCCUGGAAAUAUUUUUCGAAAAAAUUGUUUUUACAUAUAUUGAUAUAUAUUAAUAAAUUUUUAUAUUUUAAAUUAUUUUUACAUAUAUUGCAAUGAUUUAUUUAUAAUAAUACUCAAUUAUUAAGCCACAAUAUUAAUCGUUAUAAAUUGAAAAAAAUUAAUAUCAAAUAAAUUAUUUGUAAUUGUGUUAAAAAAAGUAUUGAAUAAUUAAAAAAAUAAGUUACUGGAAAAUCGAUAAAUAGAAGCAAUUUUCUACCGGAAAUGAAGGAAGGAAUGAAGGAGGCGAUAGAGAGGAGAGCACGGAAAAUGUCUUACGGAAAUUGAAAGGGUAAGACAUUUUCCCUAAAAUAUAACCCAUUUUCCCUUGUUUUGGAGUUCAUUUUCCAAAUGGAAAAUGUUUUCCGCCAAUCAAAUGCUGGAAAAGUUGGAAAUGAUUUUCCGAAAAAUCAAUUCCUUCAAUCAAACAGACCCUAAAAAGUAAAAAUAUGUAAACAUGUUUUAAAAUUUUAAAUUAAUUUACAUUUGAUAAUAAUUUUUUUACCAAAUUAAUGUGUUUAUAGCUCGUAGUAGUGACUCAUCUAUAAUCUAUAUAAAAACAUAAAUUUCAAGAAAAUUUUGAAUUAACAAAAAUAUCCUUUAUUGUUAAUUAUAUUAUUAAUUUGAUAUUAAAAUAAUAAUUAAUCAUUAUGUGAUAAUAUUAAAAGUAAUAUUAAUUGAAUUUUAUAUAAUGAAUUCAUUAGUUAAAUUUUCAAUAUUUAAUUUUUUAACACUUAUUUUUUUAGCAUUUAAAUAAUGAUAAAUUAUUAUUUUAAUAUCAAAUUAAUAAUAUAAUUAACAAUAAAAAAUUUCAAAAGUUUCUCCAACACGCUUUUAUUUAAAUUAUAGAUUAUAAAUAGAGAAUAUGUUUUUGCUUAUGUAAAUUUAUUAUUUACUUCUUUAAUUUAAUUUAAUUUUUGUUGUUUAUUUAAUUUUUUAUAUAAUUCAUGUGAACUUGAUGACUUAGAAAAAAAAUUUACAUGUCAAAUUUUAUUAGCGUAUUUAGCAAUUCACUAAAGACGUUAACAUCAGAUAUCAUAAUAAAAUCCAUAUUGAUAGUUCAAGUACUACAAAAUGCAUGUACCACAUUUGAUAUUUUAUAAAAGUACAGGAACCAAAGGUGGAAUUAUCCCCUUUAAAAAUGUUUAGUUACCUAAAUGAAAAAAUUACCAUGGUUUAAUGGCUACUUUUCUAUUUAGGCCUUCAAACUAUCCCGCAAACUGUGGAUUUGGAGGAACCGCAAAAAAAAAAAUGUUGAAAUCUUAUUCUUUGUAAAAUCCGUUUACUUUUUUAUAUUUUUAUUUUUAUUUCCGCCAAAAUCAGAAAUUCUUCUUCUUAAUGCACUAAUAUUUUCAAUUUCCUCAAAAAAAUCUUCUUCUUAAUUCCAAAUUUAUUGAUCCCUGGAUUUCGAAUCACACAAUUUAAAUUUCCUCUCUUAAUCCUUGUUAAUUAUCUGUUUCAACAAUCAACAUUUAAAUCAAAGCCUCUACUCUGAAUUGUUUUCUUCUUAUAUAUCACUUAGAUCAAGAAAUGGAGAAAAACACUAGCUGUUUUUUCUCCAAUUCAUCUCCAAAUCUUGUAAUCACUUGUUUCGUCGCCUUCAUUACCAUCAUAUUGGUUCGAUUUCUUUACGUUAUUUACCGAACCGGCAAGCCGCUAAACAAAAGAACACCGCAGCAGACUCUCAGCACUCUCAUUGUUUUAGGUUCAGGUACGCUUCAAAUUUCGUUUAUCUGUUUCCUUAUUUGCCUUUAAACUUCACGAUGUUUAAUUAUGAUCUUUGGAUAUUGAUUUAUCGGUAUAGGAGGACACACAGCGGAGAUGAUUAAUCUCUUAUUAGUUUUACAAAAGGAUCGAUUUACGCCGAGGUUUUAUAUCGCCGCCGCUACUGAUAAUAUGAGUCUUCAGAAAGCUCGCAUGUUUGAGAAUUCUUUGGCUGAUUCGGUAAAAUUGGCUACUUCAAAUUUUCAUUAUGUUAUUAAUUGCUACUAGGAUUCUUUUUAGUACUUUCUUUCAUUGGAUUUCAAUUUGUUUAAUGUGGAUUUUUGUUCUUGAGUGUACGUUUUAUAUAUUUUUAUUUAAUGAAAAUCCUUUGAAUUAUUAUUUAAUGAUUUUGAUAUUCUUUUUAGCACUUUUCCCCUUUAUGUGUCAAUGUUGUUAAUUUUCGAUGUUAUUUUUAAGGUAAAUGUAGCUCCUUUUUAUUGGAAUGUUUGAUGGCCUCACAAUUGAAUGUGCAUCAUUCGUUCUAAAUGAUAUCCUAAUUGCAGACCCUCAAGUAUGAUCCACUGGACAGUCUAGACUAACAGUUUUUUUCAUUGCCCGAUUUCGUGUGUUGGUAGUUACUUUUUGCAAACAUUUCUAUUCGUUUGUAAAAUUUAAAGUUUUAAAUGAGUUUUGACAUUGAAUGGAGGAUGGUUCCAUAGCUGUGCUUAUCGUUAAGAAGUAGAACUAUGUUUCAUAAUCAUUUUGCUUUUUUGCUGGUCAAAUAAGAGGUUUACUUCUUAAACUUAUUUCAACAAUAGGGUGUCAAGGGAAUCUCUGCAGAGUUUAUGCAAAUCUAUAGAAGCAGGGAAGUUGGUCAAUCAUAUGUAACUUCUGUCUGGACAACUUUAGUUGCUACGGCUCAUGCAUUGUGGCUAAUGAUUAAAAUCAGACCUCAAGUGGUAUUUUUCUGUUUCUGUUAUGUCCAACCAUUUUUUCCCCUUCCAAUCUUGUUACUUUUACUAAAGAAAAAUUCCAGAAUCAAAUUUCUUGUUAUAAACUUGACUUUAAUUGCAGGUUCUUUGCAAUGGCCCUGGUACUUGUAUUCCUCUAUGUGUAAUUGCUUUCAUUUUCAAGGUUUGUCUGUUUUCCCUGGAAGCCAUAUUAUUUUGUAUUGCCUUUCUCUCUUUGAUAUUACUGAUGGAAUUUUUCCAAAAGUUAAAUGCAUAAACAUUUCUACGUCUAGGAAAAUUGGAGUUAGCCAUUUUUCUUGUAAAUUUUGCUUGCAGGUUGUUGGGAUUAGAUGGUCAUCCAUAUUUUAUGUUGAGAGCAUUGCAAGAGUAAAAAGGCUCUCUUUAAGUGGUCUGUUGCUUUACAAGUUACAGAUUGCAGAUCAGUUCUUUGUGCAAUGGCCACAACUGCAGAGAAAAUACCCUCGAGCUCAUUAUGUUGGUUGCCUGAUGUAGUGAAUUAAGUCUGCUGCUGAUGGGUACUCUUACUUUAACUUCUAAGGUUUUUUUUUUUUACUUAAAUAGUGUAUUCAGCAACAUGGUCUGAAGUAGACCAUGAUAUUUGGCCAAAAAGAAAAAGUGAUAGAAUGCAACACGAUUCUUUUGAAAAUUUGACUCUAUUUGCUACAGUUGCACAUUAACAAAAGCAUGUUAUUUAAUAAUUCUAGCGUAUCAUUUCACUGCCUGAAUAUUAAGUCCUUAUAUUUGUUGGCAAAUAACUUCUGAGGCAUAAGUUUCUAGUUCAACAUUUCAAAAACCUCUUCAUGUGUUUCUCCAUUUAGAAGCUUUUGAUCAAGCCAUUGCAAGCAGUGCAUAAUCCAAAUGCAUAUUUCCUUCGGAGACUUCAGUGUGGCUUGCUGGACCAGUUCCGAAAUAUCAGGACAUAGUUAGUAGAACUAGUGAUUUGAUUAUAAAAGGAGUAAACUUUUGUGAAGGGAAAAGUUGAUAGUGGAAGGUGCAAGAGUCCAAUAGAAUGCACCAAAGCUAUGCUGCUUGCUCUUUGACAGUGCAAGCAACUUUUGGGUGCCUAGGUGGUGAGAGGUAGUUACCCAUAUGCUUUUCCCACCUUUAUCGUAGUAUAGUCAUCUCAAGAGUGUGGAUGCUGACUGGUCAAAGAUCACCGAAAGUGCAUACAUGAUGAUGAGAUCCACUUAUAGUUUCUGGGUUAAUGGCUCACCAGUUUCUUGCUAUUCAGAUGCUGAGGUGAGCUUUCUUCCUUGAUUGCUUGUGAGAUGGAUUUGGAGGUGGUAGAAGAAGUUUUUAAUCGUGAAGAUUAAUUAAUAUUGAGGAAGUGCAAAUUCUUUUAGGUUCUAAUUUGGUUGCUUAAUAUUAUUUUGAAGAUAUGCAAAUUAAAACGUUUCGUUUUGAUUGAUGAUAAUGGAAAGAUAAAUUAUAUGAUUUUGCUUGACUGAUUCAAUAUUGAACUAGUUUUAACUUUUAAAUAUUUUAUUGUCAUAACAAGAAAAAAAAUACAGUCAUUGUUUGCAAUAUUUACUGCUUCAUGACAACAGAUAAACUCAUAAGCUUCAUGCAGUUAGUGAAUUGAUUUGACCAUUUAUUUUCUUUGGUACAUCUUUAUUGGCAGUAAUUAAACUCUAGCAUCAUUAUCUUUCACUCAUUGCUUUAAGAAGAGGAAGCUUUUUAAGCUUCAUUAUUGACGUUUAUGUUGGUGUGUUCACUCUUAGACUCUCGGUCAUCAAGAUAAUGCUGGUAGACAUGUGAAAGAUAACAGCUAGGAUCGGAAUAACAUCAAGAUAGCAGUGCUGUGCUUCCAAUGGUGAAACCCUGCCAUAGUAUGCACAUCCAUACUAAAACCAUGAUAUAUGAUGUCUUUCCUAGUUCAUGUUCUUCCAUUUCUCCCUUUAGACUUUUCCAUUCUCCGGUAACAAAAAGUCCCAGCAUGAUUGCACUUGAUGCGACUAGUGACUGAUAAAACGAUUCCCUUUUUAUGACCUUCUGAAAGCAGAAAUGCGUCAGAGAAAGGUACAACCCGUUUCCUGCUGAUGCAACAAUGGUGCAUAUGAACCCGAUCACGCUCUUCCCUCUUGAAACUCCAUUUGGAGUUGACGAGUCUUCAUGAGACACGAGAAGGAUUAGAGAAUUGAUUACGGAAGGGGUGAACUUUUGUGAAUUGAGAAAAUAAGAGAAGAAAACAUUGAAAGCUAACUGUGAUGCAUAGAUGAGUGAAUAUUUAGACACGGGAAGGUAUCACAACCCCAUCGAGUAAAGAAAGCAGUAUGUUGCUACAAGUAGGCCAAUGGAGAUAUAAAUCGACGCUAGAACCAGGGCGGAUGGUGGGGGAACUGUGCCAGAAUUGGUUGCAGUCGGAGUUUUUGAGAGACAAGAAGCAAUAGUAAGAAUGAGAAUAGGGAAAGCCUGCGAGUUGCAUAAGUGUUGCUAACCAUUGGCUCUUUCCACCUUUCUCAUAGUACAGUCUUCCCAACAACAUAGCGAUUGACUGGCCAGAAAGCACGAAGAGUACAUACAAACCUAUCCGUACCCAAUGUUUAUAGUUUUUGGGCGCUAUUGAUGAUGGGUUUGUUGAAACCAUAGUUUGUUCCUUCGAGUCUGUUCUUCAUUCUCCUGAACAGGUAAGAAAAUCGCACAAAGGAAUUCACUUAUGAUGCCUACAUCGGUGUUUUUGAGGUAGAAGUAUCGUGGAGGUUCCUAUGUUAGGAGGUGGAUUCUAUUUUGCUCCUAUUCAAAAAAAUGAGUAAAUAAAGUAUUGUAUAUUAGAUUAAAGAGUAAAUUGGUUCUGGUAAAAAAUUCAUUCAUUUUCUUUGUUAAAAAUUGGUCCCGGUCAACAUCAUAUCCAAUUUUUAAUAUAAGAAAUUAAUUAUUACUGAACUGUACUAAAUCGGUUCAGAUUUUGGUUUCUCUAUUGUUUUUGGGCUUUAAGCUUUUGGACUUUAUUAAAACAAAAUUGUCUUUAGAUUUGAACUUUUCAAUUUUAAUUAAAUAAAAUUAUCUUUGUUUUAUGUUUCUUAGACACUAUUUGACAAUUUAAUUUUUUUAUUAUACAAAAAGUCUCAAUCAAUAUAUUUAUCUCAAAAAUAAUUUGUAAAAUCUAUAAUUAUAAAUGUUUAUUAAAAAUCUAAUUAAACCUUGGUGUAAUCACUCUCAAUUUUUACUAAACAUGAUCAAAUGUUAAAUUAUUUGUAUUUUAUAACUUUUAAUGUGUAAUGACAGCAAAAAAAACAACAAUAAUGAUAGAAAAAAUAACAUAAUAAGUAAAAAAAUGACGAGGACUUGAAUUCUUGGAAGUUUUAACAGCAAUAAUAAAUAAGCAAUGAAUUAAUGAGAUAUUGACGCUUGAAUUUUUAAAUGGUUCUUUUUAAACUUUUCGAUGUCCAAUGGAAUAAAUCAAAAUUGAACCAAAUUGAUGUGGUUUAAUGACAUCAUUUAACCAAAAUCGAAUUAAACCGAAUUGUUGAUUCGACUCGAUUUCCCAGUUUGGUCGGUUUUGUUUGCUCAACUCUAUCAACAUGAGAUACAUGUGACAAGCCUCGUGGCAUUGUCUAGAUAUUCUAUCAACCUUAUCAGAUUUGAACUGCAUAAAUGAGUGAAUUUUUUUAUAGAAAAGACCAAAUUGCUCUUUGAUAUAACUAUGAGAAUUAAUUUAUCUACUUUUUGAGUAGAGGAAAAAAAAUAUAAUUUGACUCCUAAUACAAUGACCUCCAUUAUAAUUUUAUCGUGUUUUUGAUUAACUUUAUAAAAGGUUUAAUUUUUCUCCAAUCUUUAUAUUGAUUGAAUUUUUAAAAUUUAACUUUUUUUUUAAUUUUAAUUCAAGAAAUAUAUUUUCUUAUAUAAUUUAAAUUUUUAAUUAAUAACACUGUUAAAAUGAAGUUGUGAAUUGCAAUUGCUAACACAAAUUCAAAUGAAGUAAAUUUAACGAAUGAUGUACUUGGCCUACAUGCUACUCCCAACUUUUCUUUUAAAUGUUUAUGUACAAAACCUAUAUUUAAUAUAUGUUGAAACACAAAUACAGGAUAUGACUUUUCAACUAUCCUUCAAAUAUAUAAAAUUUACUUUUAAAAAAUUUAAAAUCUCCAUAUCUAAUGCUCAUACAAUGAGUAACAUAGUAGCUAUGUAUGUGUAUUUAACCAACCUGUGAUUGGCUGUGGCAGUGGCUUAGCUUCUCCCAUGUUAAAAGACGAAGAAAGUUCCUCCAAGCAAGAUCUAAAUUAUGUGGAAAGGAAAGGGCAAACAGACAAGAUUAUAUAUAAGGUUUUUUUUUCCCUUUUUCUUUUUUAACAUAAAAUCAACACAAUAGGACCCCCAAAGAAAGUUGAUUUAUGCAUUGUUUUAAUGAUAAGGAGAUGCUCGAAUGAUUUUAGAGGUUAGAACUUAUUUAAAAGUUUCAAAUUUGAAAAGGAAUUGAGUUUAGUCCGCAUCAAGGAACAUUAACUUAAAUACAUAUUGUAUUCUCAUAAUUAAUUAGAGGUUUUAGGUUUAGGAUAAAGAUGGUAAAAAUAAACUUGAAAUUGAAGAGUUUAGAGUUGAUUUGACUUGAUAUGGUCGAGUUUUUUGUUUUAAAAUUUCGACCAGGUCAAGUUAAUUUUAGCGUGAAAUCACUUCGCUCAACUUAAAAUAUUUACGAAAUUACUCUUCUAUAUAUUUAAUAUUAUUUAGGUUAAAAAAUUCUUAAAAUUUAUUACUAUUAGCAUCAUUUUAUAUCAGUUAUUCUCCUCCUCUCUUUUUAAUUUAUUUUCUCCAGUUUCUCUUUCAUUUUCAUUCAUUAUUUUUUCUUUUGUGAUGUAAUGUAUAUUUUUUACUGAGUCAAAUCCCUACUAAAAGAAUGAUAAAACAAAUCCAAUGGGAAGUUGUGCCAAUUUCUUCUUAAAUAUUUUAUUUUAGUUUAAGCUUGGGUGGAAUUAGAUUGGGUUUGGGUUAGACCUGUCCAUGGGUCGGGCCCGGAAAAAAUUUUGGCCCGAAUCUUAGGCUCGGGCCCAGCCUAAAAUAUGGGCUUAAAAUUUUGCCCAGGUCCGACUUGGGAAAAAUAAUAAGCCCGAGCCCGGCUCGAUUUUUAAUAAACACAAAAAAAAUAUUUUAAAAAUAAAAAAUAAAAAUAAAAAUAUUUUUAAAGUGUUUUAAAAUUAAAAAAUAAAAAUAAAAAAUAUAUAUUUAUUAUAUUCGGGCCGGGCCGGGCUCGGGUCAAAAAAGUUGAGCCUGAGCCCGGCCUAUUUUUUAUACGGGCCUCAUUUUUUUGCCAAAGCCCAUAUUUUGGGCCUAUAUUUUUGCCCGACCCCUCCCAUAUUUCGGGCGGGCCGUCGGACCGGGCGGACAGGUCUAGUUUGGGUAUACAAUUAAUUUUUAGGUUUGGAAUGAGUUAAAAUUUUUAAGAUCAAAAUCAGGUCGAAAUUGGGGCAUGACAAUAAAGUAUCAGAUUAGGGUCGAACAAGUAAAAAUUCAAACCGCCCCACUCUGUUGCCAUCACUAAUUAAGGGUAAAUUAAAAAAUAUAUUAGAAAUAAAAAUUCAAAUCCAAAACUUGCAAUAAAAUUUUGUUUUAGCGUUUAACUAAAUAAUCAAUUUUUUUUAUAUAAUGUUAAAAUCAAUCCAUAGUCUAUAAAUAUAAAGAUAAUACAUUUCAACGUACUUGAACUCACGUCCUUCUGUAUUGGCAAUAAUAUCUAUGCCAAUUGAACUAAAACUUAAUCGGCAUGUAAUAACCAAUUAUUAUAUAAAAAAUUUAUGUAAAAAAAUGGUUGUGGGUUAAUUUUGGUUUUAAAGUGUUAUAUUAGAGAUUUUAUAUAAAUAUAUAAAAAAUGAAAAUAGUUAAUAAUAUUAAUUAUUUAAUAUAAAAUUUUCUUUAAAACACCAAUUUUCAUAUCGUCAUGUUAAUAUUAAAUAUGUUUAUGGGCGGUUCGGUCCGGGUCAAUUCGAUUAGUACAUUUAAGAGAAUUAAGUAAAGUUAUCAGUAUCACACUUAUAUAGAUGUAAUAAUUUUGUUUUGGUAUUGACAGUAUCAGUAUUUUGAUAUCUCAUUUCAUUUAUAUAAAUGUCGCUUAAUUUUUAGUUUCUUAAUACCAUAUAUUAUAUAUAAAUGUGAGUAUACAUCAAUUACAUACAUGUAAAUAUAUUCAUGUGGAAAUAUAAAUUUUAAAUUUAUGAAAUAAAUUCAAUAAUUUAAUUUAAAUUAAUUUACUUUUAAAUGUAAUUAUAAAAAUAAAAAUAAUUUAGAUAAUACAUAUUAAAAUUUGAUUUAAAAUAUUUUGUACCAAUAAGUACGAGUAUGUAUAUAUCUAUAUAGACCAAUAUUAAUCAAAAUGGAGCGAAAUAUAUUGAAAUAAUUAAAAUGUAACAAAAUUUUUAUUAGAAUUUAACUAAAACUAAUUGGCAUUGAUUUAGAAAGUGGACCCCUUGGUUUAAAUGGUUAAAUUACUAUGUUAAUCCUUCUUAAAAAAAUAUAAUUUAAUUUAAGUGUUUUAAUGUAAACUUUAUGCUUUUACCCCAAGUUUUUUUAGUUUUAUUUUGGCCUCCCUAACACCAAAUUCUCUCUAUACAUAUUAGCCCAAAAUGAAAAAAUUUUCAUUAAAAUUUUUAAUUUUAAAAAAUUAUAAAUUAAUAUCAUGAUAAAAUUAUAUUUUUAACCUUUUAAAUUUUAUUUAUUUAUUUAUGAUCCUUCUAAAACAGUUUAAAAUGCUAAAAUGGCAUUACAUAUAACAUAGGGAUAGGGCGAUAAAGUGUGAUGUAGGUCAAAAGUCCUUCACUUCUAUUAUAACAUGAUGAUGUGAAGUAGCAAUGGUAAAUUAAAACUAGUAGCUGUAAAAGCAAAAUAGACAUGUUUAGGCUACAAUGUGUUUAAAUCAUUAAAGUUGGCAUCUAAUGAUUAUGGGGUGCGUGGAAAAAAGCCUGGAUACAAACUAUCAGCCGGUGCCAACAGACCAUCAAGUUUACCUGCUACCAGCAGGGUGGACUCAUUUUUGGUGGGUUGAUAUUCUACCUAAACCUGACCAUUGAAUUAGUAUAAAGUUUUAAGUUUGGAUCAGUUCAAUCUAAAAAAAACAUGUUUAAAAUUUUAUUUAAGUUUGACUCAGAUAAAAAAAUAUUAAACUUAAGCUCAGUUCAGCCUACUCAUAUUAAUUUUUUAUAUAAAAAUAAAUUUUAAAAAAUACAAUACAUAAAAUACACUAAAAAUAUUUCCCAACAAAAUUAAAAAUACAUUAAAAAAUAUUUAUACUUAAAUAACACUAAGAUAGUUACAACUUAGCAGGUAAAUGCCUCUAAAAUAAUAGCAAAAAUUAAUAAUAAAAUAAGAAUUAUACAAUAUUUAAAAAAUUACAACAAAAUAACAUCAAAAUGAUAGUAAAACAGCAAUAAGAAAAAUCUAGAUAAAUUUGAGCCAAGCUAAACUCAAGUCAAAAAAUCUUACUUGAAGCGUAACCUAUUUAAAAAUGUGUCAUAUUUUUUUGUCUAAAUUUAUUUAUUAGGCGUAUAUUUUUGUCAUAAACUUCUUACUUUUUGACAAACCUUCAAGACCGGGCUCAUUAUCAGGUAUAAUUCCACUUAACUGCUGCCGUCAUCAACCAUGCAUCGUAGCCAACUAGCCAUGGCGAACCCUUUAUUUGGUCUCAGAUGAUCCAAGUAAAUUAGCCCAUUUCUCAAUUCAACACUUUUUCACGGGCCUCCCUGUUCUGUUUUCAAAUUUCUUUCAUUUUUCAUAAAUAUUUUUAAUAUCUGUAUUUGUAUACAAUUUUUUAAAUAUUCAUACUUAAAAAAUUAUGUAUUAAGAAAUUAUCAUUUAGGGUCCAUUUGAAUAGAUGUUUAUUGCAUUUAAUUUUUUUAUUUCAUAUUACAAUAUCGUUACAAUAUUUAAUUUUACUAUCAUGAUUAUUUUUACACUAAUCACGUAGAACUAAGAUUAUAAGAAUAACAAAUUCUGACUUUUUUAACCCGCAUUCAUUUUAUAAACAUCUUAAAUUUUCAAGCUCAAUUAAUUUAGAUCCAUUAUAAAAAAAAUCAACAAAGUUAAUUUAUAAUAAAAACAAUAAUAUUAAUUAUGAUAAAUUUUAACUUGAUUAGGCAAAUAAUAAUAUAAAACUAAAAAGAAAAAGGAAAAUAUAAAAGCUACCAAAAAAAAAAAGAAGAAGCGUCGAUUCCACGAUACACAAAAAUCGUCAAAAACCAGGUGAAGCCGGCCCCACACAGCUUCUUCUUCCCAAUCACGCGUGCAUCCAACCGUCACUUUCCCUUCCGCAUUAUACGGAAAUGCCCUUAAUCCAACGGUUCAUAUCUCUCCUCCUUUCACUCCCCCUAACUUCACUUAUCCCUAUAACAAAUCCCAACUAUUUUUUUUUUAUAAACAAAUAAAAAAGAGGAAAAAUUAAUUGCUCACACACCCAAACUCUCUUAAUUACCUCUGCAACUUCAUUCAGCGCAAAUCUAGGGAUUUUUUUUUCUUAUAGCACCAUUUUCCCCUAUCCCGUCUUCUUUUUUGGCUGCUUCCACUCCAAUCUCUCGAUUUAUUUUGUAAGGAUUUUAAUCUUAUUCUUUUUGCCAGAUUUUUUUUCCUUAUUUUGAGCUAUCAUAAUAUUGUGGCUUAAGUAAUAUAGGUUUUUUUUUGGCUAGUAUGUAUGCUUCUCUCCGUGUUCUUUCUUCCCUUUCCUUUGCAAUUUAUUUUUUAGUUUUACUGAGAAAUUUACUAUUUUUUUUUAAAAAAAAUAAUGUUUUCUUUUGAUGGAAAGUGAGUUUCUUUUUUCUUUUUAAGUUCAGCUAUUUUUAAUGUUUAUUUUUCUUUUUGAUUUCUCUUAGAUUUGUAUCAGCUACUAAAUAGAACUUCAUUCAUUGUCUUUUUCCUUUAUGAUUCUUAGAUCCACUGGGCUUGAAUUAUUAUUGAGCCCUUUGUUUAGUUGAUUUAUUUUUAUUGAAGAUCCCUUGGUUUAACUGCUAUUUCAAUAUUUUUAAAUUAGUGCUAAUUCUUUUUUUCUUUUGGUUGCAGGCUAGAAUUUAUUAAUCACUUUGGGGGUUGAACUGAAGAUAAACAAAAUGCCGUGGUCUUUGGUUUAUCGUGUUCGAAUGGUUGUUUUCUUUCUUAUCAUACUGUAAUUUAUUUUGGGUAAGUUUUGUGAAUCUAGAACUUCUAUGAAUUUUAAUUCCCCUUGUUAUAAUUCGGUUGGGGUGACGAUUAAUUGCUUAUGUUAUAAUUUUGCUGAAUAAAAUGUAGUUUAAAUCCUAAUGUGCAUUGUGUUUGUAUGUCAUAUUUAAUAAGGAAUUAUUAUAUUGUUGUAGGUGAAUUUCAAUUGAAUUUGGAAUUGGAAGGGGAUUCAAUUCAUUCAAUUUAGCGUCGUUGGAUAUUGAUAAAAUUUUGGUUGGAGAGGUUUGAGAAUGUUCAUUGCAGCAACCACAAAGAGAUAUCGUGCAGUUAAGGAAGUCGGGAAGAUUAAAAUGAGCGUUGGUGUUAUUGCAUACUAUCAAUUAGUUCAAGUUUGUCAGGUAAAUUUGUUUUUCUUACCGCUGUUGCAGUGUGUCCUUGGAAAUGCAUAAAAAAAACUGUCUUAAAUAUAUCCAUGUGUGCCAUGUCAACUGUGGUUUUAUUACUAAUUUUGCGGUCACAUGAUUUUAUUAAGUUGAUAUGCCUCUUGGUUUUUAGUUUUUCAAUUGACUGAUUAGGAAAGUAUGUCUUCUUAAUUCACCCAAGAUAUAAUUAAUGCACUAUAACAAUGUGCACGGACCAAGCACAUUUGUGAACAGUUAUGCAUACAUAUACAGGUAUCAUAGUGAAGAAAAAUAAGUUAUUUUAUAAAUCUGAGCAAUGCUUUUUCAUUGACCUUUUCAUGUAAAUCUGAGCAAUUGUGAGCACAGUGAAUCUGGACACGGAGAAAACUUGUAAACUUUUAACCAUUUUAACGAGCUUCCUAUGGAUCUGUUCAUUUAAUCAAGUAAUAUCAGAUAGAUUUGCGGACAAAAGAAUAUUUUUGUUGUUCUCUGGACAUAAUCUCUGUGUGCAUUUUGUUAUAGUUCUAAUGAUUUUUUAUUUUGCUAUCACAGGCCGAGUAUUUCCGUCAGUUGCUAAAACCAGUUACGUAGUCUAGUAGUUAGCAACUCUUGGAAAUUGGGAUCUGGGGGAGUCUUCCAUUUGGUUGUUUUAUACGUAGGCUUUCAAAGAAUGAAAUAUCUGAUAUUGUUGAUGGGAAAUUGGGGAUAGGCAGCUCUUGUCUUGUUUUGAUGGCGAUCCACUAGUUUUAGUCUGUAGUCUUUCCGUAAUUAUAGCUAUAAACCUCCUUCCAACUUAAAAAUAAAUAAUUUUAAGUUCAAAACCAAGUUUAAACUUCUCGUUAAGUAGAAAAUAAGAUGCAGAGUGACCAACAAUUUUACCCCCAAAAAGCAGUGCCCACACUUGCAGAUCAAGUGGCCAAUAAUUACAUGCAUAUCCCAGUUGCAUCUGCUUUUGGACCAGUUUUUCCUCCAUGUGCAAAACACUUGCCGCCCCUCCAUGGCAUUGAGUUUCAACCCUCUGAGGUUUGUCCCAAGAACUUUGUUAUUUUCAAUCAGACUGAUAAUAGGAACCAAGUCUUGUUCAACCCGGCUAUCACAAACAAGUUUCAUGGUAAUGAAUUAAAUGUUUUUGCAAAUUACAAUGAUGGCAAGUAUGAGAGGAAAGAUGUUUAUGAUGUGGGAGAAGAAACAUCCUCUUUUCUGAAAGAGGAUUCGGAUGAUAUUGAUGCACUGCUCAGCUCGGAAGAGGAAGAACAAGUUGAGUACGAUGAGGAAGUGGUUAGCACAGCCCGGACCUUUGGAAAUUAUGAAUUCGACACUGCUGAUUCUCGCUCUGCUCAUGGCUCGAAACCAAAAAAGAACAAGUCUUCCUCUUAUACUCUGAAGUCUUCUGGUAAUAGCAGUUGUUGUGACCCUGAAAUUAAGCGACUGAAAAUGAAGGAAAUGGUGAAGGUUUUAAGGGGAAUCGUUCCGGGUGCUGAUGAGAUGGAUACUGUUGCUGUUCUCGAUGGAGCUGUUAGGUACCUCAAGUCUCUCAAGGUUGAAGUACAGAAGCUCGGAGUUGGGAAUUUCAAAUAUGAAGAUUGAACCCAAAUCAUGGUAAUGAAGUUCUCACCUUUGUAUACCUCUCCAUAACUGGCCUCUCUCUAAUGGUUUGCAGUCUAGAAAUAAAGAAGACAGGUAUUAGAAUCAAUAUUUGUGUUGUUGUAUGCAUGAACUCUGGUUGUGUAAUAUGAGUACCACCAAGUACCAAGUUUCUAGCUGCCUUUAAUAUCAUUAUGGCACAAGUAGUUGCUUUGAAUGUUAUUGUACUAGUAGUUUCUACUUUCAACUCUGUCUUAUUUCUGUAUUUUACGUACUUUAUGUUUAUUCUCAGUUAUGAAUAAAUGUUACAAGAUGUUAUUGGGGGACAUGAGUGUUCAUUGUGAUGCAUGCAAUUGCAGACUACAUUUUUCUCUCUCCCCCACAAUCCUGGUGACCGGUAGUAGGUACGCAGUGGUUUUUAGUGGCGCAACGCCCGACCUUUUUACCUGUUCUCUAGUUCCUGGCAUGUAUUGAGUUAGACUUAUAAAUGAACAUAUAUUUAUGUUUGUUUAUUUUUAAGUUAGCUUGUGUUCGGUUUAUGCUUGUUAAGGAUUUCAAAAUUGUUUUUGUAGUUGUUUAUUUAAAAGUACACAUGUUCGUGAGUUUAUUUGUGCACGUUAAACGGACAUAUUUACAAAACAUUAAACGUAUAUAUUUGUAAACAUGAACAUAUAAUUGAACAUGUUCAUGAAUAAUAAUAAAUAAUAAUUAAACAUCUAUAUUUAAAUUUUUACCAAAAUUUAUAUAUAUUUAGAUGUAAAAAUAAUUAAGUAUAAAUUUUAAUAAUUAUAUUAUGUAUAAGUAAAAUAAGCACAUAAGUAAUAAUAUUAUUAAUUAUAUAAUAAUCAAACAAUAAAUAAUUUUUAAACAAACUUAUUAAUGAAUAUGAUUGAAUUGAAUAAAAAUUUGAAUUAUUUAUUUAACUCUUUAUUCCAUAUUAUAAAUCAAAAAAUGUUAGAUGUAGUGAGAGAUGCAUUGCAUUUUUAAAGGAUUUUAAAGGGAAAACAUAAAUUCAAACUUAUUAUUGAAAAAGACAGCCGAAUACCGAACAUGGAUUGUAAAACGUAAAUUGUUAAGUGUAUGAGCAUGUUGAAAAACGUAAUUUGUCAUGAAUAUGAGCAUGUAUGGUGUAGUUGGAUUUCCUUUGGCAUCACUCAUCAUUUGUAACUAAUUAGUUUUCAACAUUCAAUUGGUUUCGUCAGCUUUAUAUUAUGUUAUAUGGGAAGUGGUGGAAACUAGUGGAAUAAAUCAAGUGGAAACUGGAGGGAACUAACUCUUUCCUCUGACUUGAGUAUGACCAAAAGUAAUGGCUACUAAAUAAAAAAGGAGGCCCACGAAAGGUGCUAAGCAUGUCCUUCAUUAAAUUGGCCACCCACAAGACCCAUGCCGCAGAUCAGCCAAUAGGGUUCCAACGAUGCAAGGGUGGACACAGUUGACUCUCGGUGAUUGUGAGGCUACUUUUAGUGAAACAGGCUGGCUUAUUUUGCAGCAAGUGACGCCUAGAAUCAACACCAUAAUCAUUAUAUAUGCCAACAUAAAUAUAAAAAAGUGUACAUAUAUGGGGUUGAGGCAAGACAUGAGAGGAGGAUGAAUAAAAAGGAAGCUGCUAAUGGUACCCUACAGAGUGUGGUGAAUGCUAAAGUGGCAAAUCAAAUUGUCUUUACAAUUGGACCAACUAUGGGAAGAAAAUUAUCUAGCAUUCCGUUGCUAUUUACAUUCUCUAAAAUGUCAAAACAUGGCAAUGGCAACCUUUCGGAUGGUAUUCCGACUGCCUUGUAAAGUCAGCAACUGUACCCUUUUGAUCACCCUGCUCAUUUUGGCAAUCUGAACUCUUUAUUUGAUCCGGUUGUUCUGAUUCCGAGCUCACAUUGCCCGCUUAAGAAGAUAACCGCAUGUAUUUUUGUAUGAAAAGAUCAAUUAUAUAGGACUACCUCUUGAUACCUGCACUCACGGAGAAGUUCAAGUCACCUAGCAGUGGGGCGCAGUAUAAAAGAUGUUGCAGUUCAUGCAAUAAUAUCAACCACGUGCAAGUCACUAUGGAAACACAUCAUAGAGGCGAAAGAGCAUCGCUCCAUGUAUCGUUUUAAACUAACUUAUGUAAAAUAUACCUAACUGAUGUAAGAUUUGGUGACUAUUGAAUAUGUACCAUUGUUUCUCGAAACUGAACGAACUUGACAUCAUCCAAUCUUUACAUUUCUAAAUGGGGUAAAGCAACAUUUAGUCCUGAACUUGGUAACUUUUCCCAUCUUAGUCCUUGAACCUUUUUUGGUCUACGUUGGUCUUGGAACCUAGCAACUUCUAUAAAAAAUUAUAAUUUUUUAUAAAAAAUUUAGGUGAUGACGUGACGUAAUCUCAGAAUACGUCAUACAGGGACCAAAAUCGGAAAAAGUUGCAAGCUCCAAGAAUAACGUGGACAAAAAAAAAGUUCAGAGACCAAGUUGGAAAAGUUGCUAAGUUCAUGGACUAAAUGUUGCUUUAUCCCUUUCAAAAUAUACAUCAGCACAAGCUAUUGGUUUUAAUUCUCAGCUACCAUUGACUCGAUUAGCAUUUGGGUAGUAUUUUGUACAAACCAGUCCCUGAUCAUAUCAUAUAUCAGAACCACUCCAUGAGGUAUAUCUGAUAUAAAGAUAAUAUUAUGCUAAGAAAUUCCUGGUACUGGUAGGUAGCAAUAGCAAGACCACAUCUCUCAUCUAAAUACAAGUGAAAGUUGAACAAUCAGGCUGACAUCAAGAACAAAAAUAUGCAUGAAUAAGCAAAUUCUGCGUAAUCCUAAUGUAUAAACAAAUAAGACAUGAACCUGAUUCUGUGAGCUUGCAGAGGUAGUCCAGUUCUGAGGACGGCGGAUUUGAGCUGAACUAUCAGUAAUGAAAGUUACUGUCGUUGAUUCUUCUUGCGUGUUAGCUAGUGUCAUGGGCGGUAAUUCUCUCAUGACCCAUAAUACAAAAGCUGAGGGCACCGAUGAACCUAUAAAAGCAAAAUGAAGAUCACGUUAUAAACUCAACAUCGUUACAUACUUUUUUCCAUAAGGCAGCCAAGAGCAUGAAAAGAUAGGACAGUAGAGCUUUUAUGUUUCACUGUUUCAAAUUCUGUUGUCAAGAAAGCAUAAUCAUGGCUAUUGCUAGAUGAGGCGGAAUAUUCAGAAACAUGAAAAUGCACAAAAAAUAUUUCUAAUAACGAUUUGAUGCUAGAUAUGGAUCAAAUAGUAUAAAAUGUUUAGGAUAUUCCAUGCUCCAAAAGCUGAUUUCCAUAAACGACAAUUGGAAGCUGUUAGUUUAAUUAGGAGCAACCUUUGAAACUUAAGGGAGAGUUGAAGGAAAUACCUAUAAAAUAAUAUAAAAUAAGUAAAAGAGAAGUAUAAACACCAUCUAUGUGCAGUUCAUGCCAGUGAUACAGCACCUGCAAUCACAAAAACACGAUUUAAGUUCAAUAAGCUAGAAAAUAAAACAUGGUAAAAACAAACAGUAGAGAGAUGUGUACCGGAAUAUCAGUAAAAAGAGCCACUAAAGCACUUGAUGUAAAACUUAGAACAGAUACAAUGGCCAAACCUGCAACCUACGUAAACCACAUGAAAUAUUUAAGGCAAAGAAAUAAGAUAACUAUAAAGCCACCGGAUAUAUGCAUCAAAGGUAAGCAUAAACGCCAAGGAAUGGUAAAUAUUCUAACUUGAGAGCAAAAUGAGAAGAACAAAGAAAAUGGCACGAAAAGUUGAAAACAUGAAGGUUAGUAUGACAAUACCUUCCAGAUCUCAGAUGAAGCUCUUUCAGAUCUAACAUUCCUCAUUUUCCGACAUAAUAGGAGCCCUGAGCAUAAGAAAGAAUAAAAACGUGACUCUAUUUAAGAGAGAAGAAAAUAUGUAAGAUAAAAGGACUCAUCUAUUCUGGUGACAUUUAAGAAGUACAAACUAGUCAAUUGAUUACAAAGACUAACCAAUAAAGUUUUCAGACAUUUAGGCCAGCCAUAAGUCAUGUUACCCAUCAAACUAGAAUGCUGUUUUUGAUACAAUGCCUACUUCUACCCAUAAUACCUUAAGCAUACUUGACCCCACAUCCUCCUAAUUGCUACAAUGGCAAUGGUGCCAACUGCACUAGAGCAUAAUCAGCAAACUAGAAUGCAGUUAGAUACUAUGGAUGGGGGAGCUGACACAUAUGACUUCUAGUAUUUGGUUCAAAUACGAGGAAUAAUAAAGUCUGGUUAGCCUGAUGUUAGGCAUUUUUGCAAUCACAAAGUUAUCCCGAUAGGGGAAAAAAUUUCAUAUAAUAUAAAAAGAAAAUUAGAAAAUUAUGAAGAAAAAGAAAAGUAUAUAUAAAUGCUAAUUGCUUACCAUAACAUGCUAAUGCUGCACCUAGCAAUAGUAUUGCUGUAGCAAAAAGAUCUACAUAAACCUGCAGGAGAUAGAUAGUACUUCAUGGCUUCGCUAGUAAUAAAAGAAAUAAAGAUCAGAAAGAAAUUCCAUAAGUACAAGUUUUCAUUGUCUCUUUUUAUUUUCUAAGCAAUAAACUAAAAGGAAAAAGAAUUGCAAAUACUUUCUCCACCAAAACCUUCUCUCUGACAAUCAGACUUAUUGAUGGUACUCUAAGAAAACAAAAAUAGUUCAAAAGAAAAUAGCUUCUUAGACGUUCAUACCCGGGACACGGUUGAUGAAUCAAUAGGAUUUUCUUCCAUUCCAAUCCAGAUUAGCACGGCAAAUGUCAUCAUAAGAAGAAAUACAAGAACAGUAACCUGGUCAUAGAAAAACAGAAUAAAUGAGACCAAAAACAUCAGGUAACAGCGAGAAUAAUAGAAACAUUCAAAAUAAUUUCGCAUGAAGACUGUAACAAGAAACAAAAGAAGAAAAUAUAUCACUAUACCAGAACCACUAUCUUUUGACGGCUUCCAACAUGAAUUAAACGGAAAGGAUAACAUGAUCUGCGACUAUCUGCAGGCGAAGACCUUGGUCUAUUUAAAGAAUUUUGUAUUAAAGCUUCUAGAAAGCCCUGUUCAUCAUCCUCUUCCUCUUCAUCAUCUGCCUGGUGGCAGAGGUCGACCCUAUAAAAAAUCCGCCAGAGAGACAUGGGGUAUAGCUGAUGAAGAAACACUAAUUUUCACUCUGAAAGAAAAUAUGAUAGUAACUAAAACUAUCAAAGGAUAUUAUCCUGACUUAUGAAAACACUAAGCUUCAGUACCACUGCAAUGGAUGACCCAGGGAAAAGUAAAAAAGAAAAAGAAAAAGAAAAAGCUGUCCAUUAUAUUAAUUGGUCAAGACAUGAAGCCACUAAAAUCGAUCUCCCUUUUCUUUUUUUCCACUAACAAAAGAACAUAUCUAGAUUCUUGCAAAUAUCUCUGAUUUUAGCGAUCACAUUUUCCUUAUAUCUGAAAAAGUAAUCUAAGAUACAUGACCAUAUUUCAUCCAAAGAAAUGCAAAUAAGUUAGAUAAAGAGAAGACAUACCAGAAUGACAAAAGUAGAAGAAAUGUUGCAAAUAAUAGAAUUCUGGGGAAGGCUGCAACAAUAUUUGCAUCGGUUAGUGCUUAAACUAAUCAGCUCCAGUGAAAGAAAUAAGUGUGGGAUCUUAUUACAAGCAUCUACACAUACCCAUGGCUACAAAACCACAAGAGUAAGACCAGCAUAGCCACCCUCGGCAUGCAGCAACAAGACUCAAGACAAAAUAAAUGAAGUAACCUGCGUGUAGGUGAUCAUUUGGCAGUUCAGUUUGGAUGAUUUAAAUCAUGCUAUGCAUGCAAGGUCAAAAAGAUAACAUGAGUGUAAAAUAUAAAUUCUUACCAGUAUUAGUAGUUCCAAUCAGUAUAUGAAACACCUGUUAUAGACAUUCAUUUGGGUCAAGAACAAACCAGUACACGUAGAAAAAGAAAUCAACGAAAUAACUUUUAUGUAACACAAAUUAGAGAAGAAAAACAAGUAGGAAAGAAAAGGAGGAAAGGGGGAAAAAGCAUUAACACAUUAGUCAUAUAUAUAUAUCUUUUGCUUUACAUAUAUGCACAUGAAAGCAUGGACCUUAAUAAACAUCGUCUUGAGCUCAACCCCGAGUUUAUCUUCUGCUUCAACUGGACUAUAUGUAAGUUUGAUUAUUUCUUUUCUCCAUUCCAAAAAAUCCCCAAAUGGUACAGCACGUUUGCUGAUUGUCCCAUAAAAUGGCCAGAUAAUAGAUUAACAAUUUAACUUCAUUUUUUACUUAAUUAGGUUCCUAGUUUUCAAACUUGGUCACUAAACAGCUUACAGCAAAUUAUUAGUAAUUAUUUAAUGUUUUAUCACACAUUCCUUGGAGGAUAAAAAGAUACAAGAUUAAAAUGAAGUACAGGAGUCCAACCGUGGGUUUUCUGCCAGUGAUUGAGGCAUAUACAACCAUUCUUCUGGUAUUUGAAGAAAGUGUAGAAAUUACAAAAGCAACCAAGACAAUUGUGAAAAAGUUUAAUUCUAGGGAAUGUUGGUCAAAUAAAUUUCUAAUGCAAGGCAUGCUGUCAACUCUAGGCCCCCAGUUUUUGAGCUAAUGCAUGCUGCAACUGCAACUUAAUUUUAACCUACCAGUUUCUCCAAGUUCAAUAAGUGUCAGAAGAGUCACCGACAUUCCUUUGUUCGGACAAUUCACCAAGCUCUGCCUUAAGGGGUCAGGUGACUCACAGAUCAAAUCGAGGUGCUAGUCCCCACUCAACUAGCUGGUCUGAUGGCAUUCGUGUUAAACUAGCUAGCCUAUGAAUUAGUUUGCAUUCAAAUAGAAUGAUAUUUUAACUAAAAUGUCAUAGAAAGCAACAUAACACUUACUUUUUGGCGAGUCCAUCCUAACUGUUUAUUCCUUGAGCGGAUCCGUGCUAGCUGACCAAGAAGUGGUGAGAGUAAACAAUUGUUACAAACAACAAACCAGAAAGAAUGAAUUGAAAUAAUCUCCCCGUAAUAAUUGAUAACAUCAGACUAACAACAUUCUGAUGUACAAUAUUAUCUUCUGUGAUACUGUCUAUGUAAAAGACAUAUCUAUCAGCACAUAUUCUUAUCGCAGUCCAACAUUGACACCAAUACACCUAAGCAUGAUGUGUAUGGAUGUCAAAUUCACUGCUUUGAUACAACAUAAAAUCAUUAUUGUGAUCCAAAACAGCUAAGUGCAGAAUGAUUAUUUGUUUUUCAUAGCAACAAAACAGUCUAAAUAUAGAUAAGAGGCUACUGAAUAUGAUUCAAAGCAAAAAUAGCAGAUAGAACAUGUCGGAAGGGUAAAACUAGAAUGCUAUGUAAUCUUGAAGGAUGUCAAAAUUAAGGCAGCUCAAACCAGCAGUGUUCUUCUGAAACAAAUAUAGUUGCAAGCAAAAAGGUGGAGCCAAAAAAACAUAAGAGGGAGAAUUGCAGCUAAGAUAUCGAUGGAAAUAGAAAUAAGGUUGCAAAAAACAUCAAGAUAGAUGACAGGCAACAAAGUUAGGGAAAACUGAAAACCUCAGAAUGAGGUCAAUUCAAUCUCUUUAUAGUUUACACCGUUCUUUCAAACUCAGCUCAUGGUAAAAAGAACCCGAGUCAUCUAAGUACAGCUCACUCAACCAGCAAUUUUCAGAUUCAAAUUUAGCAUACUGAACCCGAGGAAAACUUUAAGGUUGAUCCUCUCUAUUUGAUAAGGAUCAACCAUUCAUAGGACAUAUUACUCAAGAAUUCCUAAGACCAUGUGCAUUUUGAGUCUAGAGAAAUGUAACUUUCUCGAGUGCAAGCUAUCCCUAUCCACCUCUCAUUUUCAGUAUAAUGAUAAACAAGCAAACUUUUGCAUCAAAUUUGUAGUUCUGUGUUGGUUUCAAGGAAAAAGCUAACACAAUACCAGUUAGACAACAAAAUAAGUAACAAAAAGGGUCUUAAUUCAUGUCUUUAAAAUUAUAAAAUUAAAAACUCAAUCUGUUACUUGAAAAAAAACAAUGUUCAACCAGUCAUGCCAACAAUCAAAUUCAAAACCUUGAAUUACUUUCCCAAUACUAAACGCAAUUGUAUUAGCUAAAAAUGGAAGUUAUUUAACAAUUAAAUACACCAUUACCCUCGUCUAUCAAGUUACCAAAUUUCUAUAACAAUCAAAUGAACAAAAAAAAAAUAGACUAAGUUGUAAUGCAAAACCCAGAUCAAAACAAUCCAAAAAAAAACACAUUGUUACCCACAUUUCUCCCAUAUUAUAAAACCAUCCACCAUCAAUUAAAAACUCGCUAAAAACAUAAAAAAAAAAUCAAAUUUUUAAACAAAAAAGGAACAAACCUGAGUAAAAGCAAGAAUAGCAAUAAGCACAUCAAAGCAAGCAAAAACCAAGUUUAACCCAACUAAUUCUUCUGGAAAACUACAAGACCACCCUUUUUCUUCAAACAUUUGUGCCUCUCUAUAACUUUUUUUUUAAUCUUAUUAUUUAUUCACUCUAUUUUCUCUCUUUCUCUAUUAUUUUUUUCUAAGAGAAAGAUUGAAAAUACCCUAAAACACAAUCUACCCUUUUGAACCCAAAAAGUAUAUGGCAUGAAAAACUCAAUCUUUCAGAGUAGCUUUCAUGUAAGAUCUCUUGUGGGUGUUUUUCUCUUCUUUUUUCAGGAAAAUAAAAACCCAAUCAACAAAAUUUAUUAAUUUUAGUAUUUAUUAUUAUGUAUUAUCGUGGGAGGGUAAAUUGGAGAAUUUGGAUUGAAAAUUGUGGAAAAAAAGAUACGGUGUUUUGUCAGAGAGCAAACACGCGGGUGGCUUUCAAGGCGUUGAGAAAAUACUAAUAAUCAAAUCCCUAAUUAGAAUGCGAGAGUGCGUUAGUGAACCCUUUUUGACCUAAAAAGUUUUGACCUUUCUUAGUCCCCUAAGAUGACAUUUUUAAUGUACUUUCCCUUUCUUCUUCUUCUUCUUUUUUUCCUUAUUUUAUAUUAAAAUAACAAAGAGUUUUGUGGGAUUCCAAAAAAAAUUAAUACAUGAAAUAUUUUUUAAUUUAAUUGUUUUAUUACAAUUUGGUUUUUUUAAAAUUCUUUUAAUAUCAUUUUUUAACUAGUUUUAUUAAUGAUUUUUUUAAAUAUGUAAAGACGUGAUAUAUACAUAUUGAAACCUUUUAUAAAACAUAGGGUAAACUUCAAAAAUAGUCACUUUUGUUUGCUUCAGAUUACAUUUUAGCCACUUAUGUUUGAAAUGUUAUAUUUUAGUCACUUACGUUAUCAUUGUGUUACAGAGUGGUCGCUCUGUCGUUAAGCCCUGUUACCUCCCUAGCGGCAAUCCUACGUGGUAGUCUAAAUGAGUUUUAAAUGCCAACUUGGAUGUCCAACGGGAUGAGAAUAGUUUUUUCAAACAAAAUGGAAAAUAAAACUAAAAGAAAAAGGAGACGAACGGUUUUUUUUCCAGUUCAGGGUAUAAUUAAUUUAAAAUUUUCCAGUUCAAGUUGACAUUUAAAACCUAUUUGGAUUGCCACGUAGGAUUCCCGUUAGAGAGAUAACGAAAAUUAAUGGCAAAGUGGCCACUUCGUAACAAAACGAUAACGUAAGUGACUAAAAUGUAACAUUUCAAACAUAAGUGACUAAAAUGUAAUUUAAGGAAAAAAAAUAACUAUUUUGAUAGUUUACCCUAAAAAAUAAAGAGUAAUGUUUUAAAAAUUUGAUCAGUGGUUUGAUUAAAUUGGUCAAACCAUCCAUUUAAUCAUCGGUCUAAUAAUAAUUAAAUAAACGAUUAAAAAUUCAUAAUAAUUAUUAAAAAAAAGUAAUAAACUAGUUCAAUCAUUGGUUUUCUUUAUUUCGAUUUUCGAUUUUUUAUCGAUUCUGAGUUAUUUGCUCAGAAAGCUAGUUUAACAUUUCUGUUCGGACGAUAUAUAUCGACCGAUUCUCAGCCCAACCGAUAAGUUCGAUUUGAUUCCAACAACAUUGGUAAAGAGACUAAAAAUAAUCAAAUUAUAGUAGAUAGACUCAAUUGAUAAAAAUACAUUGUACAAAGACCUUAUACAAAAAUUGAUCUUAAUUCUUUUAAUAUUUCUUGAGUAGGUGUUUUCUUUUUGUUAGAAAUUGAGUAGGUGUUAUUUCACUGUUAGAUAUUUAUUUUUUAUUAAGAUUAUAUUAAUAUAAAUUUAUUCAAUAAUUAUAACACACAAAUAUUAAUUUUAUUCUUGUAACAGUUUAUGAUUAUGAAAUAUAUAUCUUUUCUUUUAGAGUUUUGUGGGUAUUUUUUAAAAACCCUUUCAUAAUUUAUUGAUUAGGUGUUAUUUCACUCUUAAUGCUACCUCGGUAGCAGAUUUUGUAUGUAAUUUAGAUGAUAUUAGUAUAAAUUUAUUCAAUAAUCAUACCCACAAAUAUUUAUUUUAUUCAUGUAACCAUUUUAUAAUUAUUAAAUAUAGUAUAUUUGUCUCUUUCUUAUGCUAAUAAUUAAUUAAUUAAUGUGUGCCAGGAACUGUGGCAAACGGAUUAAUGUGAAAUUAUUGACCACUAUUUAUUGAAUACACCUAGAACUAGAAUGGUUCCAUUUUUGGAAUUAAAAGAGAACCUUCAUUAUCUUAAGGAACAAAUCACAUGCGAAAAAAAACAGUAUGUCCAUGUGCUGCACUGUAAGACAUGCAGAUGCAAAAUUAAUUAAUAAAAAAAUUAAUCCGUUGAGUAUUGAUAUUAUUAUUAUUACAAGAGAUUGUGGGCUCAAAGCUGAAGCGCAUUAUAACCGUUAGAGAGAGACUAUAAAUAUUUCUAAAAAUUGCAUAAAAAAAUAAAAAUUAAUAAUCGUAAUACUACAUUAAAACUAAUCUCCAAAAAGUUGAAGCCAAUUGGGAAUUUUCUUUUUCUUAGUUUGCCAAGCAAUAUGUAUGGACAAUAGAGAUGGAUUUAGAUAUUUGAUUUAUUUUUUUAUUUUAAACAUUAUAAAUUUAAAUAAUAUUAAAAUUUAAAUAUUUUAAUUACUAUUCGCCAGGAAUAUUUAAAGUGGAUAUGAAUAUUAACUUCUAGAUAUCCAUUAUUAGAAUAUAUUUUACAUUUGCAAAUAACGAAUUUAAAUAUUAAAAUCCAUCAUCUGCAUUAUCUUUUUAAAUUCUUAUUUAAUUUUUUCUUUACUUAAGGCCAGUUUAUCAUUGCUUAAAAAAAACAUUUCUGACUCCAAAAGCAUUUUGAAAGAAAAGCUGUGAAUAACAAGCUGCUUUUGAUUGAAAUUUUUAGCUUUUUAGAAGUUCUUUUGAAAAAAACUUCUGAAAAGAAGCUGAAAAGGAGAAGCUAAAAAUUUUAGAUUUUCCUCUUCCAAAAACACUUUUGGUGCUUAAUUAUUUUUUCACCCCUUCAAUAACAUAGUAUUUUUUUUUCUUGGUGCUUAAUUACAAUUGUGUUAAAAUCAUUAAUUAAAAAUAAAAAAAUAUUUUUUAAAAUACUAAUUACAAAUAUUUAAUGGUUAUAUUUAAAUAUUUAAAAUAUAGUUUAUAUAUUCUAAUUAAUAUUUAUUACUUAAAAAUAUUUACAAUUUAUAUUUCAUAUAUUAAAAUAUUAACAACAAGUUAUAAUAAUUUUUUUAUAUUAUUACUAAAAUAUAAUAAUAUUAACUAAUUUAAAUAUUAUUUAAAUACAUAUUUGUUACUUGAUAAUAACAUGUCUAAAAUAAAUAUUUUAUUUCUCAAAAGUACUUUUUGACAGCAAUGCUAAACAUCCAAAUUUUAAAUCAAAAUUUUCAAAAGUACUUCUCAAAAGCACUUUUCCAUAGUAAUUUUCAAAAGCACUUUUCAAAAGCAAUGAAGAAGCCCUUAGUAAAUAGACUUUUAGUGAAUUUUGACAAAAUUAUAAAAAAAUUAUAAAUAUCCAACGUAUUGAUCUCUUUGUUUAUUAAGAUAUUUUAUUUUACUUAAUUUUUUAAAAUAUUAUCUUAAUCCCCUUUCUCUUUGUUUAUUCUUGGUUUACUUCAUAAGCUUUUUUAAUAUAUAUUUUAAAGGCUAUUUUGUUGGCAGUCCAAAAAUCAAAAUUCAACCUUUGGUAUUGUUAUUCCCUCAUCUAUACUGUAAUUGGAAAAAAACAAACAUGUUUUGUGAUUAUAUGUAUAUAUAAGAAAAUAAAAAAUAAAAACAUUUGGCCUCGUAUAUUUGUGAUUAACUAUUUCUAACAUAGGCAUUGCAGGCUCCGAGUUGUUAAUAUUGGUAUUCUACAAAUUAAGAGUUAAGACAAAGGCUUUGUCUUCUUACAGAACCUGUAUGUGUUUCUAUUUGGAACUAAAGCCUCAUGCCAGCUUCACCAAACUCUAAUUACUAUGUGUCAAUGUUACCAGCUAAUGAAUAAAAAAGUUUGGAGUUUUCUCUUUUCAGACAACUUGAUUUUGUUCAUAGUUUAUGAAUAUGGAAAUAAGCAUUUUAUGAAAGGAAAUGAUCUUCUGUUUCUACUUUUUAAUGGGCUAUUUGUUGAUAGAAAAAAUAUCUAAAUUAAUUCAUGAGAGACUAUAGGAUUAUUGUUUCUUUUUAAUUUCAUCAUGGUUUUUUUUUUUUUUUAAUUAAAAAAUUUUCUCUAUAUUCUCUCGAAUCGUGUAGGGAUAAAAACAACAGGGCUCGAUCAAAUAUAGUAUACUGAAAAAGGCGAGAGGGAGAUCCAUACAACAUGUUUGACAAUUACACUCUUUGAACACUUCAUGAGCAUACAACUGGAGAGAGGUUGCAAGAGAGGGAUCCUUGAGUCCACGUAUUAUAAUCUUAAACAAUAUGCCAAUUUCAUGGUGACACAGGACGAGGCUUGUGUUUAUCCUAAGGAUGCCAUCGAAGAAGUUGUCAAAUGAUGAUAGCUCAAGCAAUUUGUGAGACAAUCUGCUCACCAACGGGACAAAAUGAAACAAUACCAUUAUGUCGGAAAAGACGGGAUAAAAUAACAAGAAAAAAGGCAUGUCAAGGGGGCAAUCGGUAUGAUAGUUGGCGCCAUUGAUGAGUGGGUCACCUUCAAGUUCAAGAGUAAGACUCAAGUAAGGAGUGUCAAGUCAAUGAACUCCUUCCUGAAGAAAAUGUGGUAACAAAAAAGAUGUUUGCUUUACUACACAAGGUUGUAUCAUCCAUUCCCUUUGAUCUUGGCCAAAUGAUUUUUAAUCAAAUAACUAGGCAUGCAGAGACCAAGAAUACAAUGGUAGCGUUGCCUUUUUCAUCCCUCAUGAAGCAAACGUCAGACAUUGUUGAAAAGGAUGAGGUCUAUGAGCCAAUGUUACCUGAGUUGAAAUACUCCUCGGAAUGGAAGAAGGAAAAGCAUGUUGCAGUUGAUACUGAUAUGGAUGUUCUUGCUAAUGAUACUAAAGAUGAUGAUGAGGCAGCACCGGUUGUUGCUUUAGUUGCAACUAGCUCAACAUCUGCUAGAAUUUUGAGCACUUCACAAGCUAGACUGAUAUAAAAUUUGGAUGAACAAAUAGCCUCCCUUAAUGAGAGAAUAUUCAGUACCAUGAGUUCCAACUAAAACUUUUCUAACGACAAAUGACUCGUGCUCAACAUUACAAGAUUUAUUUGUUUUAUGGCCGUGAAGCCCUUGCAUUUUUUAGCCAAAAAGAGGGAGAUAGGGGUUAUACUUGGUUGCCGGUUAUGGUAUUUUUUCAUCCCACAUUAAUAGUUGAUUUUAUAGUUAAAAUUCGUAGUUGAAUAGUUGGGUUAAGGAGAAGUUUCGAGUUAAGUUACCUUGUUUGAUGUUUUUGUUCAAAAAUGCCAAAAGGAAGGAUUAUUAGUGUCAAUUGUAACUAUUAGAUGUAACGCCGGUUGUAACUUAAGGAGUAUCUCGCAAGUUAUUGUAACUUGUCUUAUUCGAUUGACAUGUUUUCAUGAGAAUUAUUUAAACUUUUAAUUGAUGAUCUUUGAGGGUUUUUAGUAGAUCAUUACCGAAGAUAAUUCAAACAAGAAUUAAGUCAAGUAAGGAAUGCAUCAAGACUUUCAAUAUAUUUGAUCUUUAAGGAAUUUGAUGACAAGAAGAUCCCUGCUAAUAUACUUAUUAUUGAAGACUUAUUUAGUGACUAAUUUUGUGGGAGUAGAAAUUCAUAUUGAUUGCAAUUUAACAAUACACAUUGUACUUAUUUAUGGUUGGCUUAUUUAGGUUAUUAUGUACAUGAAAGAGAUAACUUCAAUUUGUUCGUUAAGGAACUCUUUUUAGUGCAUAAUUUGUUUAAGUAAACUUGAUUGUUCAUCCGUUUACAACUAAGCUUUUAGGGAAUAAAACUUUGUGGGGGAGUAACCUAGUUUGAACUUUGAAGUAUACGAGUGAGGUCGCAAUUUGGUGAGUGGGUUAAACUUAAAUCAUCUUUUGUAUUUGUUAAUUUAUAGCGGAUUACUCUUUGAACGCGACUCUAGAAACGUACAAAGUUCGCGAAUUACAUAAACAAUUUUAUAUUGUCCAUCUCUAUUUUGUAAGUAAUAGUAAAUUCAUCCAUUUACAACUAAACGAAUAUCCAACAGGCAAAAUCAAUAAAUUUACGAUAUAGAUAAAUGUAUGUGUUUUAAUUGGAACUAGACCUUUUGUCAACUUCUCCAAACUCUGAUUAUUACGUGUUAAGAUUAAAUGUAAUUCUAAAUUUCAAUUUUUUACUUUAUGAAAAUUGGAAAGUUAAUUUUUCUACUUUAAUUUAUUAAAAUUGGGUUUUUGUACUUUACAAAAAUAGAAAAGUUAAUUCAAGGUGUAACAUUGUUAAACCAUGUACUUAUAUUUCAAACCUAAAAAUCAGUCGUUGAGGAAUUAUGUGCAAAUAAAAAGCUAAAAAAACAAUUAAACAAUUUAUAUACAAUAAAUUAGUCAAAUUAACAAAUCAUUCCAUGCAUUUACCAACUAUUGGACUAACUUCUCAGUUUUUGUAAAGCAUGAAGACCAAAAUUUGGUUAAAUUGAAGUAGAUGGACUAACAUCUCAAUUUUCGCAAAAUAAAGAGAUAAAAUUCAAAAGGUUAAAAUAUACUCCAAGUCCUUCUACUCUUUGUACCCUCUAAUUUUAUUUCCGGGAAUUUAAUCCAUCUACUUUUUCGAUUUCAAAAUUCAAGUCCAAUAGUUGUCGCCAUUAAUUUUUUUUUUGUUAAAUUCAAAGGUUUGACAUUUUGAACUAAACAAAUACUCACUUGGUAAUGUUACAAUAAAAAAUAAUGAUGUAAUGAACCUAAAUUUAACAUAAUGGUUUAAACAAUAUUAACAAUUAAACUUGAUUUUUUAAAUCCAAAAAAUAGAGGGGCUAAAUUCCUUGAAACAGGGGGACUAAAUUCUAAAUAUAUGAAGGAUACAUGUACCUACAUCAUAUUUUAACCAAUUCAAAAUUAAACCGUCAACAAAAGAACAAAAGUUGGAGAGUUUUCUAUAUAUGGAAAUAAGCACCUUAUGAAGGUAUAAUCUUUUGUACCAAGUUUCUAAUGGACGUAUGGUCAUCUCCGAAAUUCUGAAUUUAGAAGGAAACCAAAUUAUAUGGGAAGGUGAUAACUACAUUUCCUAGUAAGACGAUUAUCAUAGGACCAAAUCUUCCCUGUCCCUGCAAAUGCAAUGCACCACUGUUCCAUAUAUAAGAAGAUGCCAUUGCCAGGGUUUAAGAGCACCGCCAAACCUGCAAUAAUUAGAGCAGCCAAGUUGGGUUCCAUUUUGCCAUUACAUAAAAUGAACAUGCAACAAAUACAGCUUCAGCAAAAUCAGCGGUGGUGUAAAGAUCAAGAAUAGCUCCCCAUGAAGCAUAAACCCCAUGAAACCAGGUAAUAAACUAACCAUUAAUUAUAAAGGUUUUAUUAUUAUUAUUAUUAUUAUCUUUUUUUCGCGUUAAACUAAAGUGAGAAUUUUGUAGCGUCGAUGAGGCAUUUGUGCUUCAUACUUAAGCUAACAGUGGCAAAGAGAUAAAAGGAGACCGACAUGAAGGGCAAAUUUCAUUGGUUUGUGCAUUUAAUUACUAGAGUUCUAUGUGUAUACGUACUCUAAGAGAGCCAACGGCAGGAAGGAGACAACAUAAAGGGCUAAGUUCAUUAGCUUUUAAAUUUCAUCAAGAAAUUAAAUGCACAAACUAAUGAAUUUUUAUGUUUUUUUUUUCAAAAUAUUUAAAGGUGUUAAUAAAUCAAAUUGGACUAGGAUUUGAUUUAAAAAAAAUUUCAGGCUCGAACUUAGUUUUCAUUAAUCCACUCAAAUAACUAUUUUUACUGUUUGAAAAAUAAAAAAAUACUUUUUUAUUUAAAUUUAAUUAUAAAAUAUAUAUUAAUAUAAAAAUAUUUUUAUUAUUUUUUAAACAAUAAAACACAUUUAGUUGGAUGGGUUUGUGGUUAGAAAAUCUAAGUACAAACUGAACCCAAAGUGUGUUCUCUAGGACAUGAUGUUCUAAUUAAGUUAUUAAAGUAUCAGUAUCAAAUCAAUAGACUUCUUUUUUUUUUUUUGUUAACUUAGCUAUUUGCUUGGUUAUUAAUUAAAUACCACUCAAAUAUGACGUAGAGUAUAUGCAAGACAUGAUAGUCAAAUCAUGAAUAUGAGCGUAACUAUUGAAUCAACAACGAGUUAGAAAAGAUAAGCCUUCCUAAAUUUUAUUAAGGUUAAAUUAUUAUUUGGGGCUUGAACUUGACAACUUUUCUCAUAUUAGGGUUUGAAUUUUUUUUGUCCAAGUUAGGUUCUGAACUUGUCAAUUGUUCCCACAUUGGGCCUUAAACUUUAAGGUUUUCAAAGACUAAUUUGGAUAAUAAAAAAAAGCUUAAGUCCCAAUGUUGGGAUAAUUGCCAAGUUCAGGGCAUAACUUGAACUAAAAAAAAGUUCAAACUCCAAUAUAAGAAAAGUUAUCAAAUUCAGGCCUCAAAAAAUGAUUUAACCAAAUUUUAUUGUCACUAUUUUUUCUUAACAUGUCAAUUCUAAGUUGUUCAUGCAGUAACUACAUGUAUGUUUACAAUUUGAUCAUCAUGUUUUAAAUAUACUCCAUCAACCCGCCCAUUAGCUUGAUUGUUAAGUCAAAUGCAAACUCUAAUCAGAUGUGUAGAAUAUUUAAAAAACACCAUAAUCAAAUUAUAGGCACAUGUGUACUUAUUGGGUUGACAACUUGAAUCUAAGGUGUUUAAAAGAAAUAACCAUUCUAAUUGUCACUUUUUUUAACACAUCAAGUUCAAGUUGUCCAUACAAUAACUACAUACAUGUUUACAAUUUGAUCCUUGUAUUUUAAAUAGAUUGAGAUUCGAGUUUAGCUCCUGUUCAUUAUUUUUGUGUCCGUUAUUAAGCAAUAUAAGUUUAACCACUAUUAAUCAGUAUAACAUUCACAAUUCAAUAAUGGAUACUUCACAUUUGAAUGGUGAUAAUCAAUGUAUUGAAAAUUUAUUGGAUGAAAAAGUACUAAAUUGAGUUUUAAAUUAUUAAAAUAAAAUCCAUUAUUUUUUUAUCAAUUACUUUUCAAUAUACUAAUCAUCACCAAUCAUGUGUGUAGGGCUCACAAAUAAAAUAUGUAAAUCAGAUUUACGAAUGAUAAUUAAACUUGUAUUAAAUAGUAAUGGAUAAAAAAUAAUGGAGAGGAGCUUGACCCGUUUUGAAUAUAAUUGCCUUUGCCUCGUAUUUAAAUCAACAUUUAAUACCUAAAUUAAUAAUUAAAUUAAUGUAAAAAUCAGAUUGAUGUAAUACUUAUAUUUUGAAAACUCGAUUAGAAUAAAUUAAAAACCUUGGGUGUUAAUUUAAUGUGGAAUAGUGUGUUAUUGGUGACACAUAACCAAGGCCAAUAAGCUCAAUUAGGAGGGUAGUCAAGGCAUAAUUUUUUAAUAAAUGUUUUGGAGCAUGAUUUUAGAGAUUAAUUUAUCUGUUUUAAUUGAGUUUUUAAAAUAUCAUUAUCGAACCAAUCAAGUUUUUCUGUCAACCUAGCCAUUAGUUUGGUUGUCAAAUUAAAUGUUAGCUCAAAUCUAUAGUUGAGCAUAUUUAUAAAUACGUGUGUAUUGUAUGAACAACUUGAAUCUAAGUUAUUUAGAAAAAAGAAUAGUCACUUCUAAAUUCUAUUUUCCCUGUUUGUUUUUCUAACAUAUCAGAUUCAAUUUGCUUAUGAGAUAAAAUAUGUACACACAUGUUUAAAAUUUGAUUCUUUUAAAUAUACUCGACAUCAUAUUCGACUUAAUAUUUAACGACUAAAUUGACUGCUAAACUAACGAAAUAUACAUACCGAACUUAAUUAAAAUAUUUUAAAGAAGGAUAGUUUAAAUACAUUUAAUGCAAUUAACCAUAAAUAUAUAUUAGUCUUUUAGGAUGUUUAUAUCCAUCAACAACACCUUUAUCCCAAAAAAUUGAAAAGGCUAAAAUAAUAUUCCUUUUUAACCUUAUAUUAAAGAGGGAUAGUUUAAAAAUGUUUAAUGCAAUUAAGAUGGAUGAUUAAUCUUUCAUGUAGGCUUUUCUUGAUAGCAUCUCUUCUUUUCUUCCUGUGUUUAUUGGGUUUAAUUUUGAUAAAUUAUUAAAUAAGAUGUGAUUAAUUUUGAGUUUAUUAUUUGAUUUUUGAUUCGGUGUAAAAGUAAAAUCCAAAAAAUUAAAAAGAGUCGAAGAUGUGGGCUAUUGUAAAAGUUUUGGGCCAAAAAAUAAAGUUGAUAAAUAAUUAUCUAUUUUUGGGAUUUAUAUGUAAAAGUAACAUUUUUAUUUUUUUAUUAAAAUAAUAUUUUAAUUACCUAUUAUUUUAUUUUAGGAUAAUACUUUUAAUUCUAGUAGUUUAUUUUUUAUUUUAUUUUAUUUUUAAAUAACUCCUCUUAGAUUAAUGAGUGUGCGCGCGCGCGCGCUGUGGAGGGGCAGAAGGAGAAGGGGGAGCCCCGUACCUUGAAUUCAAUUUCUUCGUUCUGUUUUUGGUUUUCUUUGGCCUGUGCAUCAUUGCGCAUUUUCCUUUCAAUUUUUUUUAAUUUUAAUUAAUAUUUGUUAAAAUCUUCAUUGAAUAGGCUUAUUUUCAUUAGUAGAUAAAUUUCAAUCUAAUUUUAGGUCGAUAAAUAAUUCGGUCAAACUCUCACUUGAAAACUUUCAUUACAGUAUUUGUUGUUUCUCCGUUUUAGGAGAUAAACAUCAUCGUCUCACAAAAUUGUAUUGACACUAAGUCAAAAGAGCUUGUUGGUUUGGUGUUGAUAGACAUACAGUUGGAAGUACCGAAUCAACCAUUUAUCAUAUUCGGUCUACCGAAUAAUACAUUGGCGUGUCCGGUUAAGUAGUUGGCCGGAUCCAUCAAGGGAAAUAGCAAUCUGAUCUAAACAAUCCACGCGAUUGAGACUGUUGGUUCGAAUGGAGCCCUUAUAGUUCACAAGACCACUGUAGAGAUAAAUCAUGAAUGCGUAUUUCGUGAUUGUUCUUUCGAUAAGGGUUAGUUGCUGGGCAUUCCUGAAAUUAAUUUAUACAUGGAAGAGUUGGUGAUUUGAAAUAUCCUCGACCACUAUAACUAACUUAUCGAUUGAAGGAAAAAAUUUGUUAUCAAGGACCGGUUCGAAACGAGAGCAAAAUUAAGCUUGAAAUUGGAAUUUCAUCAAAUUGUUUUAUUUUAUUUAAUUUCAUUUAUGCCUAUUUCCACUUUUAUUUUUAUUUCAAUUACUUAUCCUUUUAUUAGAUUUAAAUCCCCUUUUUAUUUUUGCACAGACCGUCACAUGUCGUUGGCACAUUAGCUGCCUAGAUGUGCAACUUGAUUAAAUCGAAAUGAUAAUUUUAGAUAACUCAGCCUCUAUAGGAUCAACCAUAUUCCCCAUACUGCUAUUUAUUUACCGUUUAAGUAGAAGAAUAUUAUUUUUUGUGACUCUGACACUCAUCAUUGAUUAAUCUCCAAAAAAAUUAAUAUCGUGCCUUUGCUUAUGAUAGAAUAAGAUUUUUAUGCAAGAUUUUAAGUUUUUUUGAUUGAAUGAUUUUAAGAUGUUAAUUUUAUAUAAGAUUGCUAACAUUCGGGUUGGUAAUAAUUGUUAGAGAUUGAUUAAUACAAAUUCUUAAAGAAAUUAAGAUCUAUUGUUUUUAUAUUCUUAAAUUUCUUGAAUAUUGAUUAAAAUUUUAAUAUUUUUUUAAUUGUUGUUGUUAAUGUGAUUAUUGUGAGUUUUUGUUGAAUAUUUUCAUUUGUCACUUGACCGCAAAAAAGGUUGUACAUACACUUGAUUGCAAAAACAAAAAAGGUUGAGGGGCCAAAUUUAAUUAAAAUAAAUAGAUAUCAAAUUGACAAAAAAAAUAUAAAUGUUAAAAACUUAAUUUUUUAUAAUGCAUUUUUUAUGAUUAUAGAAUUACUAUCAAAUUUCCAUUGAGAUUCUCCUAUCAUAAACAAAAUAGCAUCACCCUAUACAGAAAUUCUUUUAAUUCAUUAUUUCAAAUGGAUAAAUAUCAAAACUACACAUGAACUUUAGUUCCAUAUGCAAUGAUAUACAUGAAUUUAGAUUUUUUACGUUUUUAUACAUGAAAUUUCGAUUUGAUUUAUUUUCAUAUCGAAACAAUAUAAUUUAAUUUCGAAACAAUAUCAUUUUAUAUUAAUAAAUUGCAUACACAAGCAAUUAUAUUGUUUCGAUAUGAAAAUAAAUAUAUGUAUUCAUUUAUUUAAAUGUGUACAAUUGAAUCAAAAUUAAAAUUUUAUCUAUACAUAUGAACCACAACUCAAAUUUCAUAUAUAUAAUUACACCAAAUCAAAAUUCAUGUAUCAAAUUACACAUUAAAUCAAAGUUCACGUAUAAACUUGAUAUUUAUCCCUUAUUUCAAAUCAACAAUAACACUUAAUUAAAAAGGUAUUGUUUUUACUAACAAGCAUAGUGAUAACUGUUGUUCCAAAUUUUAAUUUUAAUUUCAUAAACCAAAAAAUGUUAUUUUAACCUAUUUUAAUUUAUUUUAAAGUUUCGUUAAAAUGACAAACAUUUUUGGGUGAUCAAUCACACUUAAAUAAAAAAUAUUGGUGGGUACUGGGUAGUGGCGGAGCAAGGGGAGGCAGGGCCUCGACCCCUUUAAAAUGGAAAAUUUUCUAUUUAAGCCCUUUAUAAUAUUUUAAAUUAAUAAUGGUAAAAUUACACUUUGUCCUCUCAAAAAUAGUAAAAACUUCAUUUUUAUUAUCGUAAAAAUAUACAAUUUAAUUCUAACCCCCAACAAAAUUUUCUGGCUCCAUCACUGUUGGUGGCAACUUUCAUUAUCUCUUUUAAAGUUUCCAUCCAGAUAUUUUAAUUAUUUUUAAAAUGGUUACGAUAUCUUACAUAUAAUUAUAUAUCGAUUGUUAAUGUAAUUUAAUUUGUUUUAUAUAUUAAUUUCACGAAUGUUACUAUUACACAUUAAUUUAUAUAAAUUUUAUAGACAUUUUAAUUAAAAUUUUACCAAACAAUAAAAAUCUCUUUUAACAUGUACGUGGGUGGGAUAUUUUUUUGAGUUAUUUAUGUAAAAGGAACAUAUGUCAACUCUUACAAAAUUGUGGGCACUUCUCCAAGUCUUUGAAUUUCUUUUGCCAGAUACAAUAAAUCUAUGACCGAAACUUAUUGCUUGGUGUCCAUUUUUAUGUAUUCUUUUCAGGCUUCAAUCCAGCUACAUUAUUCCUGAAUUAGCUGGGUUUUCUUUUUCCAAUAAAAGAUAUAGUUUUUGAAAUCCAUGGGAGAUCUUACCAUAUUAUUUAUGGUAUCUCCUAAUAAUUUAAUGGCAUUUUAGUAAUUUUUUUAUAUCAUUAACAGAUAAUUUUGGUAACUUUUUUAUCUCGAACCUUGAACUCUGAAUCUAAAAUCUCGAAUCUUGAACCAUCAACCUCAAACUCAAGAUCCAAACCCUGAACCCUAGACUCAAACCCUAAAUUAUCGAACCUCAAAUCUAAACUCGGAGUUUUGGGUUUAGGGUUUGAUUUAAGGUUUGGGAAAAUUACUAAAACUAUAUAUUAAUGACAUGAAAAAUAUUGUUUAAGUGUCACUAAAUAAUUAGAAAGAGGUCAUAAAUAAUAUGGCGGGAAAGGUCCAUAAAAUAAUUUUUUUUUAAUAUAAUAUUAUAUGAAGUAGAUUUAACUAUCCUUUUAAGAUUUUAGGUAUGAAUUUUAUGAAAGGAAAAAAAAAUUAAUGUCCGAAAAAACUUGGCUCCCAUUUAGAGUUUUAAUUCGACUAACCCUAAAUUUAAUGAGAAUUAAUAUCACUAUCAAAUAGCCGAGGAUCUUAGGGGAAAGAUCUGAUUAUAGAAAAAAGCAAACAAAAAGGUUAUUCCCAAUUAAUCUUCAAAACUGCACUUUUCAAAGGAUUGAUAUAUGUUUAAACCGACCAAGCAUCGAAUCUGCAAACUAAGAUUGAAUUUCGUACAUCACAGAAAUAUAUAUUUGUUUUUAUUUUUUAAAAUUUUAUAUUAAUAUGAGAUGUUUAAAUAUUUAUAUUUAAUCGUCCAAUAAUUUAUAUUGCAUAAAAAUAGGAUAUAAUUAACCUUUAUACAAGGAUUAAAAGGCUUUAUGGUCCAAUCACAAAACAUUAAGUAGUUAACUGGUUUUGUUAAGGAGAUAAUUGAGUUUAUUAAUACCCGUUGAGUAUUUUUGUGAAUCUAUCUCUUAUGGAGGUAAAAUUUUUUAUUUAUAUGACACGGUUUUCGGAUGCGAUGCAUUACAUAAGCUUCAUACAUGCCAACACGUGCCCUCUAAGUAUGUGUUUGCUUGUAUGAUUAUGCAAACCCAUCAUGUGCGAACUCAUAUAAGUGAAAUGUACAGACAGUCACUAUUGAAACAAAAAGGAUUGGAUCGGUCCUAGUUGAGUAAUGAGUCGAUAACGGCAAACACCAUAACAAUACCAAUUAACAUCAACUAAUGGACACAAAGAAUCCUAGCUAGAGAGGAGGAUUCGAUUCAAAGUUGCACUCUUUUAGUUCACAACUCUUCUUUUACCUCUAAUUUCAGCAAAAUCAUGCACCAUCCUAACCUUGCAACUUAGGCCAUUCUUCAAUCGAUUCGGUUUUAUAUUUUCUUUUUUAAAAACAACAAAUCGUUAUUCAAAUUAAGUUGGAUAGGAUGGAAUUAUUUGAGUAUUUGAGUCCAAAUAUAUUUAAAUAAAGAUUUAAAUCACGAUUUAUUUUUUUGUUUUAAUUUAAUAUCUAAACUAUCAUUUUUCAUUUCAUUUUAUUUAAAAAAUUACUCACAUUCAAUAAAAAUGCGACAUGUAUCAUAUAAUCAUGAUAUAAACUCGUUAAAAUAUAAUUAUCGAAUUAUUAAUAAGAUCUUGACCUAAUUACAAAAUUUAAAAUUUAAGUUCAAAUCUCGUCAUAUCCAAGACAUCAAAAUACUACACACCUGUCCCCAUUGAAUUGGAAACAGAACAUUAAUGCCACCAAAUUGAAUAGAAUAAUAAGAAGUUGAUUUCAAAGUUUUGAAUCUCAUUGUUGCCUUUUUCCUUUCGGUAAGAUCUCAAUCUCCAUAAAUAAUAUUUGCUCCCUUCUUUUUUCAACCUAUAGGUGUAACACAAUUUGUGCUUGUCAAUUGGCAUAUUCAAAUUUUACUUUUUCCUUUUAAUAUGUUCAUUACUGUGUUACUUUUCCCCCCUAAGGUAAAAAAUUGAAACUUCCAGAAAUUAAUUUGAUUCAUCAAAAGAAACUCAAAACAGGCAAAAAAAAAAUGAAAAGAAUAGAUUCUUUAAUGUCUCCCUAGUUUGUUCCUUUGUUUUUCCCUUUCGGUGCCAUCACGUCAAUUUAUUAGGUUACUUAGGUUUUAAAUUUUAAUUCACGAAGUGUGAGUUUGAAUAGGCAGUGCAUCGAUGUGUUUACUUAUAGUUAGUGUAAAAAUAGCGAUGAUGGUGAGGACGAUAUUGUAGUCUGGGACAAAAAAUAAGUUAAACGCGCCACACCGUUCAUCCAAAGAAGUACUGAAUCGAAUACAUAAUAGAGUAAGAUUUAAAUUCACACAUAUUUAAAUUAACAUUUAUAUAAUUUUUGUAAUUAAAUAGAUUAGUAUCAAUACAUGCCUAAACCGGACAUGGUGAAUACAAGUACUACAACGAACGAAAAAUAAAAAGAAAUACAUGCACAUGGUAAGAUUAAAGAUCAUUUUAAUUUGGUUUUAAGUUUAUACACAAAUUUUUAUUUAAUUCUACGAAUAAAAUUUUGAUUUUAAUUCAAUCAAAUAUAUAUUAAAUUCAUUAAAUAAAUUCAGUUAUCUUUAUUUUGAGAGGACUGUAAAAAUGAUAUCAUGUCAACAAUAAUGUCUUUUGAUGCAAUGUUUUAAAUAGGAAGAUAAAUGCGCUUGAAUCCAUGUCCUCCUACACUGAUAACAAUGCCGAUACCAACCGAGCUAAAACUUAAUCGGCAUGUCAGUAAUAAUGUUAAUUGUAUAUAAAACCAAUAUAAAAAUUAAUCACAUUUUAUCAUAGUUUAUUCAUAUUUAAAUAAUUUAAUAUAAAGAUGUAUUAAAUAUAACUAAUUUAAAAUUUUAAUUACCUUUUAAAGAUAUAUUAAUCAUCUAAAUCCUAACUUUUAUAUUUAUAUUUAGUGGAAAAACAUUUUUAACAAUUCUUUUGACUCCAAAGGUAAAGUUUUCUCUAUUACUCCUUGAAAAGUAAUUUUGAUCUCACUAUAAAAAUGCUAUUGUCUUUUUUAUGUUAUUUAUAUAAACUCUAUAAAAAAAUUAAAUCGAAAAUAAAUCCUAAAAAAAAAACUCACACUUGGUGUAUCUAUCUAUCUAUUUAUUAUAAUAAAGUCUCUGACUGAGUUAGUGUCACCCAUUAAUCGAAUUUUAAUUUUGAGAAAUUACUAAAAACUUAUAUCUGUACAAAGUAAGUUAUAUUUUUAUGAAGAUAUUUUUAUCUUUUUUAUAUUUUUAUAAAUCAAUAAAAAUUUACAUAUUAUAAGAUUUGAACCAAUUACACUAUGAAUAUCAAACAUUUAAUUUGAUACAGACCGUCAAUAUGGAAGUCAUUAGGGAUAUUAAACAAUCCUUUUUGAAGGGGUCCAAUUUUGCUUUGAUAAGGCACAUUAUUCAACUCUUAAGAAAGGAGGCAAAAUAGCCUAUUGAUUACGUUCCUAGAGAAUAUAACAUGGAAGCUGAUCAAAUUACUAAGUUGGCUUUUGAUAGAGAGGAAGGUGUAUAGUUAUAUGUAGAUUCUCCUCUAGUAUUUUUCUAAAUUUUUUUUGUAUUAAUACUUUUUAUUCACCAAAAAAAUAUAUUCAAAUUUACCAUUUCAAUCAAGACAUCAUUUUUAUACCAUUAAUAAUGUGUUAGACUAAAUUGGUAUCACCGGUCAAUCAAAUAUUAACCUAAUCGUAAAAUUACCAAAAAUCACUUAAUCUAAUUACUUGUAAUUUUGUGAAUGUAUUAUAAUAUAGAGUAUAUGAAUCUCACUUUUAGUGAGGAAAACGCGGGGAAGUUGGUCAUAAACAGUGAAUAGAUUGCCAAAGUUAGCCCUCUCCAACUGCUAGAAUCCCCUCUCUCCCCUCGUUUCCCUUUAUCCGUUUAAACAACUACACUUUCUCCUCCCUCUUCAUUUAUAUAUAUAUAUAUAUAACUGCCUCUCUACUCCCUUUCAUCUCCGACCAACCAAAACAAAAGAAAUACCUAUAAAGAAGAAGCAAAAUUGAUGGGUACUACGAGAACCAAGAGAUGGAUGUUAUUCAAGAGGCUGAUGAAGAAAGAGUUAUGGAGAUGGAAGUUUUUGGGGUCUGCUUUCAAGUGGAAGAAGAUGCCAUCCCUAAACAUUCACCUUUCUUUCAUUGAUGAUGUGCUUUUCAAGAUUGCCUCUGUUUUAGAGGCUAUUUUCUUGGUCUCCACUCUCUGUUUCUUCUAUCUUUGUUGCGGCUGUCAUUUUUGACAAACCCCACAUCUAUGUAUGUACUAUGUAUUUAUUUAUUUUUCCUUUUGGGGUUGUAGUAAGAAACAUUCUGGAUUCUGAGUUCUAACAUGGGUUUCUGAGAAGGGAAAGUGUUUUUCAUGGUGAAAAGAAAAAGCUUUGAAUUCCAGGACUUUGUUGAAGGGUGGUAAAAAUGUAGGGAAGAAACAGGGCAAACUUUAGUUUCUUGAUGUAUAAAGUUGGUAGUAAAAUUGAACUUAGCUUUAAUUUGAACAUAUAUGCUCUCUUGUUUACAUUUUCCCCUUCAUUUUGUUGUUUAAAGUUUGAUGAGUUUGGUUCUCCUCUUUGGCACCCAAACAUGAUUGUGUGUUGUUGAAUCGAGUAGGACAUUCUUAAACAAAAUUUCUUGUGUUUGUUAAAGGACUGGAGUUCAAAUAUAUGUAGUAAAUAUCAGACUGCGUUAGAGCAAAAGAUCCUUAGUUGUUAUCAAUGGCAAUACCAACCAAAUUAAGACAAAAGAAAUGGUACAAGGCAAAGGCAAGGCAAGGCUAGGAACGGAAUUGGUAUAGCUAUAUAACUACUUUUGCUCGAUAUAUAGAUAGAAACAGCAACAGGAAAUAAAUAAGCCUUCUUGCACGUGCUAUGAAGUGGCUUUGAGUCUCUUCUUAGGCCAGCCCCAAAGGUUAAACACUUUCACAGAUGGUAAUAUUUUCCCCACUGAAUAUACGACAUGACAGACAUCAUUAAUGAACACUGUUUUGCUCUGCUGCUAUUAAGUGGCCUUUGUUUUUGUUUUUGUUCUUUCCACUGUUUUGAGCUUGAUGAUGAUAGCCAAAAACAGCUAGUUCUGCUUUUGAGGGAUAUGAGCAGGUAAGGCUUUACGUGUUAAAAGACCAAUAGUCAGUGAUUGAAAGCAAAGCAAAAGCCAAUUAUGAUAUUCAGUCGCAGCUUUUAUAUUUUUCAGGAAAGAUUUGGGGGACUUCCGAGGUAACGUGUGAAGAUGAUGAAGGAAGUGUAUUGAUUUGGAUUUUUGGAGUUAGUGUGUCGUGAUUAUAUUUUCUUUUUAUUUUCAAUUACUAAACGAAUAUAUAUGGGUAAAUUUCACUCAAAGUCACUAAACUAUUAGUAAGUUCACAUUUUGGUCAUUUAACUUUAAAAAAUUAUAAAAUAAAGUUUUCAUUUUGUCAUUAAACUACUUGAAACUUUUUAUUUAAGUCACAGGAUUGUUAAUUUUUGUUUAAAAAUUUGAUUAGUGAGCUCCAAGCGACAAUUUGACGAUUGGUACGAUGGAUCAAUGCCCAUUAAUGACGAUUUUAGUUAGUAAAUUCAUGAUGUUUAAAAUUAUUUUAUAAAAAAAAUUUUAAUUGUAGAAGAGAAUGGGAAAGUAAGCUUUCGUGAAUAGAGAAUGCCAUACAACAAUAAUUUUAAUAGUCCAAUAACUUAAACAUAAAUUUUCGAAUAAUUUUAUGACUAUUUUGUAAUUCUUAAAAAUUUAGUAUCCAAAACAUAAAUUUAUUAAUAAUUUAGUAAUUUGAUAAAGUACCCUCUCUCUCUCUAUAUAACCAGUUUCAGCAAGUUAAUAUGACAAGUCAGAGUUAGCUGUAAUGUUAAGAGUUAAGACGGCAACAGAGACAAUAAAUUUUCUUUGAUUUUUUUUUCUUUUUUCGGGUUCAAUGAUGCAAGAAAUUUUCAUCUGCAAUGGAUAAAUAGAGUGAAUGUUUACUAAUAAUUUCGGCUAAAUAUAUGUUGAUAUUUUUUUAAUUAGUUAAACGUGUUGAUUUUAGAAAGAAAGUGAGAAAGCGUGUUAAUUGAUGAAAGUUUGUUUAGUUAAACGUGUUUUUAUACAUUCUUCGAAAUUAACCUAUAUUUUUAAAUAUCGAGAAAAUAUUCGACAUAUUUAACUUAUUUAGCCAAUAAUUUCUCCCACUGUACUGAUAAUUUAAGAUAUACUGCAUUUUAUAUUUUUUUUUCAAUGUUUCAAAACAAUUUUCCCUUGUAUUUACACCAUUAUUUCUUCCUUUUUUUUAAAAAAAUCUUUUUAAGGAAAAUUGUAGAUAAACAUAAUAUGAGGAUGAGUUUCAUCUCGAUAAAACAUUGAAAAGUUUUAUUCAAACUGAUUAUGACAUAUAGGUGAAUUUUUUUUAAAAUGUAUAUAUUUAUUAAAAUUUUAUAUAAAAUCCACAUGAAAUUUUAGUUGGAAUUUUAAAGUUAAAAAGGUGUAGAAAUUAUAGGUUAAAAUAUGUUGUUAGUCUUUAUACUUUAAAAGUUAAAUUUUUUUUUCUAAUUUAAAAAUCUGUGGUUGUUGUUAGUUUCUAUCAAAAUUUGUCUACUAAACAUGUUUAUUUCCUGUCACGUCAUAUGAUAAUAGCUCUAACCGAAAUUCCAUUUUGACAAAUUUUUACAAAAAAUACUUACGAUUUUAAUGAAUGGACUGAUAUUUUUAAAUCAAUAAAGUAGAAGGAUAUAAUUUUCAACAUUUAAAGUAAAGGGAUUAAAUCUUAAAAUCUAUACAAGUAUAGAGACUAACAAUAUAUUUAGAGCUACAACAUUGAUUCUAUAUAAAAAUGAAAAGACGAAAACAACUACAUAAUAAUAUAGUAAUUUUCUUUGUAAAAACAAUGCGUUUUAAAUUAUUUAAUAAAAAAAUUUAAAUAUAGUAUAAAUUUAAUAUUUAUUUUUUUAAAUGUUUCUCUUCAUAAUUUUUACAUCAUACAACACUUAUCAUUUAAUGAUAAUGUUAAUAUUAUUAUUUUUUAAAUAUUCUAAAUAAAUUAUCACUUCAUUUCUAUUAAAAAAUAAAUUAUUCAAAUUAUUAUAUUUAAUUUUUAUCGAAAAUAUGAAAACGAAGAUUUACUAAUAUUAUAAACAUUUACUUAAAAAAAACUAAUAUUAUAAACAUUUUUAUAAUAUAAAUUCAAUACUAAAAAUGAAAUAAUAAAAUUUUCAAUAUUUAUUUAUUUUUAGUUUUUCAAAAUAACAAAGUAUCUUUUAAAAAAAGCCAGCAAAGAGUAGGAUAUUUUACAACCCUUUUUGCCUUGGCCCUGAAGUAGCCAUCAAUCACCGUACUAUGAUUUGAACUUAGGGUUUGUUUUAAUUGGCCUGCUAGCAACCUUCCAAUUUCCAAAUAGCAAUUUGCCAUUUGUCUUCUGUAUUAAAAUUAAAGAAAAUGAGCCAAUCUGACUUUUAUUCUAUAAAGAAAACAAAAACAGAAAAAAAGGCAUCAAAUUUCAUGAAUAUUUACUUGAUAAAUAGUCAGAUUAACAUUCAAGCCUGCUUGACAAUAAUAUAUAUGUAAGAACAAUCUCCAGGCAGUGAUUUACACAAAAAUGAUACAGGGAUGAACAUAUUUGCCUACAUUAACAUGCUACUCAUAUAAGUCAUAAUUAAACCACUACAUCUAUGCAUUUCCUGGUACAACAACGCCUAAGGUUUAUAUAUAUUUAUUCAUCAAACUCCGAAUCAUCUUCGGUUUCUUCAUCUUCGCCACUUUCCUGCAAAAUCGAAAAACUUUUAAUGUAUUUGCAGCUGUUUCACUAUUGAAGACUUCCUUCUGAGAUAAAUUUUAGUAGAAAAACUUCAAGCAAGUUUACCUUUCUUUUAAUGUAUUCCGCCAUGGCUCUGUCAAACUCUGCUCGUUUCCCGGUUGCGAUAUCGUAAUAUUUAACUUUCUCCUGUUGAAGACAAGUUGAAAUUAGUAUGUCAGACAACUUAUGAAGUCCUUUAGUUUCUAUUUAUAUGUGCAUCAUAUAUAGGCUUCAAGUCCAAAUGGGGGAAUAUGAUGAAUCAACCCUUGAGACAUUCGGCUUCCUCGGCAUGCACUAAUAUUGAUUGCCGUAUUAUUUCUAUACAUGCCACUUCUGCACCCCUAGUUAAUAAGCCAAUAACAAGAAUUGGAACAAUUUUAUCACCAAAUGAUAAUAAUAUUCGAUAUCAAAACUAUUUUCUUCAUCCUUAUGCAAAUCCAUGAACAGAUGAUGUACGUGCACCUUGUAUUUAAAGAGAACUUUAAGUAAGCUUUGAUGAACCAAUGUCACCCAUGACCACGGCCAAGGAUUUUAGCUAACAAGAGGCUAAACAUCAUUAUGGAUAUUCCUUGGCUCUCGGAUUCAAAUAAACAUGUCUUGACCAACUAAAUCUUACAAGCAUAUAAUCAAGUUAUCAUAACAAUAGCAUAUGCUAAUUAUAUGAAUUCGUAAGAAACACGGAAUUGGCACAAACCUCGUAUGUCAUUGUCUUCCACUUCUCACCACAUGCCUUCCCAAUCUGAAACAAUAUCAGGGAGGAUUCGUUAACAUAUACGUUAAAUACACAGAGAUUCGUUUUCUAAAAUAAGAUUUUGUGUUUUUAAACCAUAACAUACAUCGCGCAUUGACUUGAUAUCCGGAUUCUGCUCUUGAAAAUCCUUACGAAAAUCCUCCCUUGAGUAUAAGAAAAUGAAAAAAUCUGUUAGUUUAAUGUCUCUCACAGGACAUUCAAUUUCUGCAACAAAAUUAGCAGGCAAAAUCCUUUGAUAUAAGAACCAAAGCUCACUUUCCAGAACACACAGACACAGACACAUACAUAUAUAUAUGUAUAUAUAUUGCAUAGACAUUUGCUCCAUUACAGGCAAGGAAACACAAUCCAUUUGCAAGCCUAAAAAACCAACUCAAAAUUUUGCAUAAAAAAGACAGUCAAGAAAUAAGCAGAUAGAUUUUAGCUCUUACACGACAAGGGCACAAGAAUAAAAGCAUGAAAUUUCCAGGCAGGAGAAUGUUAUAAUCAACAAAAUGUUAACCAAUACUAUGAACAAAAAAUGAUUCGUAAGCAAUACUCACAAGAAGUAAAAGAAAGCAGUGGGGGGUUUCUUAGGCAUUUUAGCAUCGAUUUUUGUUUUCUUCUUCAGCUUCGAUUUGGGUCUUGACUUCGACUUGGGUCUCUUUUCUCUCUCGCUAACAACACUCUCUUCAGCUGUCUUCUUCAUUUUCUCACUUGAUUUUACCCUUAACGCCAUUUGACUAACAAUUUUUUUUCCAAGCAAAAGUGUCUAUUGUUAACCCCAAAAAUUCCUUACAAGCAAAACAAACUAAGAAAGCCAUAAUUUAUUCUGCAAAAAAUACUAUAAAACAAAGGGGUAAGAGAGAAAUACUGAUUGGAGACUGUUGAUGGGUUCUUAGCGGAAGUAACGGAGGUUGAAGACGAACGAUCAUUUUUCGACUUUGAAGCUUUCUUCGCCAUUUUUUUUCUCCUUUCUAUUUAUAAGACGGGUAGGAGAUGGAGACAAAGACCCACAGCUUGAGCUUUGCUUAGUGUUGGCUGGCUUUCACCAGUGAAGCAGUUGCCACCACAACUCGACUGUUUCCGGUGGGAAGGAGCUGGGAUUUGGACUUCCACGGGUGAGGGUCAGUGCCAAAUUGCUAAUGCAUUGCUCUCAGAGAUUAAGGCUUGUAGUAGUGGUAAUUACUUGGGUUUUUGGUAGCCCUACGACUAGCCCAACCUCAAUGCAAUAACUAUAUUAGCCCAUUGCUUACUUCAAAUUCUACAAAUACAAGGAUAAAAGAAGAACUCAUACAAUGAUCCAACCUCAUGACAACCAUAAAUCUCAAAAUUAUAUAUAAAUUUUAAUUUAAUGUGUUGAUUUAUAAAAUUUAAUUUUAUUAUUAAAUAGAUAUUUAUUGAGAUCAAUAUAAAUUUAAUGCACUUUAAAAUUUAAAAUAUUCAUUAUAUCCACAUCAUAUGAAUAAUCAUAAUAAUUAAAAUAAAUAAUCCUUUUAAGUUCAAAUUUUAAGAUUUUUUAUGAAAUAAAAUAACAUAUGAUUUUCUUAAAUUAUAAUAUUGACAAAAGUAAUAAAACAUAUAGUUUUAUCGAGUUAUUUCUUUAUACACUUAUGAAGUUUUUUUAAUAUAUACUAGAAAUCUCAUCACAUAUGUAUACGUAUGAAAAUUUAUAGAUUUAAAAUACGAAUGCCUAUUUAAAAGUAAUAUACAGUAUACAAUGAAAUAUAUAGUUUGAAUCUAAUUGAUCCUAAUAAUACAUGAAAUAUGUAUGAUAUUAAAAUAAAAAAUUAGAUUAAAUUAUGAGUAAAACAAAAUUUAAACACAUAAAUACAUCAUAUAAACAAUACUAAAUGAGUUAUAGUUAUUUAACAUGAUUUUGUCAUCAAUUAUGAGUUAGUGUCGAGCUGACUUGUAACACCAACUUAAUGAACAAUAUUAUUAAUAUUAAAAUUUCUAUAACUUACGUAUGUAUGUGGAAACCAUAGAUUUAAAAUAAAAAACGUUUGUUUAAAAGUAAUAAAUAAUGAAACAUAUGGUUUGAAACUAAUUAUACAACUAACGUAAAUAAUAAUUUGUGUAGAUUAAAACAAAAAUAUAUAAAAUACAUUAACAUGAAGUUUUGGUUGAGUGAUGAAUAUAAUGUUUAAGUAAUUUAAUUGGUGCAGGUGAUAAAUAAAUAAAUUAAAAUUUAAUAAAUAAUAAUACAACACUUUUUGUUUUUUAAAUAUAUUUUAAAAUAAGAAUAAUAUUUGAUACACUGUUAAUGGAGAUUUUAGACUCCAUAAGUAAGGUCAAUGGGGUAACAAGUGUCCUAUGGGGUACAAUAAAAUAUUUUAAAAAAAAGAUAACAAAUUUUUAAGACUACUUGUAGAAUAAAAAAUUGCUAAUGUACCAAAUACUAACCUUUAAGAAACUAUUUUUAUUAUAAAAAUUAUCACUUUUAAAGAAAAAUAUUUGGUAUAUUGUUAAUGAAAUUUUUAGACUUCACAAAUAAGAUAUUUUAACGAAAAUAUUUAGUAUAUGGUCAAUGAAAUUUUUAGACUUUAUAAACAAUAUAGGAAUUGAAAAUUGUCCUACACCAAAAUAUUUAAAAAAAAAAACGUGACAAUAUGUCAGAUAAAAUAACUUUUAGUUUAAAUUUACAAAAUAAAAAAGUGGUUGUCCGUUUAGAGAAGACCCAAGGAGCCAUGAAGGAUCCAAGUGACACCGGCCCGUUAUCCUUCCACCGCAAAGAGAGGGAAGUUUUCGCUGCUCUGUGAAACCAGCCUCACGCUUUGCCUUCCACUCUAGGAGCAACGAGACCCAAAGCUUUCGCUCAAGACUCGUAGCUCAACUCCUUGCUUGGAAUGGGCGUGCCAGAAUACAGUCACUACAGCUCCGACUCAAUGAGUAGGCCCAUAGUCCAACCACCUUAAUGCCCCCACGAGGGUCACAAGCUAGCGUUACCCAACUCGGCGAACUACCAGCAUCUUAACUUGGCAUUUAAAUACUUUCAUUUUAUUUAUUAUACCGAUGUGGGAGUUUCUUCAUUUCACGUGCAUCGUGACCGAGUUGGUGAUUUUUAGGUGUUAUCCGGAUAGUAAAAUCACUGUUUUACUCAAAAUCGAUGAUUUCAAAAUAUGAAAUAGGUUCAUCUAAAUUGAUAAACCGACUAAUUACAUAAUACUAAUGAAAACAAUCGAUCUGGACAGAGCCCUCUCUUAGCUACCGUAAUCACACACAAUACAGAAUUUGCUUUUGUUCUUUUUGUCUAUACAAAGUACCAUAGCUACUGGCUUUCAUCAAGUACAUUGUUGAACAUUACUUCAGAAUCGAUUCCUAUUAACCAUUAUUUCUUUUGAAAUUAAAGACUUAUUGAAAUUUAAACACUGUAAAAGUCUUUUCCAUAACCCUAGAGCUAUAGGGUAUGGUACAACUUGUACAAUAUGUACUCUAAGAAAGUCAUCUCCUUGAACGUGACUCGAACUCGGUGAUAAGAGUCAAAUAUAAGGAUGUUUCCACUACGAAUUUUUCAUGUUGGAAUGUAUAAGAUGCAUAUAUUUUGAGAGAAUGAAAAAUUGGAAUAACAUAGUAUGCCGAGGUACAACAUGUACAAUCCUUUCUCCAUCUCACUUGCUUCCAAGUUUUUUUCUCUAGUUUUUAUUUUAUUUUCUUAAUAAUUGGGGAAUAGAAAUAAGAUUGCUUGAGAUUGAAUUUAAACUUUCAUGUUUACAACAUAUAAUGCUCUUGUUACUGGGUAAAGAGGUUGUUGGCGUAAUUGCACAUUAGACACAAAUACACUAGAUGAAGUUACACUUGAAAAUAUAAUAUUUAGUGUUGUUUCUAGAUUUUACUAAAUAAAUAUUAACGGUUAUAUCUAACUCUUACACCUAUUAAUUUUAUAUAUAUGGUAGUGGAUACCAAUUCAUUGCAAAAUGAGAGUAAAUUGUGAUUGAAUUAAAUCAUGUAAUUAAUCAAAUAAAUAAGUGGUUAGAAGAAGUGGGAGUAGAUUUUUUUUCAAGUAUCUAGAUCAAGGUCGAAUCUAAAUAUCAUCUCGACAUGAAUAAAACUAUAUUUCAACCAUAAAACGGAUGAAGAUACUUAUAAUUAAAAAAAAAAGAAGAAGAAGAAGAAGACGACGUAAAAUUAUAGCUAAAAUGUUAUUAUAAAAGGUUCACCUUUCAACACCUUAGAGAGUUGCUGAAAAGUGCAAUAAUUUAACAAAAAAACCAUAACUUUAAAAAUAGAUUUGACAGAAAUGGUAAUAUUUAAAAAAGGUAAAACUAUGAUGUGUUGGGGUUGAAAUCUAGUAUAUAUAUUCUAAAUUUAUAUAAAAUAUAAAAAGAAAAAAAACAUUAAAAUUAAAUAUUAUUUUCUAUAAAUAAUAAGUUUUAGUAAAAUUUCAAUUCAACUCACAUUGAUUAAUGAUCCAAUCCAAUCAAAAAAUUAAAUAAUAGUGUCCAUAAAUAAAAUAUGUUGGCAUAUAAAUCAGGUUGUACUUGUUAACUAAUCCUCAGGGUUCAGGACCACCACAACUUAAAAAAUGGCAAAAUAGAAGUUCGACUCCACUGGGGAUCGAACCCAGAAUCUCUGGUUCCGUAGACCAGCGCCUUAUCCAUUGGGCCAUGGAGUCAUGCGAUCAGGUUUUCAUAUUCAAGUUAUUUGUUGAUAUAUAAUUUCCGUCAUCUUCCUCUCCCAUCCUGGUUCUCGCAAUUACCACGCUCUUGGUAGAUAUGAAGGAAAAAUGGGGGGUGGGGUGGGGAAGACGGCAUCAUUGCCAUGGCUUUGGUCUUCUUUUCAAAGUGAAAGGAAGGGAAUCUAAGAAAUAACCUAAAAGAUGAAAAUGGAAAUGAAAGUCAAUUUUAAGUAACAGAAAAAUCCUAACUUGUCGCCGUCUGUGGGAAUCGAACCCACGACUACGUGGUUAAAAGCCACGCGCUCUACCAGCUGAGCUAACACGGCUACGUUUUAAUCGCUUCUUGAGUACGCUUUCUGAGUAUUGAAGCUUAAUUUCGGUAAAAGUGAAAUUUUAUGUGCAAGUAUACAUCUUGCAAUUUAAGUUGCAAGAAAUUCAUGAUUAUCGUGGGAAAAUUACCUAUCAAAUGCUUAGGGAUGUCUUUGAUUGCAAGGAAAUUAUCUAUUAGAGAUUGUGCCCGCAUGAUUGAAAAGAUUGUGGGGAGAGUGAAUGGGCGAAUUGCAAGAAUGCUUUCUUAUGCUGGUUGAGUCUAGUUGGUACAAGCAAUGCUCUUGCAUAGACGAAAUUAUUAGGCUAGGCAUUUUAUUCUGCCAAACGUUGUGAUUGUAAGAGUUAGUCCAAUCUGUAUGAAAUUUUUGUGGAAAGGCGAUGCUGAAAAAGUUCAAGGUGCUAAGGUAGGUUUGUAAACCAAAGAGCGAAGGGGGUCUCGGACAUGCAAAGUUGGAACAAGGCUUGUGUCAUACAACAAAUUUGGUCGGUAUUGUUUCAAGUUGGUUCUCUGUGGAUAGCUUAGAUAAACACUUGUAUUUUAAAGGGUCGAAAUUUUCUGCAGGAUCAACUAGCUGCCAAUGGUAGUUGUAGUUGGAGUUGGAUGAAGCCAGUAGGAAUACGAAGUGAGGCUCUUCAUAUCUUUCGAUGAGCAAAUCGGAUGGGGCAAGGCACAAUAUAUCAUAUCAGUAAAGUUUGGAACCAAGGAGUAGAAUUACCGACUACACUGUUUGUACCCUAAAACAUUCAUUUAUUACUUGGUUGGAUACGAAUGAUCGAUUGGGUGCUAAAGACAAAUUAUGAGCCUGGGGAUUGAAUUGCUAUGCUGGCUGCGUGUUAUGCCAGAUUGGGUAGGAAACUGAAGAUCAUUUAUUCGUGGAGUGCUUUUAUGCAAAGAGAGUUUGGAAAGUGUGUCCUACAGUUAUGUGGCCUUCAAAGGGAACCUGAAAUCUGGGAACAGGAGCAGCGUUGGCUAAUUACAAAGCUGAAAGGUAAAACUCUAUUUAUGAUCAUUCUUAAUUUGGCAUGGAAUGCCCGUUUAUAUUGGGUUUGGAAUGAAAGAACCAACAGGUUUUUUUUAAGGUCAGUGGAGAAACGAAUCUGGGUUGCUUGGAAAAAUUAAGGAAGGUGUUCGAAUUCAUUUUCAAACACUAGAAUGAAUACAAAGGAAUCUGUAAAAUAUUGAUCUUUGUAUAACUUGGGAGAUUAGGUGUUUGUUAACACAUGGCAUCAUGAAAAACUACUUGAGAAGUACUCACAUAUGGUUUUCCACCUCUUACUGUUUGGCUGGUGACUGGGUGGAUCACCAUCAAGAUAGACCACUUGCUUUUAACAAACUUAUCUUUAAGAGGGACCACUGAGUAUGACAAUCUCAUACUAUCUCAACAAUAGAAAUAUUAGAGAAAGUACCACACUUGACGACAAUUAAUGUAUAACCAACUUGUCAUCAUAUUAAGCACACGUUUACCAUCAGCCUGAGAAUGUCGAUGACAUGAUAUAAGUGGACAAAGAAUCUCUUGACAUUUAAUAAUAGAGGGACUAAUUUAAUUCUUUUUAAUAGUACAAGAAUAAAAUUUACCCAUUUAAUAAUAGGACUAAUUUGAUCUAAUACCUAUAUUACAGGGACUUGGUUUAAGUUAUUUGAUUGACUUUUUUUUUUCUCAAAACAACACCAUUAGAAUUUGGUUUACAUGUAAUUAUUUUAAAGAAUUCACAUAAACAAUUAAUAGUAAUUAAUAGUGUAACAAUUUGGACUAAUUAACAAAAUUAUAAAAAUACGAGACCUAAAUUUUACUAAAUUAAAGGAUAUAAAUUAAAUCAUAAAAAUUAAUACAGUAUAAGGAUCAAAAUAUAAUUCGACCAAAAUAUAGAUAUUUGUGAUAAAAAGGAAAAAAAGCCCGACUGAAACUGGAUCAGUUUCCGUUUACCAGAGCCUUACAAAUUGGGCCAUAGACUCAUUAUAAAAGGACUAUCUAUCCAUGCUUAAUUCCCGCCAAAGCAGUCAUCUUCUCUCCUUUUCCCGCCAAAAACAUUCUCACUUUCUAGUAGAAUAGAAGAGAAUUAAAACAAGACGAAAAAGAGGCCUUCAUUUACAAUAGCGUUUGGUGUUUUCUUCCAAAACUUACAGUGUAGAGUUCUGGCUGUAAGAGAAAAGAAAAAUGGAGUUGGGGGCUCAAGAUUAUGCUGAUAGGAAGAAAGAUAUCAGCCAAUUCUUGUCUCAGGAUGUCUGUUAAUCCAUCCAUUCUAUGAUAUAUAUUCCUAUGUGUUAAUGUUAAUUUACCUUUUUUUGUAAUUGAUUGAUCAGAUUUACCAAGAUGAAAUCAAGGCUAUGAUAAAUCACAAGCGCCGCCGUCUCAUCAUCAACAUUUCCGAUCUCCACUCUUUCAACAACUUGGCUCCUAGGUUCUCUCUAAUUUCUUAUUUUUUCCCUCUAUUUUGAGCGUUGAUUGAAUUAAAGCUCAUUUGGGUUUCUGUUUAUUGUUCUGGGUUUUAGGAUUCUGAAGAACCCGAGUGAAUUUAUGCAACCAUUUUGCGAUGCGGUGACGGAAGCUGCUGAAGGUAUCGACCCAAAGUACUUGAAAGAAGGAGAAACGCUUCAUGUGGGAUUUGAAGGCCCUUUUGUUUCUCGUCGCGUUACUCCCAGAGAUCUUCUCUCUGAAUUCAUUGGCUCCAUGGUAUGCGUCGUGGGUAUUGUCACCAAAUGUAAGUUCCCCCCUCCCCCUCUCUCUUUUUUUUUGUUUAUAAUUUGAAGUAUAAUAAAUGGGUAUCUGUUUGUUCAUAUAAUAUGGUAAAAAUUGAAUUUAGGUUUUUGUAAAAAAGUGGGUACUUGCUUUGAGCUUUGAAAAAUCCCUAACGCUUUUGGGCACUUGUUCAUACUGCAUAAAGUGUUUAUCAGUGUUUUUUCUGUGUUGUGGUCUUCUCUUUACGUAUCUAACAUGAACUUAACCUCCAUUUAGGUUCUCUGGUAAGACCAAAGGUUGUUAAAAGUGUUCAUUUUUGCCCUGCCACUGAGAACUUCACCGUUCGGGAAUAUCGAGACAUCACCUCCAAUAAUGGUUUGCCAACUGGAUCUGUGUAUCCUACUAGGGUAACUUUCCACUGAUCGGAUCUCCUAGUAUUAGUAUGGCUGUUGGAUUAAUCAUUGUCUCAUGAGUAAUAUUGUUUUCAGGAUGAAAAUGGCAACUUAUUGGUGACUGAAUAUGGGUUGUGCCAAUACAAAGAUCACCAGACCUUGUCAAUUCAAGAAGUUCCGGAGAAUGCUGCACCUGGUCAGCUUCCUCGAACUGUGGAUGUCAUAGUUGAGGAUGACCUGGUUGAUUCAUGCAAGCCUGGAGAUCGUGUGGCUAUCGUAGGGCUAUAUAAAGCUCUUCCAGGAAAAAGCAAGGGCAGUGUGAAUGGUGUAUUCAGGUAUCUCUUAUGCAGUGCAUUUUUUAAAUCUUCUUUUGUUCUUUGGUCUUUUUUCUGUCUACAGUUGGAUGAGUAAUUUUCUGUUGUAGGACUGUACUCAUAGCUAAUAAUGUCUCUCUGCUCAACAAAGAGGCCAAUGCACCAAUCUAUAGUCCCGACGACCUUAAGAAUAUUAAGAAGAUAGCAGAAAGAGAUGACACAUUUGACCUGCUUGGUAAUUCCCUUGCACCUUCCAUAUAUGGGCAUUCGUGGAUAAAGAAAGCUGUGGUUUUACUGAUGCUUGGUGGUGUGGAAAAGAAUUUGAAGAACGGCACUCAUUUACGAGGGUUAGUUCUACUUCAACUGUCUGCGUCUUUGUUGUUAUAUACAGCCUUUGUUAGAUUUGCUAUAAUUUAGAUCCUAAAAUAAGCCAAAUCCUUGCUAUCUUUUAGGGACAUUAACAUGAUGAUGGUUGGAGAUCCAUCCGUUGCAAAAUCCCAACUUUUAAGAGCAAUCAUAAACAUUGCUCCCUUGGCCAUUUCAACCACUGGUCGAGGUUCUUCUGGUGUUGGUUUGACUGCUGCUGUCACAUCUGAUCAAGAAACAGGUAAAGCACUUCAAUUGAUUCUGUCAUUUUGGUUUAAAGUCUUGUUUUUGUUGAUUUUGACUAAAUUAAAUAUCUCUGCGAUCAGGAGAAAGAAGACUGGAAGCAGGUGCAAUGGUCCUUGGUGAUAGAGGUGUUGUUUGCAUUGAUGAGUUUGACAAGAUGAAUGAUCAAGAUCGUGUUGCAAUACAUGAAGUCAUGGAGCAGCAGACUGUAACUAUUGCCAAAGCUGGUAUCCAUGCAUCAUUGAACGCUCGGUGCAGCGUAGUGGCUGCUGCCAAUCCCAUAUAUGGAACUGUAAGUUCAAUUGGUUAUUAAGAUGCAGAUUCACUCCACUAGCAAGGUGGUGAAUUUUGAGUUUAUACUAAUAAUUGGUCAAAAUGCAGUAUGAUCGUUCAUUGACUCCAACAAAAAAUAUUGGACUUCCAGACUCUUUGCUUUCUCGUUUUGAUUUACUCUUUAUUGUAUUGGACCAAAUGGAUGCUGAUAUUGAUCGUCAUAUCUCUGAGCAUGUCUUGAGAAUGCACCGGUUUCGCUCUCCUAUUGAUGGAGGUAAGGCAAAGUGUUUCCUUAUGGUGCUUAUAGACUGGUUGGACAUAUACCUAUUAAGGUAAUUAAUAAUGUAGGCGAGGCAGCUCUUGAUGGAAGUUCAAGAUAUGGAAGAGAAGAUGAAGCUGAUGCUGACUCAUCUGUUUUUGUCAAGUAUAACCGUAUGUUACAUGGGGGAAAAACAGAAAGAGGUCGGAAGCGUGAUACUCUUACGAUAAAGUUUCUGAAAAAGUAUAUCCAUUAUGCAAAACACAGGAUUCAGCCUGAGCUGACUGAUGAGGUUGUGACCAUUCCUUUUCCUUUAUAUUUAUUUAUCCAGUAAUCUAUUAAUAUCGUCCCACUGUUUAAAUCAAUGCUUUCUUCUUCCCCUUUACUCUGUUUUAAUCAAUUCAAAAUUUCUGCAUGGUUAUGCUGCAAUAUCUUCUCUAUAAGAAACCUUGAUGACCUCUCUAACUUUUCUCCCCAAAGAUCAUCAACUAACUUAUCCAGGGCUUACUCUAAAGUAUCUCAUCUGCAGGCUUCAGAACACAUUGCUACAGCUUACGCAGAGCUCAGAAAUGCCAGUUCAAAUGCAAAGGUUUGCUUUUGUAAUCAGCAAAGAAAUACCUUGAUAUACUUACCUCAGUUAUGCUAAUACUGUCAUUGGUUUUGUAGACUGGCGGAACCCUUCCAAUCACAGCUAGAACCUUGGAAACCAUAAUUCGUCUAUCAACUGCUCAUGCAAAGUUGAAGUUAAGCAGAAAGGUAUUUGGGAUUCCUGACAUGUUCCCAGUAGAUUUUUUUCCCUAAACCUUAUAUUACUCUUUGAAUAUAAUCUAAUUCUUUGGGAUCAAUUGUGACCAAAAUUGUUACAGAGAUUUCAUGUUUAUGUCUUUAAAUUGCAUGUUUGGUCCUUGCUUGUAACUGCUUCAUUAUAUUUCCUUUUUCAUGCAUUUUAUUCAUACUUCUGUUGCAUGAUGAUUUAUCAUGGCAGGUUACAAAAGUUGAUGUUGAAGCUGCUCUGAAAGUUCUAAAUUUUGCUAUUUAUCAUAAAGAAUUGACAGAGAUGGAGGAUCGUGAACAAGAACGGCAAAGAGAAGAAGCAAGGACACACAGAGCGGAUCGUCAAGGGUGAGCAUGGGAUAUGCCUUUAAACAACUUGCGGAUUUUAAGUGCCUAUUGCUUAUAAUUUAAAAAUAAAUAUUGCUUAUAAACAAUUGAUUUAUCUUUAUAAUAUAGAUGCUUAUCUUUUUAUAUAAACUUUAUCAGAAAAUUACUAAAUGAUCAAAUUUAUUCUAAUGUUGUUGACCUUCUCUUUUGCUUUAACUAGGCCAACGACCACUGCUAUGGAAGUAGAUGAUCCUCCAAGGGCCCAGCAGCCUACUGCCAUUGGCUCUCUUGAAAGGUCUGAGUCCUAACAAACACUUCAGUUACAAGUUUAGACAUGCCUUUUUCCUUCAACAAUAGCUAUAAUCUAUUGUUGCACAAGUUCACUUUAAAAUAUUUUUUCUACCUAUUUGUUGAUGAAUUUCAGGAUUGAAGCAUUUAAAGCUAUAUUUGGUCAGCAUAUGCGUGUGAACCAUAAGGAUACCAUAUCUAUUUCUGAAGUAGAGGAUGUUGUCAAUGCCGGAGCUGAUGGCCAUUACUCAAGGGCAGAGAUCUUUGCUAUAUUAGAGGUAAUGUUGGUAUAUGGAUUGUUGGAUAGGAAUAAAGUUUUCAUAUUCUUAAAAGAUGAAUGUCCCUGUUUUUCCUCCAUUUUGGUAUAACAUUUUGAAUCUCAUAUCCACUUGUGGUUAACAUGACAAACUUACAUAUUUUUCAGUUCCAACUUACUAAAUUUAAGAAUGCUAUGUACUAACAGUCACUACUUUCACAAUUGUCAGAAGCUGCAAGAUGAUAAUAUAUUGAUGAUAGCUGGUGAAACAGUGCAUAUGAUAGUAUGAGAUGUAAGGAAAGACCUGGAUGGCUUCUUUCAUGCAAUCACUUUACAGCAUUGUGGGAUUGGGGAUGGAUCUAUUGGCAUGAAAUUCUUGGUUUGUACAGCUCCAUGAUUUAUCCUAAAAUUGUCUUAAAAGUGACUGUUGGCUGUACUCUGUAGCAGAUGAAAGGUGAACUGGGGAUGGAUCCCCUCUUGCUCUGCAAGUGAAGAUGCAAAAAUUUGGAUGACAUAUGAUAAUUCACUAAUGCUUUAAUUAUUUACUUGGAAGGUAUUGUUUUUUUUGGACUUUAUGUUUUCAAUGGUUAAUAUACUGUGGAUCUAAUUCUAAGCAUCUGCACCCUGAAUUCCUUGUUUUUGUAGUAUUAUACAAGGUAAGCAAACACCAAAAGAUACACUACAAAUCAAGAUUUUAUUAACAUUAUAAUUACUUGAAAAGAAGAAUAAAAAUUUCGGUCUCCAUCCACAAUACCAGUUGCUUGGAAUAAUAAUAAACUCAAAUAAACCAACAGGACAAAUAUUGAGAAAGAGAAAUUAAAAAGGGUUUAGACCAUAUUCACCAAGGAAUGAAAAGAUAAAUAACAAGGAAUGAAAUUCAAAAGAACCAUGCAGCCAUAGAAGCUAAGGCAGCUACUGCAGCUGGAACACCCAAAGCCGCUCCUGCACUUUCCAUCGGAGAUGGUGCGACGGCCCCUUGAUCUUCCCUCAAAGCUGUGGCUCCAUUGGUGAAAACGGCAAGAACCGUAAUGUAGGCAAUCAAAAUCAUGGCCAUUUUGCUACCCUCCAUUGUUCUAAGCAACUCAACUGAGCAAACCACCCUUUAAAGAUAUCAAAGUGAGAGAUGCUAUUGAAGUUGUGUGCUUUUGAGCUUGACUUUGGAUUGUAGAGAUUUCAAAUGUUUUUAUAAGGGAAGGAUUAUGCUACUAAUCAUGUAUUUGCCAGCUUUUUGUUGGUUUUAACCACUAACCAAAUCAUUUUAAGGCAUUUGUGUGUUGUCUGCUAAUUGUUUUUUGCCUCUCACUCUCUUGUAAACUCUACACCAGCCUGGACUGACUAUAUAAACUAUAAAGCUAGAUUAAUUAUACAUUGUUUACAAUCAUAUGUUAUUUUCAACAUAAAAUAAUUGGGUUUUGGUGGAAUAAUUGAUGGAAACUUUAUCUUGAUAUGUUGUGACUAUUAUAUUAUAUCUUUGUAGUCUUCCAAUAGCUAUUAAUCUCCCUUAAUGAAUGUCAAAAAACUUUAAUUCAGUAUAAAAAAUGAAACAUCAUGUUAGAGAAUCACCUUGAAGAUUCUUUACAAUUAUAAGUACACAUUUGUAUAGGAACUUUAAGGAAUAAAUUAACAUAAAAGUAACGUGGUUAGUAGACUAAACGUAUAAAAUAUGUCGUUAUUUAAAAUAAUUAAGUUGGCUAUGGGUUUAGUUAGCAUUUUCAUUGUAAUUUUCUUGCUGUUAGUAGCAUUAGCUGUCAUUGUUUUCUUCCGUUAUAUUCAAUUUCCAUUUUUUGGAUGUAUGUGUUGCAUAAUGUAGACACUAAUUUAGAUUUUUUUAUCAGAAGAGAGCAACAAAGAGUGACUCCGUGGCCCAAUGGAUAAGGCGCUGGUCUACGGAACCAGAGAUUCUGGGUUCGAUCCCCAGCGGAGUCGUGUCUUCUAAUUUAAAUUUUUGCACCGUGUUGACUGCCUAAAAGGUAAUUAUGGUAUAUAGUAGCUGAAUUUGGCUUCAAUGUUCAAGUUGGUACUUGAACUCUUUUUUCUCCAGUUAAAUACUUAUGUUUUUUCUUUUACUAGGACACAUAUGUCAUAUGUUUUUUUUGUUAGGACACACAUGUCAAACAUUCAUUCGGGCCACAAUAAAAUUUGGUUUGAGUAUUAAAUUGAACAUUAAAAUCAAAUGGAGUUGUCGAAUUGAGACAAAAAAAAUUUCAAAAACCAAAUUGAACAUUGAAAUCAAACUCAGAUACCAAAUGUUAUAUUAACCCUUGCCUAAACAUAUGUCCUCAACAGGGUAAAACUCAGAAUUUCUAACAUAUGUUCUUAACAGGCAUAAUAUGAGUUUAACUACUUCAAAGUUCAGAGAUACUUAUUUCAGUGUUUUCAGUUCAGAGGACUAGGGACUGGGAAAGUUCAGAGAUACAAAAGGGAAUUUAUUGAUAGUCGAACCAUAGAAUAUAACUUGAAAUACAAUCUAUGAAGGAAUUCCACAGGUUCUUCAAAUGAGAAGUUCAUUUCCGCUUCUUCCCAGUCGCGGCUUCCCAUGCUUGUAAUACAAGGUUUACUAUUUCCUCCACGCCUUUCCCGUGCUUCACCUGUGAACGAAUAAUUUACACAAUCAAAGAAGGGUUUGAAGCGAUGAUAUAAGUUUCAAAAUAUUAAAUAUCAUAAAAAUUGUGUUGAUAUGUGCACUAAUUGAUGCAACAAAUGAGGAUAAUACCAAUGGUUUUAUUUCAGUAUAUGGUGAAGGAUGCAGUCAACUACUCAACCAACCUGACCAAAUACGAAGGGCCCUCCAUCACGCAUACGAAGUGCAUCGCGUUCCAUGACUCCCAAGUCAGCUCCAACCGCAGGUGCAAGGUCCGUCUUGUUUAUCACCUGUUAGAAUUCCCGAUGUUACAAAAAUCAAGUACAUUCAAAGCAACGGAAUGGCACGAUAAACAAAAAUCAAAUACCAGGAGAUCAGCUUGGGUUAUGCCAGGGCCACCUUUCCUAGGGAUCUUAUCACCACCAGAUACAUCUAUUAUAUAGAUAAUAUAAUCAGCGAGUUCUCUGCUGAAGUUGGCAGCUAAAUUAUCUGCAUCCAUAGAAGUUCACAUAAAUAAUCGGUAAGUAAUAUUCUCGUGCCAAAUCAGUUCAAGAGAACAUUGUACAUACCUCCCCCGGAUUCGCAAAGAAGUAUAUCUGUUUUGUACAAGUUAGAAAGCUCCUCGAGAGGGCCGAGAUUGAUACUGAUGUCUUCACGAAUAGCCGCGUGUGGGCAGCCUCCCGUUUCUACAGCACGUAUCCUUUCCGCAGGAAGUGCCUGGUGUUUCACCAAGAACUCACCAUCCUCUUUCGUGAAUAUGUCAUUUGUCACCUAAAUGCAUCAUUUGAGUUUGGUUUAGCCAAUCAACCACAACUUCAUAAAAGACUGACCAUGGUGGCACAGCUGAAUCUAUUAUUCUCACAGUCUACAUAACAUUCAUAAAAGUUUGAAGGUAAACACUCAAAUGGCAGGCUGAUAGCUUGAAUAGAAGAUGCAUGAUACUUACAGCGGCAAGACUGUACUUAUCCCGCAGGAACGUGCACAGUGCCAGCAUUAAAGCUGUUUUCCUGUAUGGCAGAAAGCAACAUUAAAUCAGAUACCAUUUCUUAGGAUGUUUUACGAUAUCACCAAGAAUUGCAUUUUAGUCAUACAAAUAAAGUAGGGAAAAACAAUGAUAGAACACAAAAACCUUGUAAAGGAAAUACAAAAAAUUAAAACAUAAAAAAUAAAAAUCCAAGGGCUUGGAGAGUAAACUACUCAAUUAUCAGUGUAAUGUGGUUACUGGAUUCUACACUCCACUAAUUCAGGUACAAUAAAGCAUCAUCUUUGUUGAAAAUUCGUAUAAAAUUUACCAUUUUUAAUCUUUUAUAAGCAAAGAAAGAACUGACUGUAUUAUAGAAGAUGCAGAGCAAGUGAAAAACCAAGUUAAUUGUUGAUACUAGAUACUGAGAGGAAAAAUAAAUGGAAGGAAAAUAAAAAGGAAAUACCCAGUACCAACAGGGCCACCAAUUCCAACAGUGAAAGCCCUCUCAUUGAAAUCCCUGUUGACAAGCGGUGGGGCUCUUCUGCUGAAGUAUCCAGGUGAGUAAAUGGGUUCAUGUGAGUGAGGCGCUAGGCCAUCAUGGCUAUGGUAAACCUUCCCAUCAGCUCCCACCCAUGAUGAUUUUGUUGAUUUACUGUUGCAUGCCAAAAACAUAUAAUUAAAAAACCAAAUCAGCAAAAAGUCACAAUCCAUUAAAACUGCAAAACUUAAAUGAGAAUACACUUACUCAUGGUCAUGAUGGUGGUGGUGGUGGUGAUGGUCAUGGCCAUGGUCAUGGUGAUGGCCAUGGUGAUCAUUGGAAGCCAUUUGACUAUUGUCUGAAAAGGGUUUUACCGUGGGAGAGAGUCUUUGGGUUGUUUGUGUUCAAAGGGAACUGGAUGAGAGGAGCGAGGGCUAUGGUGGUUGGAUUGGAUUAGGAUGUAAUCUCAAAGGUCAAAUUUUAUAUCAAGUCCCUGUACUAUACGUUUUUGUUGGAUUUAAUCCUUGCACUGUAAUUGGGUCAUUGCCAAUCAUGUAUUUUUUUUUAAAUGUGUAUUUUUAGUUUUAUGACCAGCUUUUUUUCUUGUAUGUGAUGACUUGACAUAUAUACUUAGAUAUUUUUGUUUUUCUUGUAUGUGAUGACUUGACAUAUAUACUUAGAUAUUUUUGUACGGUUGGACAAUUUUUUGUACAUUUUAAAAUAUAUAAUAUUUAUUUAAUUGUAAAAAAUAUCAAUAUAUAUAUAUGCCACAACAUCGUAUAUUUAAAACUCUCAAAAAAUUAUUUUACAGAAUUGAGAAAAAAAAUUGUGCCUUAACAUUAAAAACACAUUUUGAAAAGUGAAAGAUUAAAAAUAAACAAAAUAUACUAGAUGGACUAAAUAGGAUAAAAGUGAAUAGUACAAGGACCUUUCUUAAACUUUUACCAAUCGUAAUUGUAGUGAUAGAUGGAGAUUAUGAUCUGGAAAGAGAGAUUGGGCUGGGCUGGGUUGAGUUAACCUUCUUUUUUUUGCACAAAUUAAUCAAAAGUGUUACUGAUAUGUUUGGUAGUUUAGGUCAAAAAGAUCAACCUGGUGCAAGCUUACAGAUGAUUAUUGAUUAGAAAAUUUUGAAAAGAGUUUCCUUGAUUCCAUAAAAAUAUAUACCAAUGCUUCAAGAUGUUAUUGUAAAAAAUUGAUGUUAACAACGUAUUAACAUUUAAGACUAACUAUCUUAAAAAAAUCAAUUAAGAUUAAUUAAUAAUAUUAUAAAAAUAGAAAGAUUGAAUUAUACAGUAUUAAAGUAUAAGUAUAGAAAUUAAAUUUUAAAUUUUUUAAAAUAGUAGAAGGACCAAGACAACAAUUUGACCGUUAUCUUGUCUCCUAAAACAACUUUUCAAUAUAAACCAUAAAACAAGUUUACAAGCUUUUAUUACAUCUCUUCAAACAUAAUCACAAUCUUUACAGGCCAGUAUCUCAAUAAUAUCCUUCAAAACAAUUACCUAAAAACCCAAAUUUUUAUCCAAAAAAAAGGAAGAGAUAAGUUAUGGGUCAUACUCCACUUUUCAAUACUCCAUCAAAAUUAGCAUACUUGAAGGAGUUUUAUGAUAUUUCUAUCUAUAUCAGCAUGAAAAGCAUAAAAAAGUAGAGUAUGAAACCUUUUUCACUACUUAAUAAAAAUCAUGAAAUUAUAUCAAACAAGUAAACAAAUCAAUAAAAAUAAAAAAAAAAGAAUCCAAAGUUAGUCAAACAAAUUCCUAAGUGCAUUACGCUUGGCAGUACAUGCCUUUUGGUUGUCCCUUUGGGUGCUUACAUUGAUCUCUUGGUCUUGAUCUGAAGCUGGAGCUGGCUGCUGCUGGGGAUUAUUAUUAUCAUUGCCUAAUAUCAGCCCUUGUUUUUGUAUAUAUUCCCAUUUGUCUUGGAAGAGGUAAAAAAACGCAAUGAAAAUGAUUUCAGCAGUGAAAAGUAUAGUCCAAAUACCAGUAUUUCUUGAUGUUUUCUUAUGGUAAGCUUUUAAACCAGUGUAGAUGUUAAUAAUCCCCAUCAUUGAUGUUACUGUUCCAAUAAUCCAGUGUGUUAAGUACCAUGUGUUUCUUCUUUUAGUUCCUCUGUGAAAAAAAGAAGAUGGAGUUAAUUAAUGUAAGGAAAAAUGGUGGAAUCUUGAGUUUAAUGAUGAUUAAUAUUAUUAACCUUGGGGGCCUGAAAAACCCAAUGAAGGUUUGCAUCCAAAUGGCAGCAUAAAAGGCUAAACCUAAUCUUUGGUGAUGGUUACUGAAUGAAUUCUCGAAGUUUUUAAUGGACAUGACAGCUCCAACUGUUGCAAGAAGCACUGCAAGUAUCUGCCGUUUGGGAACAUAAAUUAGUAAUAAUAAUAAGAAAGGACACAUGGUGAUAUGAUUAUAUGGACAAAUUAUGGUGCAUGGUCUCCCUUUUCUUGUUAUUGAAGUCUUCAUGAUCAAUAUGAUUUAAGUUGGUUUAGAUCAGUUAAUGGGGCUGUUUCAAGAAAUUAAAAACUGUGGACAGCAUCAUUAAAGUGAAAGUGGGAUUAUAAUAUUUUAUGAAAAAUAAAGCAUACAACCAGCUCUUUGUGAUCUCAUUUAGCACCCAAGUUAAGGUUCAUGAUCUAGAUAAAUAUACACAUAAACAUAUUCAUAUAUGUAUGUAUGUAUGUAGAUUAUAUAUAGAUAUAAAUAAUUUGCAGAAAAGGAAACAAUAAGAGAAUAGUACCUGCAAUAUGGCAUGGAGAUAGAACAAAACUUUAACCCUUCUCCCAGCUUCUUCUUUGUUGGCCAUUCUAACAGUAAGUAUGCCUACAGGCAAUAAGAAUCCCAUGGAACCCCAUAGCAGAAGGCCAUGAACAGCCACAUAAGAUAUCAUUUGAGAACUAAGCUGCUAUAGGUAUACACAAAUGCAUGAACAUAUUCAGAUAUAUUAACAUUCAACAAUGUUUUUUUUUAUAAUUAAAACAAGGCUUUGGACGAGAAAUUUUGGCAUACCUUAUGUGCAUUUCCUUUCAUGUUUUUGUGAUUGGUGGAUGCAGUAAUCUCCCCAUGGGAUGAGCAAGAAACAAAUGUUGAAAGAAGAAGACAGUGUAGUACAAGAAUGGUGAUGAAGGAGCUUAGUAUGUGAGAAACUUGCAUCUCUAUCAGUAUAUUCAAAGCAAUGGAAAGAAAAGAAGCAGUGGUUAAAAGACAACCCUUCUUUCCUUUUUGUUUACUCUCAAAAGGUCUAAAUUUGACUAGAGUUAAUUUGAGUGGCCAUUAAAGCACUAUAGAGAGGACUGAAGAAGAGAGAAAAAGCAGCGUGAAUGUGUCAGCUCUUCAAGCUAAGAAACUGCUUAACUUUAUAAAUCUUUUAGUAUAAAGAAGCUAAUGUGCUAUGAUUACUGCUGAAAGACAAAACAAGGGGUGGUGCAAACCUACCAUUCAGUAUGGGAUAAAAGAUUUGGAAUUCGGAUAAGCAUAUGGAAAUUCUUGUUAUAUAUAUAUAUAUAUAUAACAAUGAGGGGUCAAAGGCCACAUGAUGGCCAAGAUUUUAAUGGAUGGGAAGAUGGAGAAGGGCGGUGUGUGUGUGAGUGGAUUACACAGUUGAUAAACAAAGCUUAUGUAAUACUAGAUAUUCAUUACUCAAUUAUUUAUAUAAUUCAUUUGAUAUGGUGGUUGUGUAAUUAAUGGAUUAAUAUUCUUUAAUGCAGAAAUGUGUAUGUCUAGAAUUAUAGCCACUUUUUUUAUAACAGGUAUAAGUGUUUGAUUUCAUUUUCAACAUAAUAAUUGGUCGUUGAACAUUAAAAAUACAACAAAAUUAUUGUCAAAAUUUAAUUUAAAUUUUAAAAAUAUUCUUAAAAAAAAAGAGUUAUGAUAAAAGGAACAAAAUUUGUAUUAAGCUUUUAAUCUCUAAUUACUCAAUAAAAUUAAAAAGCAAUGUUAUAUUUAAACUCUUUUAAAAGUUUUUCCGGGAUUAUUUAUUUUGCAUUAUCAAUAUGAAUAACCUGAAAUCAGAAUUUUUAAUUUUUUCAUAUAAUUUGAGGGUAAAUUGUACAUAUAAACCAAUCUUUUUGUUAAGAAAAUGAGUGCUGGCUUGAGACUGUCGUCGUAUAAGAAAAGCUAUGUAGUAAAACAUCUUUUCGCCAAUUCUCGACUACAUAAUGAGAUUUAAAUCUUUUGCAAAGGCAUAGUAAUCAUCAAAGAUAAUUACAUAUUUGUUUGGGCAAUCAGCAUCACGUCAUCUUCAUUAUCCUUUGCUCCAUCUAUGGUAAAUUUUCACCCGAAACCCAUUUUUUCCAUAGCUGCUUUUCUCGUGCCACAACACAACGAAAUAACAUUAUUUGUCAAGGGAUUUUUAUGAGAAAGGUGGUAUUAAAUUUCCAUUACAUUUUUUUUUACCAACUAUGAUUAUCGGUUGGAAAGGUUUCAGUGGCCGUUGUUGGCUUAUAUGAUUAUGUUUUUUUUUGUCGGUGAUGCAUUGUCAUUAGCUAUUAAUUAAAAUUAGUUGCAAAUUGAUCGGUUUGAUUCAAAAGGGAAAAGUUAUAUAUAUUUCGACUCAUCUAUUCGAAUUCUACAAUUUAAUACAUGAACAACCAUAAAGGCUAAGACUCAUAACCAACGUUCUUUGCUUACUACAUUCUUUGAGAGUUGAAUUUCACAAGUGGCUGAUCAUGGGUUAGUUUAACCCGUCAUGAGGACUCAUUCGAAAAAUAAAAAAAAUUUAAGUAAAAAUAUAAAUCCGACAAAUAAGUUUAGAUAAAAAAUUAAAACUCGUUUAAAAAACAUAUAGAACCUCGAGUAAAAUUUUUUUACCCAAACCUGACCCGAAUUUACAAAAAGGAUUCCCACUGCUUUUUACUAUUGUUUUCACUAUUUUUGUUGUUUUGUCUUAUGCUUUUUAAUUUUUUAUAAAAAAUAUUAAUAUAUAAAAAAUUUAAUACAGUCAGACCAGGCCAAGUUCGAGUUUUGAUAUUUUUAUCCGGACCGAAUUUAGGUAAAUUUUUAAGCCUAUUUUUCGAACUAAGCCCAAACCCGACACAUGACCACUUCUACUCUCAUGUUAGAGUCUAAAUUUUUUUGUCCAAAUUAAUUUUUAAACUUGAUGAUUACUCCAACAUUAGGGUUCGGACUUUUUUGUCCAAAUUUAUUUUUAAACUUGACAAUUGUUUCCAAAUUGGCGAUUGACUUUUUUAUAUUAAUCUCGUAAACUUAUUCAUGAAUUGGGCCAUCUACUAAAGUAAAAAAGCCCACAAAAUUUUGAGAAAAUUUGAACAAAAAUAUCAAACCCAAAAAAGGAAUUUAAUAAAAAAACCAUUUAAAAUAUAAGCUAAGCUCGAGUUUGAAUAUUCAAGACCCAAAUCCAACUCACUUUUUAAGCUUGUAAUGAUUUAUACUAAAAUAAUGUAAACAUUAAAAAAUGUUAAAAAACCUAUAUACAAAAUUUCAAUAAAAAUAUAUAUAAUUAUUAAAUAUGAAAUUAAAAAUAAAAAUAAAUAGAUUUUAGUUUUAAUUUUAAAAAAUACAAAUUAACUAUUUACAAAUAUAUGCAAAUUUGAGCAAAUUUUUAAGUCCAUUUCAAGCCAAGCUAACUAAGCAUGAGCAAGCAUAAAAAAUAUUAAUAUCAACCCUAAAUCCGAUCCAACUAAUAAACACCUCAAUCAAUAACCCCUCAUUUCCUUGAAAAAAUGUUGGACCAAAAACACUUUUUGUUCAAGUUAGUCUCAAAUAUUUCCUUAAAAUAAGUUAAAAAAAAAUUUAAGUCCUAAUACAAACCAAUUGCCUAGUUCAAGCCAUAAUACAAGAAAAAUUGCCAAACUAAGAUAGGCCUAAAAAAGGAUUGACCCUCAAAUUUACUACAAAACUUGUGAAAUAAAGCCAGUAAUUUCUUUUACUAAAGCAUCCUAGUUGGCUUUGAAAAACAAAAACCAUGGCGAAAAGAGUUCAAAACAUUGGAUGAUACUUAAUAUUAAAGACAAUGACAAUAACAUAACAAACCAGUUCCAAGUAAACAAAAUGAGAUAUUAAAAUAAAGAAAAUUCAACUUCAACCUCUCUGAUGUGGCCUAGGCUUCUCAAAUGAAAUCAAUAUCCAAUCAACAAACUUGUAGAUGUUCACUAACAAAAAUUGUAGAACUACAACCACUUUAACUCUCUUUCAUUUCAUCAAAUGAGAGAACUUACAUAAACAAGUUAGGCUUUGAUGCCUUGUAGGUUGUCUUCAGCUUCCUGGUAGGUGGCCUUACCUUCUUGAACACCAAUGGGAACUUGAUUUUGGAGUUGUGGAACUGCUUGGUGCUAUCUCUCUUGCAUAGCUUGGCUGGGAUCGUUGCAGUUUUGAUAAUCUGGAUGCAAGGGAAACGGACUCUGUGGCGAGAAGCCAUCUCAGUGUACAUCUGUUCAACAGCUCCGUUCAAAGUAGUGUCACGGUACUCUUUGUACAUGUUGUGGUAACCAGUUCGGCUUUGGUACCGGAGCCAGAUACCGUAAUUCUUAAUCUUGGUAGGGUUCUUCUCAAAAAUCUGCAGAGAGAUUUCAGUUAGAUAUAGGGCAUUGAAAAGAAAAACAAAGUUGUAUCCCGAAUCAUGUUCCCUUCGGUGCAUUGGAAACCAAGAUGCACCGCACUAACUACGGCUUUUCCUUUUUCUGAUAAAGAUUCCACAAUAUAGAGAGUAAAUGAAUUCUGGUCAACAAGCAAGGAAAGAGCUAGGGGAUUAAAAAAAGCCUAAAUCAUUCAAUUUCAAGAAACUUUUCAAAUUCAACGUCUUACAUACAAAGUAUCAAAAAGUAAUUUGACCAAACAAAUCAUUCAUUGCAAUCACAAUCAGCAAAGCAAAGAAUGAAUAAGCUAAAUGAUCAAUAUGCAUGAACUUCUUAAAGUGUUAAUAAAGUUGGCUGGAAAGCCUAAAAUCAGAUAUUUCUUAGCUACCUAAGUUCCCUGCUCGCUUAUGAGCAUGAGUUCCAGUGUAUAUUGGACAGACACAAGCAAAACAUUGGCAAUUAACACAAUAGUUUCAGACAUUAAUCAACAUAACCCUAGCUAUAAAAAUUGAAUGGAAAGGAUGCUUUUCUUAUUCAAAUUUCCACACAUCAUCCCACAAUAAAUCACUUCGUACAGAGUGAAUUAUCAAACGGGAAACACUGAGUAUAAACCUCAUUGAUGGCAAGGACUUGACCAUUGCUCUUCUUAACCUUCUUCAGCUUCCUCAAGAAGUACCUAAUGAAUAUCAAAGGAGACACAAAAAUCAUAACCCAUCAACAACAAGCAAAUGGGAAUUUAAAGUUAACCAAAAAAGAUAUAGAAGGGCAUGAAAAAAAUAACUAACCAGAACUUGGAUUUUGCCCGAACCUCAUUGGUGGCCCAGAGCUUCAUCCUAUAGAUCUUGGGAUGCUCAUCGCUCUCUGUUGGGUGAGCCCUUCCAACAACUUGGUACUGAUGAAACUGCAACCAUUACCAAAACCAAAAUCAAACUUUUCUGUCUACCACUCCCCCAUUUCUCAUAUUAAUUCAAAUACAGCUUAAAGCAACACUCCUCCCUUUAAUUACUUAAAAGAUCCAUAAACCAGCAUAUUUACUGACAACUUUCUAGCCAACAUGAAAUAAAGAAAAUUUCGAAUGGACCGAAACCAAGCAUAACUUAACAUAAUAAAAUCACCAUAAAAUUUAUGAAGCUAAAUGAGGGAAACAGAGGGAGUAGCGGCGUUGCCCACUUACCCUGAAAGUAACCAUUUUUUGAGGGAAAGAUAGUAAGUAUCUGAAGGAGUCGCAGCCCUCUCGCAGUUAGGGUUUGUCAUAUCAAAACGUAUAUAUACAACUAUCUUUUCGAAAUUGGGUCGGGUAUACUGUAUUUAGAUUGGGUUUAACAUAUUUCUUAAUCUCGACCCAAAUUAUGAUUAGUAUUGACCCAAUAUGAAUCUUGAUUUUUUCGGCCCAAAAUGAAUACAAUUUUUCAACAGUUUCAUCAGCUUUCUUACGAAGGUCUAUCCAAAAAGUAAAAGAAUUUAGAAAAAAUAUAAGCAUGAAAAAUAAAUUUUAGUGAAAAGAUGAGAACUAUUUUCUAAAUAGAUUGGGUCUCAAGUAAGCUUUUUUCUCCGGGCCCAACCCAGCCCGAUUUUGUAAAAAAAAAACUACUGCUUUUUAUUGCUGUUUUGUAACUGUUUUGGUGCUGUUAAUGUUUAGAUAUUAAAUAAUUAUUAUUUUAUUGUUAAUUUUAUUAUUUUUUAAAUGUAUUUAUUUGCUAAGUUAAAUCUAUUUAAUAUUAUUAGGUAUAAGUAUUUUUUUAAUUUAUUUCUAAUUUAUUGAGAAACAUUUAUUUUAAUAUUUUUAGUGUAUUUGAUCUAUAUUUCUUAAAAUUUAUUUUUAUAUCAAAAUAAUAAUAUAAAAAAAUUAAUAUGAGCAUGCUAGACCUAACUCAAAUUUUAGAAUUUUUAUUUGAAUCAAAUUUGGAGAAAAUUUUAUACUCCCUUUUAAGUCGGGCCCAGCGGAUGCCUAAAAUUCUAUCAUCAUUCACUUCAAUAAACAACGCUAGUGACACUUCAAUAUCAUUAACUCUUCUGGCCUUGUAAACUCAAAAAAACUGUGUUAUUCCUUGAAUCUAGCAUAAAGAUUGGUUGACCAGACUUGAAUCAAAUUUGCUUUCAUAUUUUCGAUCCUUCAAAAUGUUGCAGCUACUACAAAACACAUUUCAAAAGAAGUAUUUUUAAAUUACAUAAUUCAUCUAUUCAUUAGAUUUUUCUUUAUUUAAAAUAAUUAUUAUUAUAUAUUUAUACUAUCUUAAAUAUUUAAUUAAUAAUCUUAAUUUUUAAAAUUUUUAUGAAUAAUUAAUUAAAUAAAAAUAAUAAUUAGAUAAUUUAUUCAUUUGAUUUAACUUAAAUAUUUGUUUUAUUAUUUUUUCUAUUUGAAAUUUUGAUUUUAACAUAAUUAAAAAAAAACAAUUACAACAUUUUUAGAAAACGCACUGUUUUAAAUUAUGUAAUUUCUAUAUUUAUUAGAUUUUAUAAUUAUUUUCAAAUAUUUAAUAUUAACUUAAGUAAUUUAUAUGUUCAUUAAAUAAGCUAAAGUGGGCCAAUUAGGUAAAACUUUUAUAUAAAAAUUAUCUCAUCAGAUCUACUAAAACAACCAACUAGAAUAAGCCACGUGUAUGUAAAAAAUCAAUGUUCUUUUCUAUUAUAUCUUCUCCAAUUUUCAACCAAAAACUAAAGUUGAUAACGCAGAAUAUCCAGAUUAACAUAUAAUAAAGAAAUUAUGUAUAGAAGAAAUCUUUAAAAAAAAUUUGGAUUUAAUAUUAUAAGAUUGCAUGUGAUUUUAGGGAAAGUCAGUCACUAAGCUAGAAAAGGGGAAAGGGAAAGGAGCCCGCUGACGGUCUUUUUGUCGAGAACGAUAGCGGAGAGGAGCAACGCACAGUGGCUCACAACAACGGUCAAUGAAGGAAAAGAACAGAGAGUUGAGAGAAAAAAGAAAAAUGAACAGGAAAAAAAAUUGAAGCCGCCUCUUAGAAACCUAAAAAUAUAAAAUGAAUUUAUUGAAAUGAAAAUUAAAAGUUCAAAUGAAAAAAAAUUAAUUUCACAAGUAUAAAAAAUUAAAUUAAAUUAAAUUUUUAAACACAUGGCACAAGAUGAUAGGUUAAAAUUUUAAAAAAUUAACAAAGUUAAUCAAGUACCAAUUAAUAUCAAGCAUGUACAAGUUGCCAAGUUCUUAUAUUUACUCUUAUAAAGUUGGACAAAAGAAUUUUAAACCUUUAUAUAGGAACCAUUCCCAUGUUUUGGGAUUUAACUUGGACAAAACAAAAAUUCAAGCCUUAAAACAAAAAUAAUUGCUUAGGUUCAAACCCAAAUGUAAGAACAAUUGCCUAACUUACCAAAUUCAAGUCCCCAAAAAAUGAUUCACCAUCAAAUUUAUUAGAAAACUUGCGAAAUAAAGCCAGCAAUUUCUUUUACUAAAGCAUCCUAAUUGCCUUCGAGAAACAAAAACCCUGGCCAAUAAAGUUCAAACAUUGCAAACCAGCUCAUCGAAGUAAACAAAAUGUGAUAGUAAAUUAAAGAAAAUUCAACUUCAACCAGUCAGAUGUGGCCUAGGCUUCUCAAAUGAAAAACAAUAUCCAAUCAACAAACUGACAGACGUUCACUACCAAAAAUUUUAGAACUAUAAACCACAUCAACUCUCUUUUCAUUGCAAUGAGAGAACUUACAUAAACAAGUUAGGCUUUGAUGCCUUGUAAGUGGUCUUCAGCUUCCUGGUAGGCGGCCUUACCUUCUUGAACACCAAUGGGAACUUGAUUUUGGAGUUGUGGAACUGCUUGGUGCUAUCUCUCUUGCAUAGCUUGGCUGGGAUAGUUGCAGUCUUGAUAAUCUGGAUACAUGGGAACCGGACUCUGUGGCGAGAAGCCAUCUCAGUGUACAUUUGUUCAACAGCUCCGUUUAGAGUAGUGUCACGGUAUUCCUUGUACAUGUUAUGAUAACCGGUACGGCUUUGGUAGCGGAGCCAUAUACCAUAAUUCUUGAUCUUGGUAGGGUUCUUCUCAAAU
Molecule: long non-coding RNA, 92546 nt
Filed under: Gossypium barbadense (sea-island cotton)
Lineage: Eukaryota; Viridiplantae; Streptophyta; Magnoliopsida; Malvales; Malvaceae
Description: long non-coding RNA (GBAR_LNC019655)
Rfam family: tRNA (bases 79877-79949)
Source: RNAcentral